This 90931-nucleotide long non-coding RNA is filed under the name Sorghum bicolor (sorghum). RNAcentral describes it as "long non-coding RNA (SBIC_LNC000703)". Lineage: Eukaryota; Viridiplantae; Streptophyta; Magnoliopsida; Poales; Poaceae. The record is from RNAcentral.
GCAAGUGUUGGUUUGGAAGUACUCGCCAUACUUCCAUUGGCUUUUAAAUUAAGCAUGGUGCUUAGGUUAAGCAGCCUUCCUUAAUCUGAUUAGACAUGGAGUCUAGUUCGGUUAUUGAACUAAAAACUGCUUGUGUAGACAUUGGUAUAUUUUUGUCGAACUAACCCCUGCAGAAAAACUUUCAAUAUCGAUUUGGGAAGUCUUGAGAUAAACUCACAUCAGAGACGAAGAGAGUGACACAUGAAGUUUAACAAUUUGCACAAGAAGGACAUAGCUCAUUCGUCAUAGAGAGAUGAUCUAUGGAGGGUGCCACAAACACGAUGCACAACCGCUAAGAAAGGAAAGCUUCCACAAGGUGACACUGUACCAUCACUCUUCAAGCAAGGUAACAUCUUAAGGUACUUGACUAUCACUUUUAUAAGCUUCUCCUUGGUUCUGGCGUUCAUAUAAAUAAAAGAGACAAACAUGUAUGAUUUACAACUCUAGAUUAACCAACCCAACUGAUUCAGCAUGUUUAGUCCUUUAAUCCUUGUUCUUAGUACUACCUCUAUGAUCCCACACUCCUAAUCAUAUGAGCUAAAAUGUUACACACUCAAUCUUUGAGAGAUAUAAAGAAAAAGACAUAUACAUAGAUAGAUUAUCUUUCCAUAAGGUUGAGCGAUCUGAUCUGACAAAUGUUAUAAGUGCUACACUCAUGAACUUUUCAUCCAUCAACUUUGUCUUGCUCACUAUGCUUAGGGUUAGAGAAGAACAAAUACACUUUUGGUUCUGUUGGUAUUUUCCACCAACAGGGCCCAUGCACUUGAUCUCUGCCUUGUCUCUAUGAGUAGGUACACUUUGAGCAAAACAUGGAGGAGUUUUAUAACUCUCAGACUCUACCAAGUGAAGGACCUGGAUCUACGAGCACAAACACACUGAGCAGGUUACUGCCAACGCCGCACUUCGAACUACUGGGCAAACGAAGAACAUGGGUGACACCGUAUUAAGAGGUGCAGACGUCAAGGUCCACACCUGAAUCAAAUGACGCACCUGAAGAAUGAAGACAGUGAGAAGUCUUGUUCAGAAGACUUAAAACAUUGAAUCCUCGCCGAAAGGUAAGAUCGGUAGUUAUCCAUAUUUAUCCUUUCUGCAUUCCCGUUUCCCUUUAAUUAUUUACUUUCCUUAAAUAGAUUAUUAGUUAAUCAUGCUAUCUUGAAAAGAAAAUAAAAAUGUUAAAAAAUACUAAGCCCCAUGUGAGUAUACGAGUGGCAUAAAACCCAUAAGUACCUUCACUGUGGUGGUAUAAAAAUAAAAUAAAUAUUUCUUUUCUACUUUAUAAAAUAAAAAUAUAAAACAGGGAGUAAUAUUUAUUGAGGAAUCUCAAUAUGAUGAAGGCUAGAUAUUUAUGCUAACACUUAAUUAGUUCCACAAGCUUUAUUGUCUAUUUGAGCUCCACAGAAUUUAAGAAUCAAGAAGACUAGCAGACGGAGGACAUUCUAAUCGCUGUCAGAAUGCUGCUGACUUUCAAAUACACCUCUGCCACCUGCUAGCACAUCAAGAGAAAUUACGUCAAAAUCUAGCUUGGGGGAGAGCACCCCCAUUUAUCUCGCUAAGUAUUUCUACCUAUCUUUAUACUAAUAUUAUAUUAGAAUAUUAAAUUACAUAAACUAUGAAAAACCAAAUAAAGAUUUUGUGCUUAUAUAUAUAUCUUUUGCUUAGUGUGUUUAAUAAAUAAAGUGGCUAUGCUAAUCUGAAUCUUAAUAAUAAAACUCUAGCAUGGAUAUGAUGAAUAGUUGCUCUGCCUAAUUUGCAAAUUUGAAGUUCUCUCUCAAGUUUAGACAUAACUGUUAUAAUUUAAAGCUUGCUCUAGAUCUAAACUUGUGGGAUGAAAACUUGAUCUGAAAUCUAAGUUGUUAACGGAUAUGAUAUGGGAAGGUUGAGCUGCUGUUUAUCUGUUCCUAGAGAUGCUAGAAUUCUGGAGAAUUUUAUCUUUGAAAAAUCUUUAAAAUAUUACAUGAUGAGUUCCUGUAUGAUGAGAGUUUAAAUUCCUACCACAACCAUAUAUAUACAUGCUUGCUAGACUUUGAGCCACACAUUUAUUAUUUACUGCUUAUGAGCAUUGAGUGUGGUCAAGCUAUGUAGACCCUUAGGAGCUUAUCAUGUGGUUAAAUCAAGAUUCACUUGCACGUUCACUCAUAUAUGCUACUUCUACUCCGGAAGUACCAUCCACAUAUAUCCAUCCAUGUCCACCUCCGGAACCACCCAAAAAUAUUCUACUCCUAAUUCGGGAGAGAAUAGCCAAAAAUAUUUCUAUUUUCCCUUGUGAAAUAAAUGCUCAAGUUAUCUUGCUACUACCACUUGCUAUAUUAUCUCAAGAGAUGAGUGCUCUGAAAAAAAAAGAAAAAAAAUAAUAAACGAGGAAAUAAAAAGGGGCAAGUGCCCGGAACCUCGAAAGAAAAAAAAGAGUGAGACGAGAGGUAAAAAUGGACAAGUGUCCGACAGUAGAAUUAGGGGUACAGGAUACCCACCUGAGAGGAAAGAAAAAUGAAAGAUAGAGCAUCUCAUUCUCCUCAUAAAGUUUCAAAAAGCAAGGAAGGUAUGUAUCCCCUCAAAAGAGCAAAAGUAGAAUUAGACUUCCACCAUUGUUAUCACCAUCAUCAGCAUACACCAUUCAUUCGCCACACAUGCACAUCUUGAUUUGACUUAUUGACUUGUUUCUCUGGAUCCAUGGUUUGACUAUGCAAUAAAUGUCUUGUAAGUAUGUAUUAGUUGUCUCCCACCUAUGAGCUCCAGAUAUUAAAGCCUUAUUAGAGUAGGGUGAGAGAGAAGGCAAUGUCACUAUGCCUUAUACCACAAAUACCACAUAUCUUGAGAGAAGGCAUAUACCAUCACUGCCUUGGUAAGGAUCCAGAAAUACCACAAAAGAGAGAUUUGGAGAGUCAUACAAGGAAUCUCUGAGUUUUAUUUGAAAAUCUGCAAAAACUCCAGAGCUAUAGCUGAUCAAGAAUAAGAGACAUGGCACUUGGCUAGACUGUUCUAUCUUUUAACUACUCAAGACAGAAGUGACGGUUACAAGUCCCAUGGUGAAAGGUAAAGUAAGUAAGUUUUAGUUCUUGACAGUUUACUCUAACUCAGAGAUGAGAUCUUAUUUAAAAGCAUGUGUACCGUCAAAUUUUUAAGAUAUUGCAACAACUUCUGAUCCAUUGCUGAGUCUAUCCUUGCUCAGGGACGAGCAAGAGGUAAGCUUGGGGGAGUUUGUUGACGGUCCUUAAGUAUCAAAUUUAAUUAUCAAAUAAACAAAGAAAAGGAUCUAAAUGAAAUCAACAUCUAGACUUAGGGUUUUAUCUGACAGAAUUCCACGAGUUUUGGUGUUUGUCUAUUUCUGCAGGGGGUUAUCAGGAAAUACGGAAGAAAGGCCCACACAUCGGGAUUACAUAGAGAUAUCAACGUGCCGCGCAAUUAUUUUACAUCUAGAAGACUCCAGAAGCCACGGGAAGGAAGCGGAGGCCGAACGGAGCCAGGACCUGGGCGCCCGCCCUGCUACAGUGGCCAAUCACGUUCAACCUCGCGGAUUAUGCUCCACCGACCUAAAGGAUCAAGAAUAACCGUUCAAUCAAUGUCGGUUUGAUCCGACGACCCAGGUUCACUUGAGGGGACUAUAUAACCAGACCCCCUGGCCCCUGGAGGAGGCACCCCUUGAUCAUUAUUCAUUAUUCAUAGACAGAGCAAAAGCUAGGGUUUAGAGAUGAGAGCUCUCCUCUCUUCUCUAAACUAGAGUAGAUCUAGAUAGUAGUAAGAUGGAGAGAGAAGGAGGAUUAGAGGAGAGGUCGGCCUGUCUGUUCUUCCUCCGGUUGUACUUCAUCAUGAUUAAGCUCUAAUCAAGCUUGCUCACGGGAUGACUCUGGUAAUCUAUUUCUAAUUCAUUAUGCAAUUACUAAUUUUGUAUGUUCUGGUUCACAACUAUUUUGAGUACUUCUAAUCUAUAGGACCCUAUAGGUUAGAGUUGUAGUAUAGGUGUAAGCGUGGUGCUUAGACCUAGAUUACUUGUGGAUAUCCUCUGUCUAGCUGGAUCGUGUGGUAGGCCGCGUAGGUGACAGUUACGUUGGUCCUCUGUAGUCCACCUCUCGUUAGCAGGACGGGUAGGGUUUAUCGGCCUAUGGAUAAGCAUCCUUUGUGGUGUAAACUUAUCACGUGGUUCAUCCCAGACAUAGACAUACCCCUUUGAAGUAGAGAAACCAUAGUUAUUCUCUCUAUUCUGCUACCAUCGCCCAUAUACUAGAUUGCUCUACUCUCUAUUCCCAUAUUAUCACUCACUGUUAUCUUACCUUUAAUAUUGUUCUUAUUCGAUUCUACCGUCUUUCCUAUUUACAUUUACUUAUCUAUCUAGGAUUAAGUUAGAGCAUAGUUGGUUCUCCCGUUUCCCUAUGGAUACGAUAAAACCUUUAACCGGGUAAAAGCUUCAACGGUAUCCGUGCGCUUGCGGAUUAUCUGUGUGCGUAUAAAUACCAUAAUACACUCUAGUGCCAUGCUGGGGAUGACAACCUAGUAUUCAAGUGGUGUUAGUAAGUGUCAACAAUCGGCUUCUUAUUCUUCACCCAUUCUGCCAAGCCGAUGACUGGCUCUUCAUCCGAAUCUGAGCUCGCUCCCUCAUCAACAAAUGAUACCUUUUUGCUCCAAGCUCUCUUGGGUUCAAAGGGUUUGAUAUCCUGGUCGGAAAUCCUCUGUACCAGGUGACUUAAGCUCUCGAACUCUUGAGAAGCAUACUUGUCUCUGAUAUGUGGCAACAAACCCUGGAAAGCCAAAUCGGCUAGCUGCCGAUCGUCCAGAACCAGACUAUAACACUUGUUCUUAACUUCUCGCAAUCUCUACACAAAGCUUUCAACUGAUUCAUCAUUGCGUUGCUUCAACCUGACUAAAUCGGUAAUUUUCUUCUCAUGAACUCUAGAGAAGAAGUACUUGUGGAAUUGCUUCUCCAGAUCGGCCCACGUAAUCACUGAGUUGGGAGGUAAUGAUAUAAACCAAGUGAACGCCGAUCCAGACAAUGAUGACAAGAAUAAAUGAACCCUCAAUUCGUCUCUGUUAGCAGCCUCGCCACAUUGGAUGAUGAACCUGUUGACAUGCUCCAUAGUUGACGUAUCAUCCUGUCCAGAAAACUUAGUAAAAUCGGGUACCUUGUACCGAUUUGGAAGUGGAAUGAAAUCAUAUGCAGGAGGAUACGGUGUCCGAUAAGAGUAGGUGUUGACUUUGGGUUUUAUCCCAAAUUGGUUCAUCACUUCUGCUAUCUUAUCGGCCCAAUAAGCAUCGUCAUCUUGCCGAUGAGGCGGCUGUAGAUCUGGCACCUGCUGAUAUACUUCCACGUGUCUCUGGGGUGCACGAUCUGCAUGGAACAUGGGGUUGAUCAUUUGACCACCAAUCUGCUGACCGAGGUUCAUCAGUUGGUUGGCCAACCCUUGAUUCUGAAACCCAGGUUGGACUUGGCCUUUUUGAAACCCUAGAGUCUGAUGAUUCUGCUGAGACAUUUGUGGAAAGACCAGCUGUCCUGACCAUCCACUGUUAGGAUUCAUCGGCAUGGACCCUGCCGAUGGCUGGAAAUUGGGCAUCAUCAUUGAAUUGACGUACCCUGGUUGUGUCAUGAACCUCUGCUGCGUCGGCAUCGAGCCUGCCGAUGCGUUAGGCAUCUGGAACGUUGGUGCUUGAGAAUUCCUAGUGUAAGGUCUUGCAGUAGUAGUCGUAGUAUACUGGGGACUCUGAUUCAUCGGCAGAUUUGGAAGUGCCGAUGUCAUAGGAGCCUGUUGACGAUUCUUAAGUAUCAAUUUUAAUUAUCAAAUAAACAAGAGAAAGGACCAAUAUGCAACCAACACCUAGAAUUAGGGUUUGAUGUGACAGAAUUCCACGAGUUUUGUUGUUUAUCUGUUUGUGCAGGGGGUUAUCAGGAAUAAGGAAGAAAGGCCCACAUGUCGGUAUUACAUAGAGAUAUCAAUGCACCGCGCAAUUUUCUACCAUCUAGAAGACUCCAGAAGCCAUGGGAAGAAAGCAGAGGCCGAAAGGGGCCAGGCCCAGGGCGCCCGCCCUGUGGACCUGGGCACCCGCCCCCUCCUGUACUCCGUUCGGGACUCUCUUCGCACACGAUAUUCCACUGACCUAAUGGAUCAAGGAUAACGUAGUACCACAUCGCCUACCGACCCAAAAAUGCAUAGAGGAGGAGGACUAUAUAAGGAGACCCCCCUGUCCCCUGAAGGAGACAAAAAGUUAUCAUAGAGAUUGAGGGGUGCCCUCAAAGGAAAACCUCUUCUCUAAAUAAUAUUUCUUUUUAGGCUUAGCAACCAAUGUAAAGUAGAAAUAGAUCUUCUAGUUUCUACUAGAUUGAGAGAGAUAGAGUGGAGGUGUAGAUUGGAGGAAGCCUGGCCUGUCGGUCUCUACUCCAAGCUUGUAUCUGCGGGAUCAAGUUCUCCUAACCCGAAGCUUGCUCCUAGGAUUCUUCAGUAUUUCGACUUCUAAAUUCUAGUAAGUUCUUGUUUUAUUGUUCUUUUGGUUUAUGAGUUUACUUUAAUCUCUUCGCGUAGAGUUUAGAGUAAUCAUUGCUGGCGUAAACGUGGUGUUUAGGCUGGGGUACUCAUAGAUAUUCCCUGACUAACUAGACCGUGGUAGUAGUGAGGAACGUGACAUUUCCGAGUUACCUUUGCAGACCAUAUCUCGUUAGCAGGAAGGAUAGGGUUUAUAGGUGCGGGUUGAACAUCAUUUGUGGUGUCUCGAUUCCGUUAGCCUCCCCAAUUGAACAGUAGAUCAUCCUUACCAAGGUUAGAAGGAGAUUACGGUUGUAGUCUUCUCUAUUUAUCACUCACAUCGAGAGACAUUCUUUGUUGCCUAAAGGGUUAGUAGUAAUAGACCGGUUAGUCAGAUGCACUCUUUCUCCUAGUGGUAAAAAAAUAAAUACGAUACUCUGGAUAACCUCCCGGGUGAAGUGCUCACCGAUAUCCGUGCGCUUGCGGAUCAAUUCCUUAUUGCGUUCCCAAAUAUCAACAAGCAUUUCUGGCGCCGUUGCCGGGGAGAAAGACGGUUUGCUGAGAUAACCUUGAGUCUUACUACUAGCUUGUAUCUAUACAUUUAUCUUUUUUUUAUCUUUUAUAUUCUUUAUUUAUUUUCUUUACUCUUACCUUAUUGAAAACCAAAAUUCUAAAUCGAUCCAUGAGUCUGCAAUCCCUUCAGUAACUCACCUUUUACCAUGGGAGUCAUCACAGCCUAUCCAAACAUCCCAGUAUAAGUUAAGUUCUAGGUUGAUUGUCAUGAUUCAAAACCUAUCUUUUUUGGGAAAGGAAGACAAAAACCCUUACCUUCAUAUUAGAGAUUUUGAGCAAACAUGUGAUUGUCUUCGCAUUGAAGGCAUUUCGGAUAAAACUUUAUGUUGGAAGCUGUUUCCUUUUUCUUUAAGGGGAGAAGCUAGACAAUGGUACAGUCAGAAGGUAAGUCAACAACGAGGUGAAUGGGGACUUUUACGAGCCAACUUUUGUCCAGAUUUCUAUUCCCUCGACCGUAGAGCCGACCUUAGACUCGAAGUCCUAUCUUUUAAACAAAAAGAUAAUGAAACUUUGGGAAAAUCCAGGAAACGUUUUUCUGAUCUUUUAGAAUCUGGUCCAAACCUUAAUCUUGAAGACCCUGUUCUUUUAUUUCACUUUUUUCGAGGUCUUCAGAAAAAUCACAAACAAAUGCUACACACAAUGUCUAGAGGUUCUUUCUUUCGCAUCCCUACUGAUGAAGCUAGAGUGAUCCUAGAUAGAAUCCUAGAAGCUGAGAUGGAUAAUACCCUUCAUGAUGAAACCUACAAAGCCGAAGUAGACACUCUGCCAAAUUCUUCAUCUACUUUAGCUAUCCCAAGUUCUGAGCCAAAAGAGGAAGAAAUUCCACCACCGGACUUCAUGCUGGAUAUAGAAUCCGAUCUUUUUGCCGACUUUGGAAACAUUUCAAACUACCAUUCUAUUGACAAACCCCAAAAUGGCCAGUUUAGCAUUUAUUUGCCAAGUGAAUAUCAAUUGAGAGAGCUUAUCUUAGUCAUGAGUAGCGAAUGGUUGGAGGAAUCAGAGCUUUCCUCUGAUGUGAUCCGUUUGGACACACCCUCUAUAACUAUACGCUGUGCUUAUAAUUCUGAUCGAUUUAGUGCUCUUUAUAAUCCUGUUGUGGGGAUCAACAUCAUGUCUGAAUCUUUUGCACUUAAACUAUUUAAAAAUCUUGCCUUAACCCCCACAACAAAGGUCAUAAAGGAAUCUUCGGGACGAUUAGUCCCCAGUCUUGGAAUUAUUAAUGUCCUACCUCUUACGGUAGAAGGCUCCAUGGUUCAUUUGAACUUCUAUAUCUUUGAUACAUGGGACUUCGACCUGUUGAUAGGACAACCUUUUAGAAGACUCCUUUAUGAAGGUCAUACUGGAAAGCUACACAUUUCUUUUGGAAAAGCCUUUAAAUUCCCAAUAACAAUUUCACACUCUUUAAAUAAUAAGGCUGAGUCAUAUCUUUUGCCUGAUCCUAUAGAGGAGGUAAAGGCUACAUCUCUUGAACUUUUAGAAGAAUCAGACUUAGAAGACGAAACUCCUUUCUUCAUAGAAGAAGAAGCCGAACCCUCUGAACCUGAACCCUUUGAUGAGUUUGCAGAAACACCUAGACCCCCCAUAGAGCUUAAAACUUUACCACCCGGUCUUAUCUAUGCUUUCCUAAACAAUAAUCCAGAGUUUCCUGUGAUCAUUAGUGAUAAACUCACUCAGGAGCAAACUCUGCGAUUAAUGACCAUUCUUGAGAAACAUCACUCAGUUUUCGGCUACUCACUCCAAGAUCUUACAGGAAUUAGUCUUAUGAUUUGUACCCAUUGUAUUCCGACAGAUCCUUCUGUUUCACCUUAUCGAGAGCCCCAACGUAGACUAAACAACGUGAUGAGAGAGGUAGUCAAAAAGGAAGUUAUAAAGUUGCUGUAUAUAGGGAUUAUAUAUCCUGUGCCGCACAGUGAGUGGGUGAGCCCAGUUCAAGUUGUGCCUAAAAAGGGAGGCAUGACUGUUAUUAUGAAUGAAAAGAACGAGCUAAUUCCACAACGCACCGUCACAGGAUGGCGGAUGUGCAUAGACUAUAGAAAACUAAACAAAGCCACGAGAAAGGAUCACUUUCCUUUACCUUUCAUAGAUGAGAUGCUAGAGCGGUUAGCAAACCUUUCGUUCUUCUGUUUCUUAGAUGGAUAUUCAGGGUAUCAUUAGAUCCCGAUCCAUCCUGAUGAUCAAAGCAAAACCACUUUUACAUGCCCAUAUGGAACUUAUGCUUACCGUAGAAUGUCUUUUGGGUUAUGUAAUGCACCAGCUUCUUUUCAAAGAUGCAUGAUGUCUAUAUUUUCUGAUAUGAUUGAAGAGAUUAUGGAAGUUUUCAUAGAUGAUUUCUCUGUUUAUGGAAAAACUUUUGAUAGUUGUCUUGAAAACUUAGACAAGGUUUUGCAAAGGUGUGAAGAAAAGCACUUAGUCCUUAAUUGGGAAAAAUGUCAUUUCAUGGUUAGGGAAGGAAUAGUGCUGGGACACUUAGUGUCUGAAAGAGGUAUUGAUGUAGAUAAAGCUAAAAUUGAAGUAAUUGAACAACUACCUCCACCUGUGAACAUAAAAGGAAUUCAACGCUUUCUUGGCCAUGCUGGUUUCUAUUGUAGAUUCAUAAAAGAUUUUUCAUUUAUUGCUAGAUCACUUACUCUUUUGCUAGCCAAGUAUGCUCCUUUCGAAUUUGAUGAUGCAUGUCUAACAUCUUUCAAUUUAUUAAAGAAAGCACUCAUCUCUGCACCAAUCAUUCAACCCCCUGAUUGGUCGUUGCCUUUUGAAAUUAUGUGUGAUGCUAGUGAUUAUGCUGUGGGGGCAGUUUUGGGACAAACUAAAAAUAAGAAGCAUCAUGCAAUUGCUUAUGCCAGUAAAACUUUGACAGGAGCUCAACUUAAUUAUGCAACCACUGAAAAGAGCUUCUGGCUGUUGUCUUUGCCAUUGAUAAAUUUAGAUCUUAUUUAGUUGGAGCUAAAAUAAUUGUUUACACUGACCAUGCUGCACUAAAAUAUUUGCUCACUAAAAAAGAUGCUAAACCUCGCCUGAUUAGAUGGAUCUUAUUACUCCAAGAAUUUGACUUAGAAAUAAAAGAUAAAAAGGGAGUAGAAAUGAUGAGGACAUCACUCCUUCGGAUGCACACGAUGAUCCUACGCUGGAUUUUCAAGGUCCAAUCACAACAGCUCGCGCGCGACAACUAAAUUUACACGUGAGCUCGUUUCUAAGCAAGUCUUUAUAUGAUUUUGAGAAUAGAUUGCUACCUAAUGAUUAUAUUGUGCUUAGGAAUCAUGGAGAGGACCAGGGGAUGCAUAAGGGAGGGCUUGGAGGCGUGGAGGACCAGCAAGGGCGCCCAAGUCAAGGUGGAGGCCCAAACCAAGUCGACUUCGAGCCUGUUUCAGAGUCCAGGACCAGCGAGGAGUAAAACGGACGCCCAGGACGCAUCCGGACUCCGUUUUCGACGAUCCACCCAUGGUUGGAAAGAUAAUUUCAUAAGGAAACCAAUGGCAUUGGUUUGAGGUCCAAAUUCCUUCUGAGUCAUCAGGAAACGUCAAAACAAGUCAGCGUCCAGAAUCUGUUCCAGUGCUGCGUCACCGUUUUUGGUCUGUUGGGCCGUGUAUCGUCGUUGAGCCCAUUAGGGGGGCGCGUCCAGGGGUGGCGACGACCCUUAGACCUCUAUAACCAGCCGCCGCCACUCUCGUUAGGUUUUGUGUUUUGCUUAGAUUAUUCUGCCAAGAACUGUUUCGCCGCCGCGUCGGUUUGUGAGACCCCAACUCGUGAGAUUAAUCAUUCAUCUGCAAUUUGGUUGCAUUCUUUCUUGUUCUUGCUUGUGUUCUUCAUUUUGCAGGCAAAGGACUCAGCCUUCUUGGCGAGGUCGACCGUGCAUCAACGGUCGAUAACCAGAGGAGACGUGGUGCUGCUAUUGCGGGGUUUCAGGACCGAGUUGUUCGGAAGCCGGAUCGAAUUGUGUCGCGACUCCACCAAAUCGAGAGUUAUCAGAACCUUUCGGAAGAUCAGGAACCCUAGUUCACAUCAAGAAAAUUCUGUUGCUGAUCACUUGUCUAGAAUUUAUUUUAAGAAUCCACAGGAAACUUCCAUCAAUGAUUCACUCCGGGAUGACAUGCUCUACGGGAUUAACAGGUCUGACCCCUGGUAUGCAGAUAUUGUUAAUUUUAUGGUUUCAGAGUAUGUACCACCAGGAGCAAACAAGAAGAAGCUUAUUCAAGAAAGUCGUUCACAUAUAUGGGAUGAGCCAUACCUCUUCCGAGUAUGCUCUGAUGGCUUACUCAGGAGAUGUGUGACCACUGAGGAAGGAUAGAAGAUCAUCGACAGAUGUCAUUCAUCACCAUAUGGAGGUCACUAUGGAGCAUUCCGUACACAUUCAAAGAUCUGGCAGUGUGGAUUCUACUGGCCUACAAUGUAUGAAGACACGAAGCAAUAUAUCAGAAGAUGUAGGCCAUGUCAGAGGCACGGAAACAUAAACACAAGGGAUGCCAUGCCACUCACCAACAACCUACAGAUUGAGCUCUUUGAUGUCUGGGGAAUAGAUUGCAUGGGUCCAUUUCCCCCAUCAAAGAAGUGUGAGUUCAUCUUGGUGGUAGUUGACUACGUCUCCAAGUGGGUAGAGGCUCUACCUUGCAAACAUGCCGACAACAUCAGCUCAAAGAGGAUGUUUGAAGAAGUUAUAUUUCCAAGAUUUGGAGUUCCCAGAGUAGUGAUAAGUGAUGGAGGAGCACACUUCAUUGACAAACACUUCAAGCAAUAUCUAGCAAAACAUGGAAUCCGUCACAACGUCGCUACCCCUUACCAUCCUCAGACAAGUGGCCAAGCAGAGACUUCCAACAAGCAAAACAAGAAUAUUCUACAGAAGACAGUUAAUGAGAUGGGAACGGCAUGGAAAGACAAGUUACCCGAUGCACUCUGGGCAUACCGGACAGCAUACAAGACCCCAAUUGGAAUGUCCCCAUACCAAUUGGUGUACGGGAAGACUUGCCACCUACCUGUUGAACUAGAAUUCAAAGCACAUUGGGCCAUAAGGAGAUGGAAUAUGAACCUAGAUGUCGCUGGAGAUCAUAGAAGAAUGCAAUUAACAGAAUUGGAAGAAUGGCGAGAGAAAGCAUACCACAAUUCGAAGAUCUACAAAGAAAGAGUCAAAAGGUGGCAUGACAAGAGGAUCAAGAAGAAGGAGUUCGCACCCGGAGAUAAGGUAUUACUUUUUAAUUCUAGGGUGAAGCUUUUCGGGCAUGGAAAACUCCGGAGUAAAUGGGAAGGACCAUUCAAGGUAAUCAAUUCAUCAUCCCACGGAGCUAUCACACUUCAAACUGACGAAGGUAUGUUAUUCAAGGUAAAUGGUCAUCUUAAAUUAUUUUUAGAGCCCAAUAAAGAAUUAGAAGAAAUAGACGUAAUCUAUUUCUACCUUCCCAUGGAGAAUUAGAGCCCAACCUUUUUAACCUGACGUUUUUGGGCCACAUAUAUAUUUUUCGAAUAAAGUCUGUAUCUAGAAGCACGCUCGAGGAAGCGGGCCCACAGAGGGGCCAGGCACAGGGCGGGCGCCCUGAUGAAGACGGCGGGCGCCCAGCCCCUGUUCCCUCUCAGUACCAAUUUCCUCCGUCGUGAUAAACACAUUUUUGGUAAACUAAAUAAUCAUACAGAUGGAAAGUUUCGCACGCACGGCAGCGAGAGUAGCCCGAGCAAACCCUAGAGGCACUUUUUGACCCCUAUAUAAACAGACCCCUGACGUCAGUUUUUAAACACCAAUCUAUUCAAGCCUUCUCUUCUUCUUCUAUUAGAGCAUGCUUAGUUCCUCGCUGCUCCAAUGGCCGAAGAGUUCCACGACGAUUGGGAAGUCAUCCCCUACGACCUCAACAAAAAGCCCAAGGAAGACCCCGACGCCUACGCUCUCAUCCCGGCCAACACAGAGCGACAGCUAGAAGCCAUGCCAUUACGCCAGCACAGCUCCGCCCAAUCCUACCAUGCUCAACCAGUUCUCACCGCACCGCCACAACCCCUACUUCUCAAGGGACCAUCAGCCAAGAAAGAGGCCACCAUCAAGGUGCCAGUCGGCACAAGGAUCCUACCAUCCAGACCCAAUGAGAGGGUCGUUGGAGUCAAGACCAACCGGAGCGGCGAGAUCAGCAGCAUCCGCUACACUACGGAAGAGGAGAGGCCUUACUUUGAGAGGAUUAGAGCAGCCAAAGUCCGUUUCAUCCCUCCAAAGGCAGCCCCGAAGCACGCUCUCAAUGCUCUCGAGACACCUCCUAAGCGUCGCAAGACUAUAGUAGAUAUUGAUGAGGACGUUCGUAGGCUAGACAAGAUCAUCAUAGAGCUCCAGUCCUCGGUUAACUCUAUCACUAGGCAGGUCUCUAACCAGAACACCGUUAUACUAGGCCUUAGGCAUGAUCUUGCUAGUGCCAAUAAGAAGAUCAGGGAGUUAGAGCGCCGCUAAGUUAUCUAAAUUAGAUCUUGAGGCAAUGCAUCUUAGUUAUUUAUCUUUAAAUUCGGUUUAGAUCUAUUAUUAGCUUCAGUUCAUUUCUAGUCAUUUGUAAUAAAUGCCACAAGAUUAAUAAAGAUUAUUAUUAUUAUUAUUAUUAUUAUUAUUAUUAUUAUUAUUAUUAUUAUUAUUAUUAUUAUUAUUAUUAUUAUUAUUAUUAUUAUUAUUAUGUCUUGUGUGUCUCUACUUUAUUUUUAUACAAGAAAGCAGAAAACAACUAUGGGGGAGAUCCCUCGACAUGCCAAACACACUUCGACUACACCACUCCAUGAUUCAGGUACAUACUCUGCACACUUUACACAUACACAUAUAUCUUAGAUUAUGCAGAAUAUUGUCUCCGAUAUGAUAAAUUAAAAAGAUUAAAAUGUCUCUAAUCAUGAUUAAUCUCACUCUGUGAUAUUUCUUGAAAACUUUCAACUAUUGAAAAUUAUUUUAAAACCCUGUGUUACUUAGGUCAUUGUGUAAUGUGAGAUGGUAGAGCAUGAGUAUCUUAUUCUUGAUAUCAUUGUUGCUUGGAGAAUUUAUUCUAGCUACCAUCCUCAGUGUUUUAUAUGCCUACUAAACCUGAAAAUAUUGAUAAUUAUAAAAGCUAUCUACUCUGUAUUGACUUAGUUCAAAAUGAGUUAGACCCUUGUUGAGAGAUUUAUCAUACUCCUAAGAUCAAGAUAUUUAUUCAGAAAGAUUCACUCUUCCGAAGUAUUAUUGUAUUAGAGGCAUGGGCUAUCCAAAAAUAAGGAUAUUUUGAGGAAAUAAAAAGGAGCAAGUGCUCGACAACCUCGCAGAGAAAAAAAUGGACAAGUGUCCGGCAGUAGAAUUAGGGGUACCUCGGUAUCCACUUAAAAAAAGAAAGAGAAGAGAGAAAGAAGAAAAUGAUAGCCCAUGGUCCCUCUAAUGAACAAUAUGCCAGUAAGAGUUGACAAGUUUUUAAUUUCCAAAGUCUUUGAUCUAAGAGUAUGGCAUUCCUCUCCUCGGAUCACGUUUUGAUCAGGCAAUAAAUGCAAGGUAAGUAUGCUUGAGAAUGUCUGCAAAAUUAAAACAGCAUCAGUAAGAUAUACAAAAGAUAAAUGAGUGAUCUGAGAGAACCUAUGAGGAUAAAGGUAUGCUAAAUUUCCUUUCAAAAAUAUACAAAAAAAUUCCAAGUAACAGGAUUGAGAAGAAAGGACCUUUACCCUUGACCAUAUAUUUCCCUGACUACAGUACAUAGUGAAUUUUCACAACACCUUGCAGGUAUGAAGAGAAUGUUUUACAAUGUUUUAACCCCAAAUAUUUUUCUUAACCAUCCUUUUCUCGAGGACGAGUAAAAGCCUAAGUAUGGGGGUGUUUGUUGACAGUUCUUAAGUAUCAAUUUUAAUUAUCAAAUAAACAAGGAAAAGGACCAAUAUACAAACAACACCUAGAAUUAGGGUUUGAUCUGACAGAAUUCCACAAGUUUUGUUGUUUAUCUGUUUCUAUAGGGGGUUAUCAGGAAAUAUGGAAGAAAGGCCCACAUGUCAGGAUUACAUUGAGAUAUUAACGUACCGCGCAAUUUUCUACCAUCUAGAAGACUCCAGAAGCCAUGGGAACGAAUGGGAAGGCGAUCGAGCCCGGGGGCAGGGCGCCCGCCCUCCCCCCUAGGGCGCCCGCCCUGGUGUUUCGGCCAAUCGCGUUCAACUUCGCGGAUCAUGCUCCACCGACCUAAAGGAUCAAGGAUAACCGUUCAAUCAAUGUUGGUUUGAUCCGACGGCCCACGUUGACCUGAGGGGACUAUAUAAGCAGACCCCCUGGCCCCUGGAGGAGAACAAGUUCAUCAUAGAGUUGAAAGGUGCCCUCGAAGGAUAACCUUUCCUCUAAAUAGACUUAGGGCUUAGCAUCCAAUGUAAGAGUAGACUAGAUCUACUAGAUUGAGAGAGAUAGAGUGGAGGUGUAGACCGGAGGAAGCCCGGCCUCUCGGUGUCUACUCCGAGGUUGUACCUGCGGGAUCAAGUUCUCCUAACCGGAGGCUUGCUCCUAGGAUUCUUCAGUAUUUCAACUUCUAAAUUCUAGUAAGUUCUUGUUUUAUUGUUCUUUGGUUUAUGAGUUUACUUUGAUCUCUUCGCGUAGAGUUUAGAGUAAUCAUCUCUAGCGUAAACGUGGUGUUUGGGCUAGGAUACUCAUAGAUAUCCCCUGACUAGCUUGUGGCAGAACCCCCUAAGUGAUUGGGCCCACCGGCACCUGUCAUUGUCCUACGGACCUCUGACGGUGAUGCCGGGAGUCCUCCCACUUUAGAAGUCCGAUGAGCAUCGCUGGACGCUCAUUCCACUGCUACCUGUGGCGUACCAAGCCGGCUCGUGCUGACCACUGGUGAUGGUCAAUUAACGAGAACUUCUUCUUCUCGCCCUUACAGCAUAGCAAGUGGCCACCUUAACACCAGGAUCAUUCGUUGCGAGGACAACGCAGUAACACAAACGGCACAAGACCAAAAUAAUAUUUCAGAGUAAAACGGCGGAAGUAUUACAUAACUUAAUUUACAGAAGGAGUUCUUCCAAGUAGUAGAGUAUUAUUACAAGCCUGAUCCAGCGGAGCAAGUUAAACUUUAGUACAGAGAUUACAAAUUUACAGACCCUGCCCAUGGGUCACGCUUACUCUUCUUCGUCGUCAACCUCGACGAAGGUCACACAAUAGGGUCCGAAACAAGUCGGCUCCUGCGCUUCACCUGCAACAGGGGGUUGGAAAACCCUGAGUACGGGUGUACUCAACAAGACUUACCCGGUGGAAAAGAGGAGAAAGUAGGAAUGCAGGCUUAGGGUAGACAAGGAGUGGCUGAGCAAGGAGCCAAAGUGUUUUGCUAAAAAGCUUACUAGUAGUGCAUCCUUACUUUCAAGUUUUACCCGCGAAUUCCUCUCCCGCAGAGGUCGAGGAGUUCGAGGACAGUCUAUCUAGUUGCUUCUCACAGACAAGUCUGUAAGUUCCUAGUCCUUAAUUAAAGUACUUUCUCUCCAACGGCCACAGCUUCAUGUCACUCUGAGUCCGGGAAUUGGGAUCCGAACUUCAUGAGACAUUUCCCCCUUUCUCAUUUUACCAAUUAGUUGCAUAUUUAGCUACGAUGAGGGUCAGUGGAUUGAGUCUCCCAAUCGGGGAGCAACGACGAUUCGAACCGCUUAGCAAUCCAGCUGGAGUUCCUAACCACCCGACAUAUGUAGAACCAAAUCUUGCAUAUGUCAACCCAAAUCAAGCUCUCCCCAAAUUUGACCAGGUUCGCGGCACCCGAGAGCACAGUACUCCACCCUCCUACAGCCGAUCUAGAUGUUUCCCGGUCAUCUCAGACCCGUAAGGUGGGUACACGCUACUCUCGCCAUCUUUCCACUCCCAGUGCGCGAGUAGCUGUUCGCGUCGAGGGAUCACAAGACUGGGCUUACCGAGGGUAAGUGGCCAGUACUACAAAUUCUCAACCCAUCAGGCCACCAACGGACCGGUCCUUAACCGACACAGUUGGAGACACUACUUUAAGACUCCAUUCUUAAAGCAAGUCCACCGACCGGUCUCAAGUUGAAACCUCAUUGACCAUAACUGUAUUCCACAACAACCCUUCAAACUAUGUUUGAAAACCUAUCUAGUAGCAGGGCUAAGCAUCACUACGCAUUUUUAAAAAUAAAACAGGUGCCAAGGACAAGAUAACAAAUAACAAGGUAGUAAAUGCAGCAUGUAGGUUAACCCAAUUCUCAACUAGCUAAUGCAGCAUUUUCAAUUCAUAAGUGACAAAAGAUUUAAAACAUUCAAGGAGGGGUUAAUGCAUCCGGGGCUUGCCUUGGUUGCAGGGCAGAGAGGGACCCUCGGAGACUUCCCAAGUCUCGGAUCCGACUUCCUCGAACGGAGCACCGACCUCGGGGUUCGGUUCAACGGGCGCUCCUUCGGUCACGGACACUAUACGCAAAAUGAUGAAUGCUCAUGAUAUGCGUAUGACAACUAUGCAAGAAGGAUCAAGUCGAGUACAACUUGCCUUCUCGGUGCAAUACAGAAUAAACCAUAUAUAAAUUUGUUUUUACCCAAGAGGUUGCAUCUGUAAAUUAAGACUUCUCUUAAUUUAUAAUUACCUUAAAUUAACUAAUUAUUAAUCCUUUUAUCUUAAUUAACUCUUAAUUAAUUACUACUGACAGCAAUUAAGCAUUAAGGCCAAACAAUAAUUAAAUGCCAAAGGUCAUUAGGGUUAAUGACCUCAGGUCUUCACAUAAUUCCAAAGUCACUUAAACCCUAAUUAUGAGGAUUGAACUAAUCCUUGUUUAAUUAUUUUGGAAUUAUUAUUUAAUUACUAAAUAAGGGUUUAAUAGUAUUUUCUUCAAACAUUAUCCAAAUGCCACCAAAUUUUGUGUGAAGCCUGGAAACAAUAUUCAGAGGCUCCCCACAAAUUUUGGUGAUUUUUGGACAUACAAAUAAAUUAUUAAAAUUCAUACAAGUCUUAUUUGUUAAUUAAAGGAGCCAAUUGUUAUACCCUUGCAAACUAUCAGAAAACAGAACCUAAUAUUUUUCUUGGCUCAUACAUAUUUCAGGGAGUCUAUACAAAAAUUUUUAUCAUUUUUGGAUCAUCACACAGUUUAUUACACAAAUUCAAAUAUAAACAAAAAACUGCACAAAAAGAAAAAAGAAAAGAACAGCGCAGCGGGCGGCCUGGAAACUGGGCCGCAGGCCGGCCCACGCGCGCUCGGCCCGCACCCGCGCUGCACGCGCCCGCGCCCUCGCCUCCCCUCAGGACGUCGCUGACAGCGGGCCCCCGCUGUCAGCUCCGUCUUCAACCUCCGGCCGGCCGAAUCGACGGCGCGACCGAGCCAUCCGCGCCUCCUCUGCUUCUCGCGACCCGCUGGUCGCGUUCUCCAUCCCAAGGCGCACCUCUGGACACUCUUGUCACCCCCUUUCUCCUCCCCUAACCCCCGCGACCACGGACACGGCGGACGGCCGCCUCGGCCGGGCAAACACCGGCCACUACGCUUGAGUAGAGCGCGAAGAGAGUAGCGCAAAAGCAACAGAGGCUCACCACAACUUCAACCGAGCAACAAACAGCAGCGGAGAGGCUUUGAGCGAUGCUGGCCACGGUGGGAUGCUUGCGGCGGCGCUUUGGCCGGAGCUGGAGGGGAAAACGACCCGGUUGUAGCUUAUGGGGGCUUAGAGUUUGCGUUAGGGGGCGCAAUCGGUGGCGGGGCUCAAGGCGGAGCUGCUGGGGUGCUCAAAUGGCUUGAAACGGCAACAGGUGAGGCGAAUUGGAGAGGCGCAGGGAGCUCGACGGCGAUGAGGUUCAAGGAGAAGAAAAGAAAUGUCCCGGCCACCCGAGGCUUUAUCCACGCGACGGCGCCUGCGAUGCGGACGAGGACGUCGAGCGAGGCACAGCAGCAAGCAGCUGCGUGGCCUUGUGCGUGGCGUCGCGCGCGGAGGCGGCUCUGCCCCGGCGGCAGAGCACCCUCCCCUGCCGAACACUGUAGCAAGCCAUAUCUCCUCACCUUGUCUUUUUGUGAAAUUUGACCAAAACUUGAACUAAAGCCCAAUUUCCACCAAAAUGAAAGCUGUGCAAAAUUUUGUAAGCUCCAAAAUAUGUUUAGGUGUCCCAAGCUGAUUCUGAGUGGAAAAAGGUUAAUUUGGCCAAACAGUUUGAAAAUUAAACUUGAUUCAAAGGAAUUCAAAUUUUUGAAUUGGGGACAAAUCAGGAUUUCCAAAAUUACUUUUAUUUUUCCUAAACAACUUGAAAAACUCCCAACAUGAAAGUUGCUCAACUUUUUGUGCUCUACAACUUUCAUGUUGGCCACUUUUCAAAAUUCCCAACGGAUUUUGAAUUGGAGGUUUAAAUUGGAAAAGGAAACACUUUCUGGAAAUCUGUAUUUUCAAAAUUACUUUGAAUUUUGUAUUGAAACUUCAAAAACUCAAAACACCAAAGUUGUACAUCUUGCCAAGAUCUACAACUUUGCUUUUGAACUCAUCCUCAAAUUUUGCUUGGUUUUUGAAUUGCACAAAAAGGGGCAAUUCUAAGGUCCGGAAAUCAGGGUUUCCCCCCCUUAGUCUUUCGGAAAGCUCCCACCCUAGGGUUCUAGCAACCAAGUCAAGCAUUAAUUUACAACAUAAACACACUUUAGUUCCCUAAGCACAUUCAACCAAAUUAAACUCGUUUUGAGUUGAUGCAUCAAGGUGUGCUUAACACUAUGCUGUGCAAUGCUGAUGAUGCCAUGAUCCGUUUUUAGUAACCGUAACAUCGGGGACGUUACAGCCCUUCCCCCUUAAAGAAAUCUCGUCCCCGAGAUUUAAAACCUUAGGGUAAGUAAUGGAAAAGGAAAUUUGUCAAAACUCUUUCAUCUUCAACUUUCCCAUAAAGCAAGAAGUUGGGGAAAACCACUCUAUUAUAAACAUGUACGUACACUAAGUACAUGGCUUCGGUUACUCUUUUCCUUCACUAGAGUACACUCCCUAUUUAUCACAUGUUGUCCUGAAGAGAAGCGUGGAAUUCAGGAAAAUUCUCCAGCAGAUAGUCUUCAGAUUCCCAGGUAGCUUCCUCUUCGGAAUGCUGGCUCCACUGUAUCUUGUACCACUUGGUAGUCGUUCUUCGAGUAAUUCUAUUUCUUUGAUCCAGUACUCGGAUAGGAUACUCCGAAUAAGUGAGAUCUGGUUCAAGUUCUACAUCUUCAAUAUCUUGGACUUGGUCUGGUACCCGAAGACACUUCUUCAGUUGAGACACAUGGAACACAUUAUGUAUCCCGGAUAAUCGUUCGGGCAGUUUAAGGCGGUAAGCUACCUGUCCACAUCGGUCAAUAAUUGGAAAUGGACCAAUGUAACGGGGCGCUAACUUGCCCUUAACACCAAAACGAUUUACUCCUUUCAUUGGGGAUACUUUCAAAUACACAUGAUCACCUUUGGCGAACCUUAAUGGUCGACGUCUCUUAUCAGCGUAGCUUUUUUGUCGGGACUGAGCAACUUUCAAGUUAUUUUGGAUGUGUCUCACUUUGUUCUCAGUCUCUUUCACUAAGUCAACUUCGAAGAACCAUCUUUCUCCAGGUUCCGACCAGUGUAACGGAGUUCGACAUCGACGGCCAUAUAGUGCCCCAAAGGGAGCCAUUUUGAUACUCUCUUGGUAGCUAUUGUUGUAAGAAAAUUCUGCUAGAGGCAAGCAGCCAUCCCACUUAUCUGGAAAAUUUAGGGCACAAGAUCUUAAUAGAUCUUCUAGAGUUUGAUUCACUCUCUCAGUUUGCCCACCUGUUUGAGGGUGGUAGGCUGUACUAUAUAAAAGCUUGGUGCCCAAGGAUUCAUGUAAGCAUUUCCAGAACUGGGAGACAAAUUGUGUGCCUCUAUCUGAUACUAUCGUCUUUGGCACCCCAUGCAGACUUAAUAUACGAUCAAAAUAGAUCUUAGCAUAGGUAGAGGUAUAAUACGAUUUCUUUACAGGUAAGAAAUGUGCUGUUUUGGUGAGACGAUCCACAAUGACCCAAAUUGAAUCAAAGCCUUUGGCCGUCUUGGGCAACCCCACUAUGAAAUCCAUACUAAUAUCAUCCCAUUUCCAUGCGGGGAUAGGCAAAGGUUGCAACUCCCCAGCGGACUUGAGAUGAAUAGCUUUGACCUUUCGAUAAGUGUCACAUUGGGCCACAUAGCAAGCUAUAUCUAUCUUCAUUUUUGUCCACCAAAACCUUUGCUUUAGGUCCUGAUACAUCUUAUUGCUUCCCGGAUGAAUAGAAUACCUCGUGGUAUGAGCUUCAUCCAGGAUUUGUUGACGUAGCUCAGGUACCUUUGGAACCACUAACCGGUUUUUGAACCAAACUACUCCUGCACCAUCCACCUUAAAGUCUGUGGGUGCUCUAUUAGAAAUCUUCUCUUUAAGAUGUUUCAUGCCUCUGUCUUCCUUUUGUGCCUCUAUAAUUUGAGCUUCGAGAUUGAAGUCAAUUUUUAGAUUGGCAAGGCUUCCCUGGGAAAUCAUUUCUAUCCCCAAGUCCUCUAGCUCUUGGCACAAAGUUAUAUCUCUAGGCAUCACUGUUAAGCAAUUACAGUGAGCCUUACGACUGAGGGCAUCCGCUACUACAUUUGCCUUACCAGGGUGAUAAUGCACCUCAAGGUCGUAAUCUUUGAUUAGUUCUAGCCACCUUCGUUGGCGCAUAUUAAGCUCGGCUUGAGUAAAGAUAUACUUCCAGCUUUUGUGAUCUGUGUAUAGAUGACAUGUGUUUCCCAACAGAUAAUGGCGCCAGAUCUUUAGUGCAUGUACCACGGCGGCUAGUUCAAGAUCAUGGGUCGGGUAAUUCUCCUCAUGUGGUUUAAGCUGUCUGGAAGCAUAUGCAAUUACGUGACCCUCCUGCAUUAGCACACAGCCUAUCCCUAUGCUUGAUGCGUCACAAUACACAUCAAAGGGUUUUUCAAUAUGUGGCUGGGCUAAGACAGGUGCAGUUGUCAAUAAUCUUUUCAGAGUCUGAAAGGCUUGCUCACAUUGAGGUGACCAAACAAAUUUUGUUUGAUUCUUGAGCAAGGUCGUGAUUGGUUUGGCGACUCUUGAAAAGUCCGGGAUAAAACGACGGUAAUAUCCCGCCAUACCCAGAAAACUACGGACCUCAUGUACCGUAGUCGGGGGUUUCCAAUUCAACACAUCUUCUACCUUGCCUGGGUCUACAGCGACUCCCUCCGCUGAUAAUACAUGACCCAGGAAAUGAACUUUGUCCAGCCAGAACUCGCAUUUGCUGAACUUAGCAUAUAGCUGAUGCUCCCUAAGACGGGUUAGCACAAUUCUCAGAUGUUCAGCAUGUUCUUUCUUAGUCUUGGAGUAGAUUAAGAUGUCAUCAAUAAAGACGACCACAAAUUUAUCUAGUUCUGGCAUGAAGACAGAGUUCAUCAGGUACAUGAAAUGGGCCGGUGCAUUGGUCAACCCAAAAGACAUUACCAAGUACUCAUACAGCCCGUAACGGGUUGUAAAAGCUGUCUUGGGCACAUCUUCCGGCCUAAUUUUAAUUUGGUGGUACCCUGAUCUCAAAUCAAUUUUCGAGAAUACUUUGGCCCCGGCUAGCUGGUCAAAUAAUAAGUCAAUGCGGGGCAAUGGGUACUUAUUCUUAAUCGUCACCUCAUUCAGGGAUGAUAGUCGACACACAGCCUUAAUGUUUGAUCUUUCUUUUUCACAAACAAGGCUGGGCAACCCCAUGGAGAAGAACUGGGCUGAAUAAAACCUUUCUGCAACAGCUCUUGUAGUUGGGUUUUUAAUUCGGCCAGCUCUUUCGGUGCCAUUCUGUAGGCCCUUCGAGAUAUUGGGGCUGUCCCUGGUUUCAAUUCUAUACUGAAUUGUACAUCCCGGUCCGGAGGCAGACCUAGUAAGUCUUCAGGAAAUACAUCCGGAAAAUCCCGAAUUACCGAGAUAUCUUUGACUUCAGACACAUUAGUGGCAUGAACUUGCCCAAUCGCCCGUUUGGGAGUAACUAAUUGAAUUAGCAGAUAGGAAUUCUCUUUGGGCAAUGGGAUUUUAAUGGUUCGAUGCAAAGUGUCUAGCACAACCCCUCGUUGUGCCAUCCAGUUCAUGCCUAGUAUGACAUCAAUCUCUUGGUCCUUAAGAACAAUCAUGCUAGUGGGAAAACUAUGCCCACCAAAUUCGAUGGGUAUCUGGUGAACCAUCUCUUUAGAACUUAGCCGUCCCCCUGGCGACUGUAUAUAAAAAUGAUCUUGUGUUUCCCCAAUGGGUAUGCCAUGCUUUAACACAAAGGUGCGAUUGAUGAAUGUAUGAGAUGCACCGGAAUCGAAAAGCAUUAAAGCAGGAUGUUUCGCGACAGGAAACGUACCCAUCAUUAUUGGUUCACCCUCCGGAAUCGUCUCCACUUCUGUAUGGAAGACUUGUCCCACAUUCUUCGCUGGUUUCCCCUUUUGCACGUUUUGUCCUUUCUGAACCCCAGUCCUGAAUUGGCCCGCCUAGGGUUGGCCUAUAGGUGGCCUUUGGAAGGUAGGGUUGGUUUGGCGGGGGUAAGGGCACUCUUUAGAGAAAUGCCCAGGCUUACCACAAUUGAAACAAGGGUAAUUGUGGCUGAGCGGAGCAGUGGGGCGAACACCUGGGGCGUUCGGCUGGCGUGGUGCAAGGGCGAUGGGCAGUAGGUCGAGGGUAUACCUGCUGCCCUGGUCUAUAUUGUGGUGGGGAAAAGGGACCACGAUAAGGUGACGGCGCUUGAAAGCGUCCGUGGCCCUGCGGAUGAUAAAUGAUUCUCUGGCGCUUUUGACCGCGACCAGAGAAGGAGGAGGAAGCAGCCUUCUUCUUGGCUUCUUUGUGCUUCCUAUUCUUUUCCUCUGAGGCGAUAGCAAUAUUUACCGCCUCGUAGAAGGUAGCAUUUUGGCAGGUGGUCAUCAUGGUCUGAAGUUUAGUAUUUAGACCACGCAUGAAGCAGGCUUUCUUCUUUCUGUCCGCGUUCACAUGGUCUGUGGCAUAUUGAGAGAGAUGAUUAAACUUUGCCACGUACUCCAUGACACUUUUAUCGCCUUGCUGCAAGGCGAGAAACUCUUCGGCCUUCAUGGCCAUGAGCCCUUCAGGUAUAUAAUGGGCGCGGAACGCGUCCUUAAACUCGGUCCAGGUAACCUGGUGUCCGGGAGCUUGGAUAGCUAAAAAGUUCUCCCACCAGGCACCUGCAGCUCCCCGAAGCUGCUGAGCUGCGAACUGCAGCUCCCCGAAGCUGCUGAGCUGCGAACAGGGGCUUCUGAGUUUCUGAACACUGAAUAAAACUAAACUUGUGCUCCAUGGUUCGGAGCCAGUCAUCCGCUUCUAACGGCUCAUCGGCCUUAGUGAAAACCGGGGGCCUUGUCUCGGUAAAGUCCACGUAGCGAGCUUCUCCGUCCCCAUUGUGCGGUGCCCUGAAGUUUGGGGCGGGGUGUGGUUGACGUUGUGCUAACUCGCGCAGCAAGCGAGCGUUGUCGGUAGUGGCACUCAACAGAACAGCAAUGGCAUCAGCCAAAGAAGGUGGAGCAGGUGGAGGGUUGGGGAUAUCAUCCCCUCCCUGAGAUGUUCCGGCUCCAUCAGAUCCUCGUGUACGCAUCGGCAUCUGCCACCAGAGUCACAGGUACUUAUUACCACAUGAAAUUCAUAACUUAGAACAUAUCUUACAUACUCCCAUUUAUUUAUUAAACAGCAGUUCGACACACCAGGAACAAACCAGUACAACUUCUCAAACUGAAAGAAAACUUUAUAUUACAAACCCGACCCCACUACGGUAAACUAGGAAUCCUACAACGACGUUGCCCGCUGCUCCACCGAACUAGUCGGUGUGGCUAGAGCUGUAGCCCGGGUCGUCAUUGCCGUCAUCCUGAUCACCCCCCGAGUUGUUAUCAUCGGGGUCGGACUCCUCUUCAUCACUGAUGCCCUGAUCGGGUUCCCCAUCGUCCGCCAACUCUCCAUCCGUAUCCAUCUCUCCUUCAUCUGGCGGUGGAUGGAGCUGGUGAUAUAGGCCAAAUGCAAUGUCACGAUAUUGCAUUGCCAAGUCAUUAACGGUGUCUAAAUGAUGUGCCAGCUCCAGCUUCUCCAAUUGGAGCUGGUCCUCUCGCUGCCACGCGACAUCCCGCUGCGCGGUGACCGUGGCCGCCAUCUUCAUGUACAGAUCUUUAAUGUACCUGGCCUUGUCCAGCUUUGCAUUCAUCCUAGUCAGCUCGUGCCUAUGUGUGCUCCUAGCCUCUUCUUCUCGGGCAAUAGCGGCAUUCCUCUCCUCUACCAUACGGGACAACAUAGCCUCACAGUUCUCGGUAGCUUGUUUUUCUUUGGCUAGUUGAGCUUUAAGUUCGCCGAUCUCCAUGACAUUGUACAUCCUUUAUCUCAUCACUUCAGUCAACUCGGCGGACAACCUGUCCACCUCCUGCUGCGGCGGUGAACGGCUGCUGCUUGCUUGAUCGCUUCGCGGGGCCAGCUGGUGUUUGGGGACCCCUUUUGGUCCUGUCCUCUUACGCGGGGUCAGCUUCCAAUGAGGUAUCCUGUAGAGGGUAAGUUUGGAUUAAUAAGGGAGGCCUUACAGGUUAGCAAGAAUGGGAUUGAUUCUAUACAACCCAACCCAAACAAGGAGGAAGGAAAUUUAACCAAGUUGACAAAUCAUGAUGCAUGCACGUACUUACGACUCCUAUCAACAAUUCGUAACGAUAUUACUCAAAAUUGUACAACAUAGGGCAAUACUUAAUGUUGCUCCUCCAUACCACUCCAAAAAUUCUAAGAAAGCCUACAGACAGGGGUAAGUUAGGACUAAGCACUUGGACUCAAAAUAGGCAAGUUUAUAGUAUUGGAUCCAAGCGAAUUUUGAAGUUUUUCAAGAGGUACAGCAGUCAUCUUAGCAACGAAUGCUCUGAUACCAGCUGUGGCAGAACCCCCUAAGUGAUUGGGCCCACCGGCACCUGUCAUUGUCCUACGGACCUCUGACGGUGAUGCCGGGAGUCCUCCCACUUUAGAAGUCCGAUGAGCAUCGCUGGAUGCUCAUUCCACUGCUACCUGUGGCGUACCAAGCCGGCUCGUCCUGACCACUGGUGAUGGUCAAUUAACGAGAACUUCUUCUUCUCGCCCUUACAGCAUAGCAAGUGGCCACCUUAACACCAGGAUCAUUCGUUGCGAGGACAACGCAGUAACACAAACGACACAAGACCAAAAUAAUAUUUUAGAGUAAAACGGCGGAAGUAUUACAUAACUUAAUUUACAAAAGGAGUUCUUCCAAGUAGUAGAGUAUUAUUACAAGCCUGAUCCAGCGGAGCAAGUUAAACUUUAGUACAGAGAUUACAAAUUUACAGACCCUGCCCAUGGGUCACGCUUACUCUUCUUCGUCGUCAACCUCGACGAAGGUCACACAACAGGGUCCGAAACAAGUCGGCUCCUGCGCUUCACCUGCAACAGGGGGUUGGAAAACCCUGAGUACGGGAGUACUCAACAAGACUUACCCGGUGGAAAAGAGGAGAAAGUAGGAAUGCAGGCUUAGGGUAGACAAGGAGUGGCUGAGCAAGGAGCCAAAGUGUUUUGCUAAAAAGCUUACUAGUAGUGCAUCCUUACUUUCAAGUUUUACCCGCGAAUUCCUCUCCCACAGAGGUCGAGGAGUUCGAGGACAGUCUAUCUAGUUGCUUCUCACAGACAAGUCUAUAAGUUCCUAGUCCUUAAUUAAAGUACUUUCUCUCCAACGGCCACAGCUUCAUGUCACUCUGAGUCCGGGAAUUGGGAUCCGAACAUCAUGAGACAUUUCCCCCUUUCUCAUUUUACCAAUUAGUUGCAUAUUUAGCUACGAUGAGGGUCAGUGGAUUGAGUCUCCCAAUCGGGGAGCAACGACGAUUCGAACCGCUUAGCAAUCCAGCUGGAGUUCCUAACCACCCGACAUAUGUAGAACCAAAUCUUGCAUAUGUCAACCCAAAUCAAGCUCUCCCCAAAUUUGACCAGGUUCGCGGCACCCGAGAGCACAGUACUCCACCCUCCUACAGCCGAUCUAGAUGUUUCCCGGUCAUCUCAGACCCGUAAGGUGGGUACACGCUACUCUCGCCAUCUUUCCACUCCCAGUGCGCGAGUAGCUGUUCGCGUCGAGGGAUCACAAGACUGGGCUUACCGAGGGUAAGUGGCCAGUACUACAAAUUCUCAACCCAUCAGGCCACCAACGGACCGGUCCUUAACCGACACAGUUGGAGACACUACUUUAAUACUCCAUUCUUAAAGCAAGUCCACCGACCGGUCUCAAGUUGAAACAUCAUUGACCAUAAGUGUAUUCCACAACAACCCUUCAAACUAUGUUUGAAAACCUAUCUAGUAGCAGGGCUAAGCAUCACUACGCAUUUUUAAAAUAAAACAGGUGCCAAGGACAAGAUAACAAAUAACAAGGUAGUAAAUGCAGCAUGUAGGUUAACCCAAUUCUCAACUAGCUAAUGCAGCAUUUUCAAUUCAUAAGUGACAAAAGAUUUAAAACAUUCAAGGAGGGGUUAAUGCAUCAGGGGCUUGCCUUGGUUGCAGGGCAGAGAGGGACCCUCGGAGACUUCCCAAGUCUCGGAUCCGACUUCCUCGAACGGAGCACCGACCUCGGGGUUCGGUUCAACGGGCGCUCCUUCGGUCACGGACACUAUACGCAAAAUGAUGAAUGCUCAUGAUAUGCGUAUGACAACUAUGCAAGAAGGAUCAAGUCGAAUACAACUUGCCUUCUCGGUGCAAUACAGAAUAAACCAUAUAUAAAUUUGUUUUUACCCAAGAGGUUGCAUCUGUAAAUUAAGACUUCUCUUAAUUUAUAAUUAUCUUAAAUUCACUAAUUAUUAAUCCUUUUAUCUUAAUUAACUCUUAAUUAAUUACUACUGACAGCAAUUAAGCAUUAAGGCCAAACAAUAAUUAAAUGCCAAAGGUCAUUAGGGUUAAUGACCUCAGGUCUUCACAUAAUUCCAAAGUCACUCAAACCCUAAUUAUGAGGAUUGAACUAAUCCUUGUUUAAUUAUUUUGGAAUUAUUAUUUAAUUACUAAAUAAGGGUUUAAUAGUAUUUUCUUCAAACAUUAUCCAAAUGCCACCAAAUUUUGUGUGAAGCCUGGAAAUAAUAUUCAGAGGCUCCCCACAAAUUUUGGUGAUUUUUGGACAUACAAAUAAAUUAUUAAAAUUCAUACAAGUCUUAUUUGUUAAUUAAAGGAGCCAAUUGUUAUACCCUUGCAAACUAUCAGAAAACAGAACCUAAUAUUUUUCUUGGCUCAUACAUAUUUCAGGGAGUCUAUACAAAAAUUUUUAUCAUUUUUGGAUCAUCACACAGUUUAUUACACAAAUUCAAAUAUAAACAAAAAACUGCACAAAAAGAAAAAAGAAAAGAACAGCGCAGCGGGCGGCCUGGAAACUGGGCCGCAGGCCGGCCCACGCGCGCUCGGCCCGCACCCGCGCUGCACGCGCCCGCGCCCUCGCCUCCCCUCAGGACGUCGCUGACAGCGCCCGCUGUCAGCUCCGUCUUCAACCUCCGGCCGGCCGAAUCGACGGCGCGACCGAGCCAUCCGCGCCUCCUCUGCUUCUCGCGACCCGCUGGUCGCGUUCUCCAUCCCAAGGCGCACCUCUGGACACUCUUCUCACCCCCUUUCUCCUCCCCUAACCCCCGCGACCACGGACACGGCGGACGGCCGCCUCGGCCGGGCAAACACCGGCCACUACGCUUGAGUAGAGCGCGAAGAGAGUAGCGCAAAAGCAACAGAGGCUCACCACAACUUCAACCGAGCAACAAACAGCAGCGGAGAGGCUUUGAGCGAUGCUGGCCACGGUGGGAUUCUUGCGGCGGCGCUUUGGCCGGAGCUGGAGGGGAAAACGACCCGGUUGUAGCUUAUGGGGGCUUAGAGUUUGCGUUAGGGGGCGCAAUCGGUGGCGGGGCUCAAGGCGGAGCUGCUGGGGUGCUCAAAUGGCUUGAAACGGCAACAGGUGAGGCGAAUUGGAGAGGCGCAGGGAGCUCGACGGCGAUGAGGUUCAAGGAGAAGAAAAGAAAUGUCCCGGCCACCCGAGGCUUUAUCCACGCGACGGCGCCUGCGAUGCGGAUGAGGACGUCGAGCGAGGCACAGCAGCAAGCAGCUGCGUGGCCUUGUGCGUGGCGUCGCGCGCGGAGGCGGCUCUGCCCCGGCGGCAGAGCACCCUCCCCUGCCGAACACUGUAGCAAGCCAUAUCUCCUCACCUUGUCUUUUUGUGAAAUUUGACCAAAACUUGAACUAAAGCCCAAUUUCCACCAAAAUGAAAGUUGUGCAAAAUUUUGUAAGCUCCAAAAUAUGUUUAGGUGUCCCAAGCUGAUUCUGAGCAGAAAAAGGUUAAUUUGGCCAAACAGUUUGAAAACCAAACUCAAUUCAAAGGAAUUCAAAUUUUUGAAUUGGGGACAAAUCAGGAUUUCCAAAAUUACUUUUAUUUUUCCUAAACAACUUGAAAAACUACCAACAUGAAAGUUGCUCAAAUUUUUGUGCUCUACAACUUUCAUGUUGGCCACUUUUCAAAAUUCCCAAUGGAUUUUGAAUUGGAGGUUUAAAUUGGAAAAGGGAACACUUUCUGGAAAUCUGUAUUUUCAAAAUUACUUUGAAUUUUGUAUUGAAACUUCAAAAACUCAAAACACCAAAGUUGUACAUCUUGCCAAGAUCUACAACUUUGCUUUUGAGCUCAUCCUCAAAUUUUGCUUGGUUUUUGAAUUGCACAAAAACGGGCAAUUCUAAGGUCCGGAAAUCAGGGUUCCCCCCCUUAGUCUUUCGGAAAGCUCCCACCCUAGGGUUCUAGCAACCAAGUCAAGCAUUAAUGUACAACAUAAACACACUUUAGUUCCCUAAGCACAUUCAACCAAAUUAAACUCGUUUUAAGUUGAUGCAUCAAGGUGUGCUUAACACUAUGCUGUGCAAUGCUGAUGAUGCCAUGAUCCGUUUUUAGUAACCGUAACAUCGGGGAUGUUACAUAGCUGGACCGUGGUAGUAGCGAGGAACGUGACAUUUUCGAGUUACCUUUGCAGCCCAUAUCCCGUUAGUAGGAUCGAUAGGGUUUAUAGGUGCGGGUUGAACAUCCUCUGUAGUGUCUAGAUUCCGUGAGCUUCCCCAAUAGAACAGUAGAUCAUCCUUACCAAGGUUAGAACGAGACUACGGUUGUAGUCUUCUCUAUACAUCACUCACAUCGAGUCACAUUUUUUGUACCCUAAAGGUUAGUAGUAAUAGACCAGGUUAGUCAGAUGAACGCUUUCUCCUAGUGGUAAAAAUAUAAAUACGAUACUCUGGAUAACAUCCCGGGUGAAGUGCUCACCGAUAUCCGUGCGCUUGCGGAUCAAUUCCUUAUUGCGUUACCAUAUAUCAACAGUCUUCAAGAUUAAGUUUUGGACCAGAUUCUAAAAUCUCAGAAAAACGUUUCUAGGAUUUACCCAAAGUUUCAUUUUCUUUUUGUUUAAAAGAUAGAACUUUGAGUCUAAGAUCGGCGAUACGGUCGAGGGAAUAAAAAUCUAGACAAAAGUUGGCUCGUAAAACUCCUCAUUCACCUCGUUGUUCACUUACCUUCUAUCUAUACCAUUGUCUAGCUUCUCCCCUUAAAGAAAAAGGAAAAAACUUCCAACGUAAAGUUUUAUCAGAAAUGCCUUCAAUGCGAAGACAAUCGCAUGUUUGCUCAAAAUCUCUAAUAUGAAGGGUUUUUGUCUUCCUUUUCCGAAAACUAUAGCUUCUUAAUCAUGGCAAUUAACCUUCAACUUAACCUGUACUCAGAUGUUUGGAUAGGCUGUGAUGACUCCCAUGGUAAAAGGUCAGUUUCCGAAGGUGUUGCAAAUUGGUAAAUCGAUUUCGAAUCUUGGUUUUCCAUAAGGUAAGAAUAGAUAAAAUAGAGAAUAUAAAAAGAUAAGAAAAUAUAAAAGUAUAAAUACAAGCUAGUAGCAAGACUCAAGGUUAUCUCAGCAAACCGUCUUUCUCCCCGGCAACGGCGCUAAAAAUGCUUAUUGAUAUUUGGUAACGCAAUCAGGAAAUGAUCCGCAAGCGCAUGAAUAUCGGUGAGCACUUCACCUAGUAGGUUAUCCAGAGUAUUGUAUUUAUAUUUUACCACUAGGAGAAAGCAUGCAUCUAACUAACCAAAUCUAUUACUACUAACCUUUAGGCUACAACCACUAUGAUUUGAUGUGAGCGAUGUAUAGAGAAGACUACAACUGCACCCUUGUUCUAACUUUGGUAAGGAUGAUCUACUGUUCUAUUGGGGAGGCUUAUGGAAUCUAGACACCACAGAGGAUGUUCAACCCAGACCUAUAAACCCUACCGAUCCUGCUAACAGGAUUAUGGGCUACAAAGGUAGCUACGGAAAUGUCACGUUCCUCGCUACUACCACGAUCCGGCUAGAGAGGGGAUAUCUGAGUAUCCUAGCCCAAACACCAUGUUUACGCUAGCGAUGAUUACUCUAAACUCUAUGCGAAGAGAUCAAAGUAAACUCAUAAACCAAAGAACAAUAAAAGAAAGAACUUACUAGAAUUUAGAAGUCGAAAUACUAAAGAAUCCAAGGAGCAAGCCUCGGGUUAGGAGACUUGAUCCCGCCAGUACAACCUCAGAGUAGACACCGACAGGUCGGGCUUCCUCCGAUCUACACCUCCACUCUAUCUCUCUCAAUCUAGAAGAACUAAUUCUAAUCUCACAUUGGAUGCUAAGCCCUAGGAGAUUGGAACCCUAGAGGGACCUCUCUCUCUCAAUCCUCUCUUGAAAAUAUGCUAAUGAAUAAUGGGAUUGCUCUCCUCCAGGGGCCAGGGGCCUUGCUUAUAUAGCCCUCUCAAAUGAACGUGGGCCGUCGGAUCAAACCGACCUUAAUUGAACAGUUUUCCUUGAUCCUUAGAGGCGGUGGAGCAUAAUCCAUGAGACUCGUGCUGAUUGGCCACCAAAGGGGGGCGGGCGCCCUGCUGCUGGGCUCGCUUGACCUCCCGCUCGUUCAUGUGGCUUCUGGACUCUUCUAGAGCGAGGAAAAUUGGUGCACACGUUAAUAUCUCUAUGUAAACCCAAUGUGUGGGCCUUUUCUUCAUAUUUCCUGAUAAUCUCCUGCAGAAAUAAAUAAACAACAAAACUCAUGUAAUUCUAUCAGAUCAAACCCUAAUUCUAGGUGUUGCUUGCUUAUGGAUCAUUUUCCUUGUUUAUUUGAUGAUUAAAAUUAAUACUUAAGGACCAUAAACAAUAAGCUUGAUGUUAAGAAUGACAUCAGUUUCUCCAAAAUUUUUCAUAUCGAAAUUACUCGAUAAAAGUUUCUUUACUUCCUCAAUCACAUUGAGGUUUGAUCCAAAGGUCAAUAUGUCAUCAACAUAAAGGCACAACAUAAUGACCUCAUCCCCACCAUAUUGAUAAUACACACACGUGUCAGCUUCAUUCACAACAAAGCCAACAGUAGUGAGAGUAUUAUCAAACUUUUCAAGCCAUUGCUUAGGUGCUUGUUUUAGGCCAAACAAUGAUUUUUAAUAACCUACGCACCUUGUUCUCUUGACCAUCCACAAUGAAUCCUUCUAUCUGAUCUAUAUAGAUCUCCUCAUCCAACUCUCUAUUAAGGAAAGCUAUCUUAACAUCCAUCUGAUAAAUGAUAAGACCAUAAGAGGCUGCCACAGCUAUUAAUGUGCGAAUUGUAGUCAACCAAGCCACUAGUGAAUAGGUGUCAAAGAAAUCUUCACCCUCCUUUUGGGUAUAUCCUUUGGCCACAAGCCUUGCCUUGUACCUCUCAAUUGUACCAUCAGGCCUAAGCUUUUUCUUAAAGAUCCACUUGCACCCUAUAGGUUGACAACCAUAAGGAUGGUCAAUGACCUCCCAAGUUCCAUUAGACAUAAUAGAAUUCAUCUCACUCCUUACUGCUUCCUUCCAUAAGUUAGCAUCAGGAGAGGAAUAUGCCUCUCUAAUGGUGGUUGGUGUGUCUUCCACAAGGUACACUAUAAAGUCAUCACCAAAGGAUUUUGCAAUCCUCUAUCUCUUGCUCUUUCGACUGACUAUAGUGUCAUCUUCCUCGGGGAUGUGCAUGUGAGUCUCCUCAACAUGAUCUAUAGGAAUUGAUAAUUCUUGCUCAUGGGGUAUUAUAGUCUCAUGACUAGUUUUACUAGGUGUAUUUUUUCAUGGGAAACUCAUUCUCAAAAAAUGUAGCGUCUCUUGACUCCAUGAUAGUAUCAACAUACAUAUCAGACACAUCAGAUUUUAUAAUUAAGAACCUAUAUCUAGUGCUGUAAAAAGAAUAGCCUAGGAAAACACAAUCAACAGUUUUAGGCCCAAGUUUACGCUUUUUGUUGAUUGGCACAUUCACCUUAGCCAAGCAACCCCAUGUGUGCAAAUAUGAGAGAUUUAAUCUUCUCUUUUCUCAUUCAUCAAAUGGUGUAAUCUCUUUGUUCUUUGCUAGAACUCUGUUAAGGACAUGACACGCUGUCAAAAUUGCCUCACCUCACCAUUCCUUGGAUAAUCCCGCUCUACUCAACAUGGCAUUUACCAAAUCAGUUAGAGUGCGGUUUUUCCUUUUAGCAAUCCCAUUGGAUUAUGGUGAGAAUGGAGGUCUCAUGAACAUUUCCAUGUUCCACACAGAACUCAUCGAAAAGAUUAGAGAAAUAUUAUCCACCUCGAUUAGACCUUAGCCGUUUUAUUUUCCUCUCAAGUUGGUUCUCAACUUCAGCUUUAUAGGUCUUAAAAUAAUUAAGCACUUCAUCUUUUGUUUUCAAGAGAUACACAUAGCAAAAGCGCGUGGAGUCAUCUAUAAAAGUGAGAAAGUAUCUUUUGUCAAAAUUCCAAUCAUCUCACACAGAUCAGAAUGAACAAGUUCUAGAGGUGCCAAAUUCCUCGCCUCAGCAGCCUUGUGAGGCUUGCGGGGUUGUUUUGAUUCAACACAUACAUGGUACUUAGACUUUUUGACCAAGUUGAAUUUAGGAAUUAAAUUUAGAUUUGCUAGCCGCAUAUGACAACCAAAACUUACAUGACAAAAGCGUGAAUGCCAUAAAUCUGACUCAUCAGAAAUAUUAAUAGAAUUCACUAUUUUAUUACACUCGUCAUGCAAAGAUAAGCGGAACAAACUUCUGCAAUCAUAUCCUUUACCAACAAAGGUACCAUGUUUCGACACAACACAUUUAUUUGACUCAUGGACAACUUUGUAGCCAUCUCUAUAUAACAUAGAUGCGCUAACAAGAUUCUUCUUUAUGGAGGGCACAUGCUGCACGCUCUUCAAUGGCACUGUCUUCCCCGAAGUAAACUUCAGAAUGACCGUACCAACACCAAGAACAUGAGCACGCGACCCAUUUCCCAUCAACAAGGCACCAGAUCUCCCGACCUGAUAGGAAGAAAACAAAGACACAUCAGCACACACAUGAAUAUUUGCACCACUGUCCAUCCGCCACUCAUGUGAAUUACAAACUGGAAGAACAAAUGUUAAAGAAUUACCAUACCCAGAUGUUCCAUCUUCAAUUUCGGUAGUUACAACAUUAGGUGAUUUCUUGUCCUGUGUGACCUUGCGAUCAGGGCACUCUCUAGCCCUGUGUUGAUCACUACCACUGACAAAGCAUCCUUCCUUUCCCUUAUUUUUGUUGCUCUUCUUUUUAAACUGUGUUUUUUGAAGAGGCUUAGGUGUAUUCUCUUGCUUGUUCUGGAUUUUCUUCUUGUUAAACUUGCGGAAUUUCCUCUGCACCACAUUAGCAGAAGAUGUUUCAACACCUUUCCCAAUGUCCUUUACUCUAGCCCUCUCGUCAACACCAAGAGUACCAAUGAGCUCUUCCACAUUGAACUCUUGUCUCUUAUGUUUGAGAGAGGUGGCAAAGUCCUUCCAAGAAGGUGGUAACUUGGCGAUUAUACCGCCAGCCACAAACUUGUCAGGCAAAGGACAAAGAAAAAGUUAGUUUCUUAGCUAGUGACUGAAACUCAUGAGCCUAUUCCACUACAGAUUGGUUCUCAACCAUCUUGUAGUCAUACAACUGCUCUAUGAGAUACAGCUCGCUGCUAGCAUCAGUAACUCCAAACUUUCCAACAAGUGCAUCCCAUAGCUCUUUCCCUGUAGGGAGAAUGAUAUAGCUUUUCUAGAACUUUGUGUCAAGUGCGCUAAUCACUGCACCUCGAAAGAGGUUAUCAUCAGCCUUAAACUUAGCCUCAUCCUCAGGAGACAAGUUAGCAGGCUUGCCCUCAGAGGCAUGAUAACAUGAUAUAGCAGUUAUCUACAAUUUUAUCUUAGCUUUCCAAAUCAAUAAGUUUUUACCACCAAAAGGAUCAAGUUUCAAUACGGUAGCAAAACCUCUGACAGAAAAAAUACCUAUAAUUAGAUUCUUGGAUUGUUAGAUAUUUAGGCAAUUUCUAUAUCAUUUUAAUUCCAUAAAUCAAUAUUAUGAUGAUGACAUAUAUAAUAUAAUUAAUCAUAGAAAUCAUGAUAUUAAACAUGUUCAUAGGAAUAUAGAACAUGUGAUCUAUGAACAUAUAGAACAUGUGAUUAUUAAAAAUAUAAAAGUAUAAUAUAUAAAAUAUAAUAACAAGGCAAGACAUAUAUCUUAAAAUAGCAAUAAACAAGAGACUGCGCGUUAAACGACAAAAUAGAAUUACUGAAACAUGUGAGAAUGUGAGAAACAGUAUAUCAAACGACGUGACUGAACCACUACUGAAACAUAGAGACAGCAACAUAUGAAACGUUUUAACUUAACCAACGAAACAAGCAGACAUGACAUAGAUCUUACAACAGAAAUAUAUAUAAGAUAAAAACAGAAAAGACAUGAUAGAAUAUACGAAACAUAUCCAGAAUAGUAUGCGCAACAAUAUAAAUACACUACUGCAACAUGUAUGGAUAGGAAGACAAAACACAGUAGAAAGAUGAACGGAUUAUACCCUCCCAUGUGCUCCGAUGAUCCCGAUCCUUGACCAAUUUCCAUGAUGUAGAGGACGAAGACAAUCUUUCCACCGAGAAGAAAAAAUCCGCCCGAACCAGCUUGAGGAAGACGAACAGCAGCGAUGGAUUGGCCAGUCGCGUAGUCGCUCUGUAACACCCAAAAUUUGGCUCUUUUAAAAAUAGAUGAAUUUGACUUUAUUAAAUAAUUUUGUGAGCAUUUUCAAUAAAAUAAUAAUUUUUGGGGAAUUAAAAUUUAAUGUAGGUUUAGAAAAGAUUUUGUUGCAUACAUGCUGGUGCAAUUUUACUGUGAUGAUUGUUUUAAAAACAAAAUGUCUUUUGCUCAAAAAUUCAUUUGGGAAAAUGCAAGUGGAAAAAUGUAUUUAAAAAAAAAGAAAAAGAAAAUGGAAUUUUCCUUUCCCCCUCUUCCCCUCUCGGCCUUUCGGCCCAACCCCUCCCCCGCGCUCUUCUCUUCCUGGGCCGCGGCCCAGCCGGCCAGUUUCCUCCCUUCCCCUCUCUCUCUCACGCGCUGGCAAGUGGGGCCCGCUUGUCAGCUCCUUCCCCUCCAAACUGCCCCCUCCUUCUCUCCUUUCUCUACAACCGCCAGCCGAGCCGAAGCCCCACUCCCGCUCCCACGUUCUCUCCCCCGCGCCUCGCCCUCUUUGGUCGCGCCCGCGCACGAGCCGCAAACCCCACACCCCCUUUUCGCUCUUCCCUCGCACCCGCUCCCACUCGCAGAGCGCAUAAACCACCGUCGGAGCGCCGCCGCGAUCCACCGCCCGCUGUCCGGCCGAAUCGAGCCAUUUUCGCUCCAAUUCUUCGCGCUGGUGAGCUCUACUCCUUCCCCGCGUUCUUCUCAAUCAAAUUUCAUGCAAUUUGGUGCCUCCUAGCGUCCUAGCCAUGAGCUCCGAGGAGCCGGCCAUGGCGCCACCGCGGUCCGCGCUGCGCGGACGUUUCUCCGGCCGCGCAAAGGCUAGGAUUGGAUUCGCCGCGACCUCCUCUCUCUCCCGGUGUUUUUGCUUCGCGAAACCGAGCUCCGUAGCGCUCUGUAGGUUUUCUCCGGCGAUCUCGGGCCGGCCGGCCAUGGAGCGCCGCCGUCUCCUCUUCCCCCUCCGGCCGGCAUCUCUUGUCCCCCCCCCCCCGAUCUAAUCGUGAGCGUCCGUUUUCAAUCCGAUGGCCAGGAGCGCUCCAUACCCCUUCGGGUGGAUAUUUUGCUAAAGAGUCCUUUUGAAUUUAGGAAAUAAAACCCGCAGUCCAUGCCGCUUUGCAGGAAAUACGCUUCCCUUUUGGAGAAGCGUAAAGUCUCGGUUUGAAUCAGAAUACGUUUUCAGUAUUUACAGUUUUGCCACUGAGAUUGUUUAGCUCAUAAAAUAUUCAUUUUAACUCCGAUUUGACCUGUUCAAAUUGCGUUAGGUUCGUCUUUGCGAGCUCUACAUGUUAGUAACCUGGUUUCACCAAUUUGAAACAUUUUAAUUUCGUGACCCUAUUUAAUUAUUUACUUUUCUAAAGAAAAUGUUAGAAAAUUCAUAUCUUCUCCGUUUUAGCUCCGAUUCGAUCCGUUCAAGUUGCGUUAGUUUUAUAAUCUCAUAAGCUUCGCGUUGGUACCUUUGUUGGCUAGAUUCACCACUAUUAGAUUCCCUAGUUAAUUACAAGUCCGUAAACUCCUGUUGAAAUCUCGUUAAAAGCGUAACUUUCGCGUCGUAACUUCGUUUUCCGUGAAUUUCCCGUUGACGUGAUCGUAGCAGCGUGUAGAUGAUUUUGGAAAACUUUUAUUUACAUUUAUUUACUGCUGGUGUACUGUUCUAAUUGUAAUCUUGUUUGCUUCGUGUAUGUCUGUCCCCGAUUGCUUGUGUGUUGAUGAUUGGUGACCGAGUUUAGUCAGUGGGCAUUACUUCGGUGGUCAAGAUCAGAGCCGUGGAAGCAAGUAAAAUCAGCAGGACCAGCAGGAGCAAUUGGAUCAAGGCAAGUAUAGCAUUUGGGUUUUAAUUCUAUGACCAUGAUUUUGUGACUAGAUUAAUAUUAAGCAGCAAAUGAUAAUAAUGACUUUUUAGCAACUUGAGGACUUAUUCGUAAGUGAUAACCGGGAUGAAAGUGCAACCAUGAGGGCUAUAAUGGCUCUGGCUUUAGUCAAGUAUGAGUAAUUUUUCUAGCUUGUUAGAGGUUACCCGUGUGGCGCAAAUGGGGGAUAGCAGACCGUGGAUUCCCUGCGAGUGGUAGAAUCACACGGACUGACUAACGAAACCAAGCGGCCCUAACUUGUUAGACGAACCUUUGAAAGACUUCAUAGUGAUCUCUGCCGACCUACCUUGGUAGUGGGUUACGAGGCUGAUCACCUCAGGCGAAAGGGUAAAUCAUGACUCAUGGGUAAAGAUGUACAACCUCUGCAGAGUGUUAAAAACUGGUAUACUAGCCGUGCUCACGGUCACGAGCGGCCUUGGGAACUCUUACAUUAAGGGUGAUGAAUCUUGUGUUAAGAAACUCAUUGAUUAUUGUUUAAUGCUCUAUAUUAUUUAUGUCACAUUGAUCAUGAGAUUGUGGGAUCUAUACAAUCUAGUUGUUAUACUUGCGGAGUUCGUCAUGGACUCACUCUUGCUAUCUCCCCCACACCUCAGGAGAAGUUUUAGGCUUGUGAUCAACCAGUCAGUUGGAUCCAGUAGAGUGAGGUUAACACCCGAAGUUUGGAGUUCUCUUCUGUGUUUGCUGCCCAAGGUUGUUUCUAAUUUAUUAUCUACGCUAUAUAACUUAUGCGUUGUCCUUUGAUAUUACCCCUUAUUUGUAGCUAUAUGUGAGGCUUGUCUUCUAAAACUCACAUAUGGUGCAUAUCUGAUUUUGUUCUUAAAAUCGGGUGUUACAAAGUGGUAUCAAAGCAAUGCUGACUGUAGGACGCAAGCCUAGUUAGAACCGGACGUUUUAGGAUGCUUCUAUCUCUGCUGACUUCUUGCUUUCACCUUAACCUUGAUAAUUGCUAAAAAUUAUGCUUACCUCUACCCUAUUCUAUUAUAAAACUUUGUCUCUAUUCUAAGUCCAUGAACCUUGUCUAUUUAGAUGGUUCAUAACAAGGAGACCUUUGGCAUGAAUGAACAAAAGGACUCAGAAAUGCCACUCGUAAAAGCAUUCGACAAAGAGAAGCUUCUAGCCAUGCGAAAGCAAGUAGUGGAAGGAAUGACUCAGAUUGGGAACUCUCAACAGUGCAUCUCAGGACCAGUGAAGAGACAAGUAGCAGAAGCUUGGAAAAAUAUAAGAACCCAUGGAGGUGCUGGUAGUAAUACAUCAGGAUAUCAUGAUCAAUGCCAUUGUUGUAGGCAUUAUGGUCUUCCUUGUCGUCGGAAUAGGUCAUUUAAAAAGGAAGCUAAGGUAAAACCAAAUUGUGGGACUAAUGAGGAUAAGAAGAGGAAGGCAAAAUAACUAGAUCCAGCAUUGGGAAGUGAACAACAUUCAAAUCCUAUGUUGUCACAUUUAGCUUUGAACUCUGGCCAUGAAAAUCCAAACCUUGGAGAUGAAGAAACUUCUCAAGCUAACCCCACUGCUCAUGAGGUAUGCAUAGAUGGAUGGACCUUUACUUAUAAAGAGUAUCAACCUCGAAGGAUCAACCAAGUUAGGAAGAAAGCUAGCCAACCAGAGACAAACCUUCAGAGUCAGCAAACUGAUAACACACCGAGCAACACCUCAGUGGAAAAUCAUAUCACGAAGGAUCCAGCUAAGAAAAAGUGUUAUCACUGCCGACAGGAAGGACACUAUGUAAAGUCUUGUCCACAGAAGAACCAACAGUAGUAUCAUGAAAGAAGCCACACUGAGUUUAAGAUAUAGGAGUUUGUGCCCUUGUGUAAUAAAAACGGUAGCAGCGAAAGUCAAGUUUGUGUGCCUUGUGAAACUUUACUGCUUGGUUGAAUUGUCUUUAUGUUUAUGUUUGCUUUGGAUCUUUGUAAUGACUGUAAAGAUCUUGUGAGUUUCUUCACAAUUUCAUUUAGUUUAUAUGUCUAAGGCAUAAGGAUUAAUGACAUAAAUAGUUGGGUUUUGGUUUUUCUCUUGUUACCUUAUCGUGCCUUUCUAGAGUAUCUCAUCUUUAUCGGCUUAUGUCUUUGAUCUUGGAUGAAUAAAAAUCAUGAUAAAAUUCUGGAUGAGAGUGGACUUCAAGAUCUUUCUCUGACCGUAAGAAUCACCCUCAUAGCUAUUAUGGUUUGGAAGGUACAAAAAUCACAAGACGAUACAGAUGUCCUGUCAAGAAUCUGGACCAGUUUUGGUUGCCUGCUGUUUUGGACAAAUAUAACUAUAGACUUUGGAAAAGUGUUCUAUAGCAAAGUUUUAGGUAAGUUUCUAAGCUUUCUAACGGUAUAAGCUAUAACCCUAUUGGGUUACAGAACAAGAGUUAUGUCCAUUUUACUGCGCUGGUGAUUUUCAUAUCGCGAGGAAAAUCAGGAUAUUUGUUUCAUCCUUGCACAUAAGUUCCUUGGGAUGUCAAAAAGGUCUCAAUGCAAGAUAACUUGUCAAAAAAAAUGCAAGCUACCUUCCUUGUGCCUCCUAGUCGACCUUUCUUAAGGGGGUAGUACCUUGGUAUCACGGGUUGAUGCAUUUUCAACUUAUCUUGACGUGAGAGUUGUCUCGUGAGAUAUUCUAUGAAUAUGAUCAUCUCUCCUUCUCGUGUCAUUGACGUUGGUCACUUGAUGACAGGGAGUGUAGUAUCCCUUGGAUCAAGAGUCCUAUAUGAUGCCUCUUACUGAUACGUGGGAAGAGAAUGAUGAUCCUACCCUUGAAGAAUGUUAUGGGUAUGAUGAAACUGAGUACUAUCAAAAUAAUGAUACUGAAGAGCAAGUUGGAAGUGAAUCAAAUCAGAAUCCACAACGGCGAAGGAGAAAAAGGAAAAGUCGUAAGAAGUCUGCUCAUGGAAGUAAGGUGCAACAAGACUAUAUUAAUGGAAGACUGAGCAAUGUGGAUAGGCAUAACAUUCAUGGAGCUACCAAAGUGGUUGGUGGCUAUAUUCAAGUAGACUCAGUGCUAGUUUUUGCUCUGUUUGACCCAAGUGCUUCGCAUUCUUUCAUUUCCACCGACCUCGUGAAGACAAUCAAGAGGGUGAAGAGCCCAACGAGGAAGCCUUUGUUAGUUCAAACCUCAGUGGGAGAAAUACAAGCAGAUCAGGUGUGCUCAAAUAUCAAUCUGGUCAUAAACAAGGAAAACUUCAGUGUAAACCUCAUUGUGUUAGAGUCACUUGGUAUUCCCUUGGUCCUUGGUAAUGGAUGGUUAUGUGCACACAAAGGAGUGAUCUAUGGUACCCAGUACAAAAUGCUUUUAACAGCACCGUCAGGGAAAAGAAUUGAGUAUCACGGUGGUCCACUCCUACCUGAUGAGGCAAAUGCAUAUUAAGUUUUCAUGUCUCUUGGAGUUGUAAACAAAAAGAAAUUAGUAGUCAAGAUGGACUUUGGUCAACUUAUGAAUAAUAGUUAUUUAGUGGAAAUAUUGUUCACGAGAUGUGACCUUGAGGUAUAAGUGUUUAAGUUUGGUAUGCAAGUUGUGAAGUUGAAAGGAUUAUCAAGAUAAUUUCCUGUUUCUCUCAAAGGAUCUGAGCCUCUUCCGAAUCUCGAGGACGAGAUUCAUUUUAAGGGGGGUAGAAUUGUAACACCCAAAAUUUGGCUCUUUUAAAAAUAGAUGAAUUUGACUUUAUUAAAUAAUUUUGUGAGCAUUUUCAAUAAAAUAAUAAUUUUUGGGGAAUUAAAAUUUAAUGUAGGUUUAGAAAAGAUUUUGUUGCAUACAUGCUGGUGCAAUUUUACUGUGAUGAUUGUUUUAAAAACAAAAUGUCUUUUGCUCAAAAAUUCAUUUGGGAAAAUGCAAGUGGAAAAAUGUAUUUAAAAAAAAGAAAAAGAAAAUGGAAUUUUCCUUUCCCCCUCUUCCCCUCUCGGCCUUUCGGCCCAACCCCUCCCCCGCGCUCUUCUCUUCCUGGGCCGCGGCCCAGCCGGCCAGUUUCCUCCCUUCCCCUCUCUCUCUCACGCGAUGGCAAGUGGGGCCCGCUUGUCAGCUCCUUCCCCUCCAAACUGCCCCCUCCUUCUCUCCUUUCUCUGCAACCUCCAGCCGAGCCGAAGCCCCACUCCCGCUCCCACGUUCUCUCCCCCGCGCCUCGCCCUCUUUGGUCGCGCCCGCGCACGAAUCGAGCCAUUUUCGCUCCAAUUCUUCGCGCUGGUGAGCUCUACUCCUUCCCCGCGUUCUUCUCAAUCAAAUUUCAUGCGAUUUGGUGCCUCCUAGCAUCCUAGCCAUGAGCUCCGAGGAGCCGGCCAUGGCGCCACCGCGGUCCGCGCUGCGCGGACGUUUCUCCGGCCGCGCAAAGGCUAGGAUUGGAUUCGCCGCGACCUCCUCUCUCUCCCGGUGUUUUUGCUUCGCGAAACCGAGCUCCGUAGCGCUCUGUAGGUUUUCUCCGGCGAUCUCAGGCCGGCCGGCCAUGGAGCGCCGCCGUCUCCUCUUCCCCCUCCGGCCGGCAUCUCCUGUCCCCCCCCCGCCCCCGAUCUAAUCGUGAGCGUCCGUUUUCAAUCCGAUGGCCAGGAGCGCUCCAUACCCCUUCGGGUGGAUAUUUUGCUAAAGAGUCCUUUUGAAUUUAGGAAAUAAAACCCGCAGUCCACGCCGCUUUGCAGGAAAUACGCUUCCCUUUUGGAGAAGCGUAAAGUCUCGGUUUGAAUCAGAAUACGUUUUCAGUAUUUACAGUUUUGCCACUGAGAUUGUUUAGCUCAUAAAAUAUUCAUUUUAACUCCGAUUUGACCCGUUCAAAUUGCGUUAGGUUCGUCUUUACGAGCUCUACAUGUUAGUAACCUGGUUUCACCAAUUUGAAACAUUUUAAUUUCGUGACCCUAUUUAAUUAUUUACUUUUCUAAAGAAAAUGUUAGAAAAUUCAUAUCUUCUCCGUUUUAGCUCCGAUUCGAUCUGUUCAAGUUGCGUUAGUUUUAUAAUCUCAUAAGCUUCGCGUUGGUACCUUUGUUGGCUAGAUUCACCACUAUUAGAUUCCCUAGUUAAUUACAAGUCCGUAAACUGCUGUUGAAAUCCCGUUAAAAGCGUAACUUUCGCGUCGUAACUUCGUUUUCCGUGAAUUUCCCGUUGACGUGAUCGUAGCAGCGUGUAGAUGAUUUUGGAAAACUUUUAUUUACAUUUAUUUACUGCUGGUGUACUGUUCUAAUUGUAAUCUUAUUUGCUUCGUGUAUGUCUGUCCCCGAUUGCUUGUGUGUUGAUGAUUGGUGACCGAGUUUAGUCAGUGGGCAUUACUUCGGUGGUCAAGAUCAGAGCCGUGGAAGCAAGUAAAAUCAGCAGGACCAGCAGGAGCAAAUGGAUCAAGGCAAGUAUAGCAUUUGGGUUUUAAUUCUAUGACCAUGAUUUUGUGACUAGAUUAAUAUUAAGCAGCAAAUGAUAAUAAUGACUUUUUAGCAACUUGAGGACUUAUACGUAAGUGAUAACCGGGAUGAAAGUGCAACCAUGAGGGCUAUAAUGGCUCUGGCUUUAGUCAAGUAUGAGUAAUUUUUCUAGCUUGUUAGAGGUUACCCGUGUGGCGCAAAUGGGGGAUAGCAGACCGUGGAUUCCCUGCGAGUGGUAGAAUCACACGGACUGACUAACGAAACCAAGCGGCCCUAACUUGUUAGACGAACCUUUGAAAGACUUCAUAGUGAUCUCUGCCGACCUACCUUGGUAGUGGGUUACGAGGCUGAUCACCUCAGGCGAAAUGGUAAAUCAUGACUCAUGGGUAAAGAUGUACAACCUCUGCAGAGUGUUAAAAACUGGUAUACUAGCCGUGCUCACGGUCACGAGCGGCCUUGGGAACUCUUACAUUAAGGGUGAUGAAUCUUGCGUUAAGAAACUCAUUGAUUAUUGUUUAAUGCUCUAUAUUAUUUAUGUCACAUUGAUCAUGAGAUUGUGGGAUCUAUACAAUCUAGUUGUUAUACUUGCGGAGUUCGUCAUGGACUCACUCUUGCUAUCUCCCCCACACCUCAGGAGAAGUUUUAGGCUUGUGAUCAACCAGUCAGUUGGAUCCUGUAGAGUGAGGUUAACACCCGAAGUUUGGAGUUCUCUUCCGUGUUUGCUGCCCAAGGUUGUUUCUAAUUUAUUAUCUACGCUAUAUAACUUAUGUGUUGUCCUUUGAUAUUACCCCUUAUUUGUAGCUAUAUGUGAGGCUUGUCUUCUAAAACUCACAUAUGGUGCAUAUCUGAUUUUGUUCUUAAAAUCGGGUGUUACACGCUCCCCAAAAACCUAAUUGCUGAUCCCUCGUGAAAGGUCUCGAACGACAAGAGCUUCGGAGGCACCUGCCCUCUCGCUCCUCCGUGCGCGUGGAGUUACGAGAUGGGGGUUCCUUCUUUGUAACAGAAUUGUGUUCUGAGUUGUGUGUUGUGUGUGUACAAGACCAAAGGCUCAUGUCCUCUUUAUAGCCUUGCCGCAGGAGAUGGAGGAGAGGAAGGGAUGACAGCCGAAGAGACAUCAAUUGGUGAGUUAAACACGAAGUUGAAACUCCUAUAAUUAGUGAGUGCUAAAACUUAACACACCACAUCACUACACCGCAUGUCUGCCUGCUUGGCUCCCCUUGCCUCGCCAUGUCCGGUACAACUCGUAUUAUUCACAAUUACAUACCAUAGAGUUUAUUUGAUUUAUUAAAUCUAAUUGAGCCUAGCCCAAAAUAAAUCCAACAGUUUCGUUGAGAGUGUUAAAGUUUAACACGUACGGUAGCAUUUUCGUCUUAUUUGACCAAUAAUGUUUAAUCAUGGACUAGUUAUGCUUAAAAGAUUCGUCUCGCAAAUUACACUCUAGCCGUGUUUUUAAUUUCAUAAAUAGUCUAUAUUUAGUACUCCAUGCAUGUGUACCAACUUUCGAUGUGACGGUCGAUAAACUUUACUGGCGCCAACCAAAUGGGGCCUAAGUGUUGAGUCUAUUAGACUGUUCGAUGAGUGAGAUCGGACCGUCAGAUAACUCAUGUAGGUUUUUUAGAUUCUCGUCACAUUGAAUCUUUAGACAUAUUCAUGGAGUAUUAAAUAUAGGCGAAAAUAAAAAAUAAUUGCACAGUUUGGUCAGAAUUGACGAGACGAAUCUUUUGAGCCUAAUUAGUCCAUGAUUGGACAAUAUUUGUCAAAUACAAAUGAAUGUGCUACAGUGUUGAUUUUCUAAAAAAUUUUGGAACUAAACAAGAAGUUGAAUAGGGAUUGAAUUGUUCGAAAAGUCACAGUGUGGGUGUUCUAAGGAAUUUCGUGGGUGAAAAGCGCAUCUAUGGUUUUUUGGAGGUAAAAGGUUUCGUGUUGGGUUAGCAGGUGAGGCCUAUAAAUGAGAUUCCAUGUAUAUGUAUGAAUGACAUGAUGCAAUAAACAUGUUUCCUAGAUGUCACAUGCUAAAAGAAGGCUAACAGAAUUAGUUUCAUGAUUUUUGAAGUUCCAGAGAAGUAUCUGCAGUAUCUGCGCAUUUCGUAAGCAGGAAUGCAUUCACAGUAGUAGUUGAAAUUAUAAAUAUAGUUUUGGAGUCAAAAUUUUAGAUGAUAGAGAAUUUCAUAAGGAAACCAACAAAACUUAUUUCAUAAAUAUUGGAGUUAAAAGGAUUUUUACAAGAUCAUGCAUACAUCCGGGGUUUCUGUUGUGCGAGGAUGGACUGCUCGAUACAACACCAGAAACAACUACAGGAAAACUCUGGCCCUACCACUAUAGAAAAACUUGGCUUUGCCGACUGCUAGAAACUUUUACACCUGCCAACAGCAAAUAAGCAGUAAGCAAAGGAGUCUUUGCCAACUGUCCUCAUGUCCUGAGCUGUCGACCACUCUAAGCAGUCGACAAAGACGUCCUUUACCAACUGUCUUGCAGGUGGCAAAGAAAAGCUGGUGGUAAAGGUGGCUGGGGCCAAACGGCGCCCAUCGCCGUCCCUUUUGCUACCUGCCAGGUCGUCAAGCAGUCGGCAAAGAAAAAAUUUUUUAUUUUUGAAAUUUGAAUUUAACUUUUGGACAUUCGACGUCGUCACUUGCUUCAAACUUCCUCAAAUUUUUCCAUAGCCUCCACAUGCAAUAAGAGUGAACCUUAAAAACUUUCGUGAUUUUGUGACCCUUUUUGCUAUUUUUCAUUAAUUAAUUUCUUUUAAUUGUAUUUUCCACCGCAGAAUCCUACUUUGAACUGUAGGUGCAUGAAAUAAUGAAACUUAGCCAUUCGAAAAAUGAUGUUCAUGUUGGAGAGUCUAUUUUAAGGUUGUGUCCAGAAAAUCACCCAAAAUUUUGACGUCCUUGUCCACGGAACAUGACCAUCCAGGUGUGGUAUAGGUGCUUUUUAAUUAUAUAAAAUUCAAACGAAGUCGAAAAAUUACGAAACGCCUCGAUCUGGCAGUUCACCGAGGCAGUUCGCAAGCGCCAUGGUGAGGCCUACGAUCCGGCCACCGAGCCCCUUGACACGGACGUCCUGAUGAGGACGGGAGGAGGGAAGCAGCACGGCCGGUACUUUCUUGCCCAUAGCGUAAUCGACCCGGUACCUUCGUGAGGUUCGUCGAUCGGACAACAUGACCUCCUUGGACGUCCCCAUACAACCUCAGCGGCCAAGCUCUACGCAGAUGAUGGCGGUGGUUCAGGUAACUAUUCGUCGUUCAUUGGUUUUACAUAUGUAGCUUUCCUUAUGCAUUGUUUAAACAUCACGCGUGUAAUACUGCAGUCCCAGCUGGGGCCAAGUUGCGGGCCCAAGAGGAGGCCCAUCGGCAGCUCCUGGCGGCCCAGCAGGAGGCCCAUCGGCGGUAGUUGGAGGCUAUCCAGGACAACUCGGCACGUUAGAUGAAAGAGUUUGCCAGCUUCUUUCAAGGCCUGGAGAUUCCUGGUUUCAGAUGUCCUCCGUUGCCUCCCGUGAUCUUUGCUCCACCCCAUGUUCUCGCUCCACCCCUGUUCCUAGCCCUUUAUAGACUCCAGUGAGUUUCUAACAGUCUGUCUAUUGUGUUCGCUUAUACGGCCAUCUCACAGGUACUAAUGAGAUCGCUUCUCCUCUGUGCAACCACUAUCGACGAGUUCAAACCCGACUCCACAUGGCCUUUCUCCAGGCUAGGUAGGACAAGGUAGCGUUGCUCCUAGAUACCCUUAUCAGUGUAACGNNNNNNNNNNNNNNNNNNNNNNNNNNNNNNNNNNNNNNNNNNNNNNNNNNNNNNNNNNNNNNNNNNNNNNNNNNNNNNNNNNNNNNNNNNNNNNNNNNNNNNNNNNNNNNNNNNNNNNNNNNNNNNNNNNNNNNNNNNNNNNNNNNNNNNNNNNNNNNNNNNNNNNNNNNNNNNNNNNNNNNNNNNNNNNNNNNNNNNNNNNNNNNNNNNNNNNNNNNNNNNNNNNNNNNNNNNNNNNNNNNNNNNNNNNNNNNNNNNNNNNNNNNNNNNNNNNNNNNNNNNNNUGUGUGCUAUAUAUGUGGAUUUAUGUGAUAUAUAUGUAGAUCUGUGUGAUAUAUGUGAAUUCCAGUAAUAUAAUCAUAUUUGUGAUUUGAUUGGUGUGAUGCAAAACAGAAAAAACAGACCAAAAUUUUACUUAUUCCAGCUUUGCCACCUGCCACGUGGAAAACAGGUGACAAAGCUAGAAUCUCAUCAACCAUGGCAGCUUUGUCACCUGCCAAUAAAGGUACUCGGCAAAGAAUCCUUUGCCACCUGCCAAUAAAGGUUGUCGGCAAAGAAUCUCUGUUUUGCCACCUGCCCAUCAAGACAGUCGGCAAAGAAAUUCUGUUAUAAAAAAAUUAAGAAAAGCCUUUGCCGACUGUCGUGUGUCAGUCGGCAAACGGAACGCGCUCCGUCAUCUCACAAUGGUGUACGUCUCCUUUGCCGACUGCCAUAUUGACAUAUGGCAAAGGCUUUGUCGACUACUUUUCACUUGGUAGGCCGCAAAGGUUUCUUCGCCAAUGAAUUUUUUGCGACGUUUUCUUUGCCAAUUGUCACAUGAAAAGUACUCGGCAAAACCUUUGCCAUCUAUUUUAGAGUCUUUACCGACUGCUUUUGGCAGUCUGACAAAGAGGGGCGUUCCAGCAGUGUACCUCUUGGAUUGUUCGUCGGGACACUCUCCGAGGACGUAAGGAGGCCGUCAGAAGUGAUUUUGGGCGCCUUUGUGGCUUUAGAUCUUUCCAUCUCUAAAGGUAAGGGUACUUUUAUAGGCAAGUAAAAAUAACAGUCGCCUCUAAAAUAGUUUUGUAGAGACAAGUUGUUUCGGAAAUCAUUUAGAGACUUUUAGAUAGUCACACCUCUACUAAAAAAUAAAAAAAUCAACUAUGUACCAGUGUCGUAAGAAAAAGAAACCAACUAAAGAGGGAACUAGCGAGAUAAAUUUAUAUGAAGAAGAAAUUAAAUAAGAAGAUUAAUUGGAGUUAGUCUCAAGGAGUACUCCAACCUUUGAUUUUCUUGAUUCUCCUAGUUUUUUAUACUAAAAGAUUAGGUAAUCCCAAUUUCAAACAACCCUGUUUAGAAGAAGCCACCCAAUUUAUGAAGAGGUUAUAAGCUAGCUCCAGCAGCUAUUGCAGCUUUUCAAAAUCUUCGAAGGAUCCACACAGAGACUUCUCAAAUCAAGGAACAUAUAUGAAUGAAUACUCUAAAUAGCAGCAUACGUACACCUUGUAAUCACCAUGUAUUCUUCAGUUAAACAUGACAUAAGAACUUCGUUAAGCUUGGGUUGUCAAACAUCUCACACCGCUCGAACAAUCCUUACUGACACCAAGAUAUUCAGGUUGGACACAGUAUCAUAAUAGCGUGUGUUCUUAUCCUGAAAAUGCACACACCUGGCACCCCAUAGCCCACGACACGUCACCGAGCCAGUUAUACCCCACUCAAUCGAUCUAAAGAAGUGAUAUCUAUACAUGUAUCUGGACCCUAAAAUACUUGCAAUGUUAACAUGUUAAUUACUUCAACCCGAUGCGUACAGUCAGCUCUUGCUUUAGUUUAUCAACAAUAAUGGAGAGGUGACCAAGAAUGACGACUAUUAGUAUAUAUGUCAUACUACGUAUAAUAUAUAUGUACACUAAACGAUUACACUACUACUUAUAGGGUAUUUAAUCUAGCGUUCUACAGCUUGCCACGUAAGUAAGAUGUUAUUUUUGCAACAGAGAACACCAUGCAUGAUGCAUGCACAUAUAUAUCUAUGUAAAAAUAGUCGUUGUUAAUUGGCAAUAUGUUGUCAUCAGAUACAGGAUGACCUCACUGAUAUAUAUUUUUAGUUUACCAGGCUAUUUUUUAUACACCGACAGCGUAGUAGUGAUAUGUGUCCCUGUCAAUGGUUCUUAACCAUGUUCGUGGUUUUUUUAAUGGGCGGGUGUAACACACAGAACAUACACCACAAUGUAUGGAGCGUUACCGUACUACACGCUUCAACACGUAUAGUUAAAUAAAAGAUUAAAAUUAAAACAGCAACAACAUUAUCUUAAAUAGACUACGUGAAAGCCAAGUGCAAUCUAAAUUGAAUAACAAAAUAAGGGCCAUUUGGCAGAGCGUCUCCACCGGCUCCACUAAUAACAAGCUUUAACAACUCUUCCACCAUAACGUUCAAGACUGAAGCAACUUUACCUAAGACUAUCUCCAACAAUCGUCACCAAAAAUAAAAGAUCCAUUUGUCCUUGGUAACACUACAAGUAAAAGGUUUCAUAAAUAUUUUUAGUUUUCUCCAACAACAAUACCUAAAAGAUAACACUCUCUCUAAAUGGGUCUUGAGGAGAGAGGAUACCUAAAUUUGGAAAUUUGGGUUAUGCCUCUCUUGAUACCCAAAAUGGGUCUUCUAUAUGGAUACUCUAUUAGAGGUAUAGGUAUUAUGUUGAAGACUCAUUUUGGAUUUGGAUUCCAAAUAGAUCUCCUAUUAGAGACAGCCUAAGGAGCUUCACCUAGCUCUCAUUCAUGUCGGCUCAUCAUGUGGUCCGAUCUGUAUCAUCGCUAUACCAUAACAAAUAUUUUAGGAGAUAUGUCAGGCAGGCAUAAAUUUUACAUGUGCCUUUUAAAAUAACUAAUGAUUUACAGAGGUAGUCAUUUUAUUUAUGGAUACACUAAAAAGUUACCGGCCUCUCAAAAUAAUUUACCGAGGCUGUCAUUUUACUUACAGGGGCACUCGAAAUGCCCGCCCCUGAAAAUCCGUCUCUGUAAAUAUAUUUUUAGAGGUAGGUAUUUUUUAUUAUAUCUGUAAGUAAAAUCGACCAUCUUCGUCAAUCAAUUUUGAGAGGCAGACAACUUUUGAGUCUAUUUGCAAAUAAAAUGACCGCCUCCAUGUUGGGUAUUUUAAACGCAAACAGAAAAAUCCACAAGCGCACGGAUACCGAUGUAGCUUUCACCCGGGAGUAUUCCAGAGUAUCGAUUUUCCACAGAGAACGUGAGUGUACUAAUUAAGAUCCAAGAUCGCCCAAGGAUAAUUAUUUUUGGUGGGAAGAGAGGAAGUUUCCUGAGAGUUCUCUAGUUGAUCUAAGAAUCAAGAAUUACUUCAAGAUUAUCUAUUUCGGGACAUCAGAACACUAACCACAGAAAGAGAUGAUAAGGGGGCUAGGAAGCUCCGACUACGGUCCUACAAACACCGAUCCGAACGAGGUGGAAUACGUCGACCGAUAGGGCUGUCACUACCCUAGGGCUACCACAACAAUCCGCAGGAUUGGGUGCAAUUCCAGGUAAUUGCAAGACUAAACACCACGUCUAAUUUGUUAAUUACUACUCUAAUGUUUUAAAGAUUAGAGCACUUGAUGCAAGCGGGAAUCCAAUAAAUAACUUGAAUGUAAAUAAAAGUAAUUAGAGAACUCAGGAGUUAUGAAUUGAAGAACCUGGAGAACGAUGAAGAACGAACCAGUUGCUGCAAAAGUACAAUGUUGAGGAAGAUCCGACAGAUCCGGCUUCUCCUCCUCUGCUCUCCUCUUCUCUCUCCCUAUUUUCUAGAUUACAACUAGAACUAACUAGAACUAGAACUAGAUGAACUAGAACUAGAUCUAGAUGAACUAGAGGUAGAACUAGAAGAACUAGAGGGAUCCUCUCUACUUGGAUGAAGAAUUAAAACCCUAACUUUGAUUCUGUAGAAGAGGUAUGAUCUCCAGGGGCCAGGGGGGUCUGGUUUUAUAGUCCCUUCAAGUGAAUCUGGGCCGUCGGAUCAAACCGACAUUGAUCGCACUGUUUUCCUUGAUCCUUUAGGUCGGUGGAGCGUUGUCCGCGAAACGUGACCGAAUUGGUCUCUGGAAGUGGGCGGGCGCCCAAGGGACUAGGGCGGGCGCCCUGUGCCUGAGCCCUCUCGGCCUCCGCUUCGGUCCCGUGGCUUCUGGAGUCUUCUAGAUGAUAGAAAAUUGCGCGGCACGUUAAUAUCUCUAUGUAAACCCGACGUGUGGGCCUUUCUUCCAUAUUUCCUGAUAACCCCCUGCAAAAAUAGACAAACACCAAAACUCGUGGAAUUCUGUCAGAUAAAACCCUAAGUCUAGGUGAUGGCUGCAUAUAAGUCCUUUUCCAUGAUUAGUUGAUGGUUAAAUGUGAGCAUUAAGGACCGUCAACAAGCUCCCCCAAGCUUAACCUUUGCUCGUCCCUGAGCAAAGAUGAACUCAAGAGUUUCCGCAGUGGUUUCAUAACUUAAAGAUACACAUGCGUUUAAAUAAGAUCUCAUCUGUGGGUUAGAGUAAACUGUUAAGACUUAAAACUUACUCAUUUACCUUUCACCAUGGGACUUGCAACCGUCACUUCUGUCUUGAGUAGUUAAAAGAUAGAACGGUCUAGUCAAGCACCAUGUCUCUUGUUCUUCGAUUAACUAUAGCUCUGGAGUUUUUGCAGAUUUUCAAAUAAAACUCAGAGAUUCCUUGUAUGACUCUCUAGUCUCUCUUUUGUGGUAUUUCUAGAUCCUUACCAAGGCAGUAAUGGUGUAUGCCUUCUCUCAAAGUAUGUGGUAUUUUUGGUAUGAGGCAUAGUGGUAUUGCCUUCUCUCUCACACUACUCUAAUAAGGUUUUGAUAUCUGGAGCUCAUAGGUGGGAGACAGCUAAUACAUACUUACAAGACAUUUAUUGCAUAGUCAAACCAUGGAUCCAGAAGAACAAGUCAAUAAGUCAAAUCAAGAUGUGCAUGUGUGGCGAAUGAAUGGUGUAUGGUAAUGAUGGUGAUAACAAUGGUGAAAGUCUAAUUCUACUUGUGCUCUUUUGAUGGGAUACAUACCUUUCUUGCACUUUGAAACUUUUUGAGGAGAAUGAGAUGCUCUAUAUUUUCUUUUUCUUUUCUCUCAGGUGGGUAUCUUGUACCCCUAAUUCUACUAUCGGACACUUGUCCAUUUUUACCUCUCGUCUCACUUUUUCUUUCUUUCGAGGUUCCGGGCACUUGCCCCUUUUUAUUUCCUCGCAUUCUUUCUCUUUUUUUUUCUUUCUUCUUUUUUUUAGAGCACUCAUCACCUGAAAUAAUAUAGCAAGUGGUAGUAACCAAGAUAACUUGAGCAUUUUUUUCACAGGGAAAAACAGAAAUAGGAGAAUGUUUUUGGCUAUUCUCUCCCGGAUUAGGAGUAGAAUAUUUUUGGGUGAAUCUGGAGAUGGAAAUGGGUGGAUAUAUGUGGAUGGUACUUCCGGAGUAGAAGUAGCAUGUGUGAGUGAACGUGCAAGUGAAUCUUGAUUUAACCACAUGACAAGCUCCUAAGGGUCUACACAACUUGACCACACUCAAUACUCAUAAGCAGUAAAAAGUUAAUGUGUGGUUCAUAGUCUAACAAGCAUGUAUAUAUGGCUGUGGUAGGAAUUAAAACUCUCAUCAUACAGGAACUCAUCAUGCAACAUUUUAAAGAUUUUCAAAGAUAAAAUUCUCCAGAAUUCUAGCAUCUCUAGGAAUAUAUAAACAGCAGCUCAACCUUCCCAUAUCAUAUCCGUUAACGACUUAGACUUUAGAUCAAGUACUCUCCCCACAAGUUCAGGUUUAGAGCAAAUCUUAAUUAAUACCAGUCAUGCCUAAACUUAAGAGAGAUUUCAAUUUUUAGAACUAAUCAUGGCAGAGCAACUAUUCAUCAUUUCCAUGUGAGAGCUUAUCACGAGGGUUCAUAGCAAAUUUUAUUUAUUUAUUUAUUUAGCAAACUAAGCAAAGAUAUAUAUAUAAGCACAAAAUCUUUGUUUGGGUUUUUAUGAUUAUGCAUCUUUUUAUUAUUUGAGUAAAAUAUAAACGUGAGUAGAAACACUUAGCUGGAUAAAUGGGGGUGCUCUCCCCCAAGCUGGAUUUUGACGUAGUUUCUUCUAAUGUAGCUAGCAAGUGGUGGAGGUGUAUUUGAAUGUCAGCAGUACCCUGACAGCGAUUAGGAUGUCCUCCGUCUGCUAGUCUUCUUUGAUCCUUGAAUUCUGUGGAGCUCAAAUAGACAACAAAGCUUUGUGAAACUGGUUAAGUGUUAGCAUAAAUAUCUAGCCUUUAUCAUGUUGAGCCUCCUCAAUAAAUGUUACUCAUUAGUCGGAUCAUAAUUUAAUUUUUAUAAUUUUAUUUUUAUAGGACAGGAAUAUAUUUAUUUCAUUUUUAUGCCACCACAGUGAAUGUACUUAUGGGUUUUAUGCCAUGAGCAUAUUCACAUGGGGCUUACUAUCUUCAACAUUUUUAUUUUCUUUUCAAGAUGAUGUGAACCUGAAUAACUAAGCAAACUAUUUUAAAUAAUUGAAAGAAAAAAAGAUAACUACCAAGUUUACCUCUUGGCAAGGCGUUCGGUGUUUUUAAGUCCUCCGAACGGGACUCUCCGUUUUCUCAUUCGUCCUGGGAUUCGUUGGAUGGCGUAGUCGGUGGUUCCGGUGGAGCCUCCUCUUCAUGUAUAACUAUCUUCUCUCUCCACACCUGACUCGGUGCUACGGUCUCCUCAGGACAGUUCUGUUCAAGCUGUAUGUCUUCAGACCUUACAACUUCUCCUUCAUAGUCUACCCAUCCGUCCUUGAUGAUUUGCCUCCUCUGGUUAUGGUUGUGUCGUCUUCUUCUUGUCCUGACCUGCUUAGAGUCUUCAACUAUAUAGUUAGGGUCAGUUAAAUAGCGGCGUACCUUCUCAGAGGGGAAGUUCAUGUGGACUUCUCCGGUUCCAAUGUAGAUGAUUGCUUUAACGGUGCUGAGGAACGGUCUUCCAAGGAUGACGGGUGGAUUGUACUCGUCUUCUCCCAUGUCAAUAACCUUUCGGGAUGUCUGAUCUGCCAUUUGGAGCUGAAUGUAUGUUGGUUUUAGGGGCAUGGUUCCGAAUAGGAGCUGAUAGGUGACUGCGGCCAUUAUGUUGACGCCUGACCCGAUGUCGCAAAGCAUCUUCUGGAAGUUGUAUCCAUUAGUGGAGCACUGGAUGCUUGGCAUACUUGGGUCGUCCUUUUUGGUCAGGAACGGUGACUUAAGUCGACGAUCUUGACCUCCUUGAACUGCAGUGACCAUCUUAGCUGACUCGGUCCACAUUUGCUUGUUCAUGUUCCUCCUGUUGGUCCUUUCCUUGGUUCAUGUCAGGAUUGCUCUGAGAUUUGUGUAAUCUUGUUCUUGAAGGAAAACGUCUCCUUCCUUCCCUUGAUGUAGAAACUGAUCUUGGCAGCAUUAGCGUAGAUGACAGCUCCUGAAGUGUUCAAGAAUGGCCUCCCUAGGAUGAUGGGUGCCCUCUCAUCAGUACCAGUCUCUAUCACCACGAAGUCUGCUGGAGCAUAUAAGGUACCAACUCAGACGUAGAGGUUCUUCAAUAUUCCCUUUGGGAAACUUAGUGUCUGAUCUGCAAGCCUGAGCAUAAUGUUGACGCUGGAGCCAAAGUUGCAGAGUGCUUCUAGGAAGUCCACCAUGGCGAUGGAGAUCGGGAUGACGGGACGUCCUGGAUUGUAUCUCUUGACCGGCAGAAGGUCAGUAAUUACUUUCACAACGGGGUUACUCCAGUAGUUACAUCCUCAAGCAUCUUAGGGCAGUGUUUGCAUGAGUGUCCAGUAUCUCCAAUGUGUUUGUGCUCAUAUAUCUAGGUUCUUCACUUGGUGGAGUCUGGGAGUUGUAAAACUCCUUCAUAUUUUGCUCGAAGUGUACCUACUCAUAGAGACAAGGCAGAGAUCAAGUGCAUGGGCCCUGUUGGUGGAAAUCACCAACAGAACCAAAAGUGUAUUUGUUCUUCUCUAACCUCAAGCAUAGUGAGCAAGACAAAGUUGAUGGAUAAUAUGAUCAUGAGUGUAGCAUUUAACAUUUGUCAGAUUAGAUUGCUCAACCUUAUGGAAAGAUAAUCUAUCUAUAUAUAUGUUUUGUUUAUAUCUUCUAAAGAUUGAGUGUGCAACAUUUUAGCUUAUAUGAUUAGGAGUUUGGGAUCACAAAGGUGGAAGGACUAAACAUGUUGAAUCGAUUAGGUUGGUUAAUCUAGAGUUGUAAAUCAUACAUGUUUGUCUCUUUUAUUCAUGUGAACGCCAGAAUCAAGGAGAAGCUUAUAGAAGUGAUAGUCGAAUACCUUAAGAUGUUACCUUACUUGAAGAGUGAUGGUACAGUAUCACUUUGUGGAAGCUUUCCUCUCUUAGCGGUUGUGCAUCGUGUUUGUGGCACCCUCCAUGGAUCAUCUCUUGUGAGCUAUGCCUGUGUCUCUCUCUUUGUCUCCAAUGUGAGUUUAUCUCAGGACUUCCCAAGUUGAUGUUGAAAGUUUUCUUUUUUUUCUGCAGGGGUUAGUCUGACAAAAUAUACCAAUGUCUACACAAGCAGUUUUUAGUUCAAUAACCAAACUAGACUCCAUGUCUAAUUAGAUUAAGGAAGGUUGUUUAACCUAAGCACCAUGCUUAAUUUAAAAACCAAUAGAAGUAUGUACAGUACUUCCAAACUAACACUUACUAGGAUAAACAAAGGUAGCGUGAUGGCUUUUAUAGAGAUGUACUCAAGUGGAGAUGAAGUAGUGUGAUUACUAUUUAACAAAUUGAGCAUGUCUCAAAGGUAGGGACAACCAACAUAGCAACAUGGCAAAUGAUGUUUUUAUAUAAAGUACUCCCCCAAGCUUGAAUUUUGCAAAAUUCAAGUUUGGAUGAAUUUAAUUCAAUGUUGUAUGAUGAUUGGUUGUACAUACCUUGUGCUUGUCAUUCAUCCGAUCUUCUUGCUCCAAUCCUAGAAAGGUUAGUGACAAGAAUACCCGAAGGAAUUUUUUUACAAUUAUCCUUAUAUGCUCAAUACACAAGGUAAUGUUGCAAAUAAUUAAAAGCUCAUGUUACGAUCUGAUCAGUGCUUAUUUUAGGACACUAAGCUUGUCCUUAGGAAACCCUCAAUUUAUGUCGGCGAAGUGGUUUCCCCUCCAACGCUGACCUAUAUCAAGAUCAACUCAACGAGAUCUGCAAAAUUUAUUAUAGACAUAUGCAUCGACAACCGCCCUUUUAAAGUUUUUAUAAAUAGAAAGGAAGUGGGGGUUGGAGAUCUCGAAUGUGGUGAUGUUGGAGAGACCAAUGGAUUGUGAAGAUGUUGCAUAUGAGCAUGGAGUAAAUGAAGUGGCUAUGAAAUAAAUUCCAUGCUCAUUAAUGCUUAGAGUGAAAUCCAUGUGGUAUGGUGAAAAUGGUAAGGUGAGUGUGGUAAAAAAGGAAAAGAAAAAGGAUACACAGACGACUUGGUUCGAAACUAGCACAGCUACCGUUCCCCGGCAAUGGCACCAGAAAGCUUGUUGGGUAUUUUAAACGCAAACAGAAAAAUCCGCAAGCGCACGGAUACCAAUAUAGCUUUCACCCGGGAGUAUUCUAGAGUAUCGAUUUUCCACAGAGAACGUGAGUGUACUAAUUAAGAUCCAAGAUCGCCCAAGGAUAAUUAUUUUUGGUGGGAAGAGAGGAAGUUUCCUGAGAGUUCUCUAGUUGAUCUAAGAAUCAAGAAUUACUUCAAGAUUAUCUAUUUCGGGACAUCAGAACACUAACCACAGAAAGAGAUGAGAAGGGGGCUAGGAAGCUCCGACUACGGUCCUACAAACACCGAUCCGAACGAGGUGGAAUACGUCGACCGAUAGGGCUGUCACUACCCUAGGGCUACCACAACAAUCCGCAGGAUUGGGUGCAAUUCCAGGUAAUUGCAAGACUAAACACCACGUCUAAUCUGUUAAUUACUACUCUAAUGUUUCAAAGAUUAGAGCACUUGAUGCAAGCGAGAAUCCAAUAAAUAACUUGAAUGUAAAUAAAAGUAAUUAGAGAACUCAGGAGUUAUGAAUUGAAGAACCUGGAGAACGAUGAAGAACGAACCAGUUGCUGCAAAAGUACAAUGUUGAGGAAGAUCCGACAGAUCCGGCUCCUCCUCCUCCGCUCUCCUCUUCUCUCUCCCUAUUUUCUAGAUUACAACUAGAACUAACUAGAAAUAGAACUAGAGGAACUAGAACUAGAACUAGAUGAACUAGAACUAGAUAUAGAUGAACUAGAGGUAGAACUAGAAGAACUAGAGGGAUCCUCUCUACUUGGAUGAAGAAUUGAAAUCCUAACUUUGAUUCUAUAGAAGAGGUAUGAUCUCCAGGGGCCAGGGGGGUCUGGUUUUAUAGUCCCUUCAAGUGAAUGUGGGCCGUCGGAUCAAACCGACAUUGAUCGCACGGUUUUCUUUGAUCUUUUAGGUCGGUGGAGCGUUGUCCGCGAAACGUGACCGAAUUGGUCUCUGGAAGUGGGCGGGCGCCCAAGGGACUAGGGCGGGCGCCCUGUGCCUGAGCCCUCUCGGCCUCCGCUUCGGUCCCGUGGCUUCUGGAGUCUUCUAGAUGAUAGAAAAUUGCGCGGCACGUUAAUAUCUCUAUGUAAACCCGACGUGUGGGCCUUUCUUCCAUAUUUCCUGAUAACCCCCUACAGAAAUAGACAAACACCAAAACUCGUGGAAUUCUGUCAGAUAAAACCCUAAGUCUAGGUGAUGGCUGCAUAUAAGUCCUUUUCCAUGAUUAGUUGAUGGUUAAAUGUGAGCAUUAAGGACCGUCAACACUCCAUAAAUUGUUAGGGUAUUUUGGGAGACAUGUAAAAUUUCUGCUCACCUCUAAGUAAAAAGGGCAUGUCUCCUAAACUCCUUUUUGGUAGUGAGAGAAAAACAACCACUACAAACAUUUUACCUUUUUCAACUGCAGGCGAAGCUGUUUUAACAAAUGUUUUUCUAGCCAAAGAAGCUAAAAGGCUAAUGCCAAAAAAAACUGUUUUAUGGAGAAGUCAUAACUGAGCGGUUUUAGUUAAAGUUGAAGCUACAUCAAACUCGUUGAUGACCACUAUAAGGUGGAUGGAUAAGGCUGCUACUGGGACACAAGGAUGAAUGCCUACUUCCAAUCUUCCACUAUAUCGACACACAUGACAUUAGACGUGCUACUCCAACUCUUUUUCGUUGUGCUGCUUUGUCUAGUUGUAACGUUGUAUGAUCUUUUUCUCGCAUGAUAUCUUGGUUAAACAUGGUAGAUUUACUAUCAUAGCACAUUUGUUCCCUAUAUAGAUAUCGACAUUACAAUCAAACUUACAUAUACCGUAUAAACCAUUGUCAAUGUCCUGAAUGCCAGAAAAUUAUGACAAAUAAAAGUAUCUUUUCUAUCACUCUUCGCUAUACAAAAUGAAAAGCAAAUUGCAUGAGAUAGAUCACUUAUACUCGCCAUACAUCCCCCAACCACCGAGUGCUCCACUAAUAAGGGUGACUCGGGAGGUCCCCUGUCGGCACCGCCCACCCUCACCACCUUGGCCUCCCCUCUGGCCAUCGCUGCCACCAUUCUCCGGCGCGCAGCGGCACGUCUAGCGGUGGAGCCCCUAAACCCUAAACCCCACCCCCACCCCACUUCCUGCUCUCUUUCAACUCCUAUGAGUUUGAGGCGGUUUUGGGACCUACAUGGCUGGAUCUCGCGAGCUCUACUCCGAAUCUAGUGAUUGUUGUGGUGCCUAGGCCAGGUCACUAGAUCUUGCGGCCAUGGCCCGCAUGGAGGCCACCACGGGCCCGACGGGCACCUGUUGGGCAUGAUGUGCACCAUGUAACACCCUAAAAUUUACUCCUUUUGAAAUAUAGAUAAAAUUAUUUAAUUUUGUAUUUUUUCUCUCAUAAAAAUAUAGGAAAAAUAAUAUUUUUUUUAUUAAAUUAAAAUUUAUCAUAAGGCUUAGCAAUAUUAUUAUGCAUACAUGCUGGUGUAUAUGUUUUGAUGUGAUGCUUGAUGCUCCUUUAUGUGUUGAGUGAGCAAAGUUUUUAAAAUGUGUUUAGUAGAUCGAUUUUCCUUGGUUAGUACAUCUUUAUCUUUAUCUACAACCAAAUUCCUUGUUUCUAAGCUCAAGUUUUUAUUAGGAGCUUCCAGAAAUCUUUUCUUUGUCACUCAAAGCACUUCUUUUAGUUCUUCGUCCAUCAAGCACUCUCUACAAAGUUUUCGGGAAUUUUUUUCACAUUCUGUUCUCACUUUUCUGUGAGCAUGAUCUAAUUUUUAGAUGCUCCAAUCAAUCUUCUCAUGAGCUCCAAAAGCUUUAUUUGGGUUCUUCAUGUUCCAUAAUGUCUCCGAGAAUUUUCCAUGAAUUUUCAGAGCUUUUGGAGUAUUUUCGCAGUGUAAAUAGUAAUUAUGGACUUUUCUAGGAUUAUUUUGUUGACAAAAAUAAUUAAUUCCGAAAAUAAUAAAUCCUUCAUUUUAUCUCAACGCUCAGCCCAUGAUUUCAAAGGCCAAAUGUUUUUUUUACUAAUGGGCUUUAAUAAUUAAUUAGGCCUAUUAGUAAAGAUGAAGGUUGCAAAUCAAUUAGUACCAUAUCGCUAGUUGACGUGGAGGUGGGGAGUUUCUCUCUACCAACCCCUUAAGCAAAGCACAUCAAAGACUAUCAUAUGGGAAGCCUCUAAUUUGAGAAUUCCUAAGGUAAUAAAAUAAAAUUUAUAUUUUUUUCUCUACAACGUGAUCGCCAUCGUCUCGCCUAUACACGACAUCUACGAACGGUCGGCUGCUCCGGCAUUGCUGUAGCUCCAAGAAAGCGUCACUGUCGGUGAACCUACUCCCUGUCCACCAAUGUAAGCCCCAAUCACUUUAUCUUUCAGUUUGGAAAAUACAAACGGCUCGAUUUUAGAUUAAAAAUACGUUUUCACUAUUUACAGAAUUGCCACUGACUUUCUUUUGGCCAUAAAAUAUUCAUCUUAACUCCAUUUUGACCCAUUCAAAUUACGUUGGAUUCGUUUAAAUGAGCUCUACAUGUUAGUAACAUUGUUUUCUCAGUUUGAAACUUUUUUAUUUUCGUGACCCUAAUUAAUUAAUUACUUUUCUAUAUAAAGUCUUAGAAAAUUCAUAACUUCUCCGUUUUAGCUCCGAUUUUCGUGAUCUUUACGUCUAUAAAAUCUUAGCGAUGCGUAGAAUCAUUUUAUAAACUUUUCAUACUGUUUUCACAUAUUUGGUGUACUGUUCUAAUUGUAGUCUUGUUUGCUUCGUGUAUGUUUUCUUCGAUUGUUUGUGUGAUCGAUGAUCGAGAUUAGACGAUGAGCAAUCCUUGGUGAACCAGAGUGCUUCAGUGAUCAAGAUCAGAGCCUUGGACAACUAGUAAGACCAGCAAGAGCAAUUGGAUUAAGGCAAGUAUAGCAUUUGGAUUUUAUUUCUGUGACCAUGAUCCUGUGACUAGAUUAAUGUUAAGUAAUAAAUGAUAAAAAUGACUUUUUAGCCACUUGAUGAUUUAUCUGUAAGUGAUAACCGGGACAACAGUGCAACUAUGAGGGCUAUAAUGGCUCUGGCUUUAGCUCAGUAUGAAGACCUUUUCUAGCUUGUUAGAGGUUACCCGAAAGGGCGGAGGGGCUGAACCGUUUUGGGUAUAGUGCGAGCCCCUGUCCUUAUAUGUAUAGACUGUGCGUCAUUGUGCCAUUUGGAAGGGGGGUAUCUAUAUCUGCGCGCAAAGGAAACCUUGCGGCCCUAACAUGUUAGACGAACUUUUGAAAGGCUUCAUAGUGAUCCCUGCCAACCUUCCUUGGUAGUGGAUUAAGAGGCUGAUCACCUCGGGCGAAAGGGUAAAUCAUGACUCAUGGGUAAAGAUGUACAACCUCUGCAGAGUGUUAAAAACUAGUAUACUAGCCGUGCUCACGGUCAAGAGCGGCCUUGGGGAUUCUUGCAUCGACGAUGAUGAUUCUUGUGUGUUAUAUAUGUUCAUUAUUUAUUAUUUAAUGCUCUACAUUAUUUAUGUCACAUUGAUCAUGAGACUGUGGGAUCUAUACAAUCUAGUCGCUAUACUUGUGGAGUUCGACAUGGACUCACUCUUGCAAUUUCCCCCACACCUCAGGAGAAGUUUUGGGCUUGUGAUCAACCAGUCAGUUGGAUCCUGUAGAGAGAAGUUAAUACCCGAAGUUCGGAGUUGUCUAUCCGCUGUUUGCUAUCAAGGUUAUGUCUUUUAUAUUAAGUACGUUAUAUAUUUAUGCAUUGUCUUUUGAUAUUACCCUUUAUUUGUAGCUAUAUGUGAGAUUUGACUUCUAAAACUCAUAUAUGGUGCGUAUCUGAUUUUGUCCUUAAAAUCGGGUAUUACACACCACUAGGGUGUGGCCUCUCCGGGGCCUAGGGAAGGCAGCGCAGGCUUGGCCUCCACUUCUACAGGGGCGACAACAGUAGCUAUGGUGGUUGUCAGUGGCGGCCAAGUCAUGCCAGAUCUGCAUCGCCCAUCCCCAGAUCUGCAUGGUAGCCGAAUGAGCUCAGCAGUUGGCUAGCGGGCUAGCAACAUUGUUUCUCAGCGAUGUCUGCACCAACCCAUGAUAGUCGAGGCCCGGUGCACAACGGCGCUCAGGCGCUCUAGGAGUGCUCGGCACCUAGUCUAGUAGCAGGAGACCUACCAACGGGCCGACCAAGCCCUCCACCCAUGGUGGGUCAGAUCCUCGGCUCCUUAUUAGCAUGGCAACGCUCGCCCUAUCAAGUGGUGGUGUUGACGCUGUGCUUGGGUGUUUACCUUGCUCGACUUCUUGAUGGGCUAGCGACGAUGGCGCAUUCUAUGUCAUAUCCCUUCGUGGAGGUAUCGUCGAAGCUGGUCUUCACUAGGGGUAACUUGGGCAGGUUCUAGGAUGAAAGUCUUGUGUGCUCUGUCAAUGAUGAUGGCGUCUUUACAAUGUCAUUCUGCUCCGUGGAGGCUUCGUUGGAGCACUCCUGCAGUUGUGCCUCUGCCUUCCAUUCUUACUGGUUGUGUUGGGCCUGAUUGUGUGUCAUGUUUUCUUCACAUUAGUUUGUCUAGUAGUUGAUUGGUGUUACCGCAGUUGUUUGUUGUGUAGCGGAUGCUUUGUCGCUAUCACUCUUCUUGGAUGAAUGCUUCAUCAUCAACUACCUAGGCGGAUGCUUUGCCGUUGAUGUCGUGAUGCCCUCUCCCCUAAGGCAGAUGCUUUGCUUCUAAGGACACGCAUUGUAGUAUAAUAUAAUCGAGGCGGUUAUGUUAGGACAACUGGCUUAGUUAAUAUUCGGUUAACUAAGGUGGUUACAUUACAAUGCCCGCCUCGAUUAGCCUAUUAAGUGAGGUGGGCCGCUGGCCCAACCGCCUUCGAGGGGGGUUUUUAAAACACCUCCCAAAAGUUUUUUUUAGUAGUGGCAUGAUGGCUAGGCUACAAUUCUUGUACGGUUGCUUCGCCGUCAUUGUUACUUAGGUGAAGGCUUUGCCGCUGAGGUUGUGGUGGCCUCCCAUAUGGCAGAUGCUUUGCUGCUAAGGGUGUGAUGGCCAAGUUAGAGUUGUAGCGGAUGCUUUGUCACCAUGGUCUCUUCUCUAGCGGAUGCUUUGCCGAUAUGCUUUGUCACCAUGGUCUCUUCUCUAGCGGAUGCUUUGCCGAUAUUGUCGUACUAGUGUCCUUGGCGGAUGCUUUUUCCGCAGAGUUUAAGCCUUGUUGUCUGCACGAUUUCACUAUAUUACCUGCUAUUAUUGUAUUGUCUUCGUGUAUUAGACUCAAACGAGGUGGUGGGUCCCCCCUCUUAAGUUUUCUUGCUGUUCAUUGUGUCUCUAGGAUUUGUUGGUAAUCUAAGGAUUAGACCUUUCUAUCGUUUUGUAAUAUUUGUUUACCUUCUUCUUAAAAAAAGGGUCGAACACCCGAUCCAGGGGAAAAAAAAAAGGCAAACUGCAUAGCUGAGCUCCAUCGAUCCCGAUUUGGCUUUUUGAAAGGAAAACCGACAUUUGAAUCUUAAGUGGACUGCAUGUUUUUAUUUUCUCGUCCUAGCUUUGCUUGGUUUGCUGACGCGUUAUCGUGACAGUAUGCACAGUGCAUCACCGGCGCCAGUUCCCGAAACCACGCGAUUUGGUCGCACCUAAAAUCACAUACGAGCACUCGUACGUGUAUAUAAAAAUGUACACCGGCAGUUCCCUCCACCAAUGACUAUAAUGCAUACAUCACAUGAUUUUCGUUCUGAGGUCACGAUAAAAUAUCCUCACGCGUCGUCUUCGGCAUAUAUAUAUAUAUAUACCCAUAUACGCGCGCUGACGUUGUCAAACCAAAAUCAGAAAUAGAUAUGGAUGCCGCGAAAUUGCACAGAUGGUUCUUAACUAAACUAUUACAGAUUUUUCAUCUACGUCCCAAACUAUAGAAUGGUAGGUCUAAUAAGCCACUGAUAUAUCUAAAUUAUCCUAAUUAUAGUAAAAAAAAGCAGCCACACACCAUAGCUUUAGCCAGACUGCCAGAAUUGGCAUAUCACACUUGGCUCUCUCUGCUUAUCGUUCUUUAAUGAAACACAACACACUUAUUCAUCGAUUGCCCUUUAACCAAAAUAAUUUGAAGGAUUAUUUUCUUUGUUACUAAUUUAUUAACCUAACCAAGCUCUAUUAACCAUAUAUUUGUUCACAAUCAAAAUAAGAGGAUAAGAAGUUUGAUCUGGGUUGGGGUUGCUGCCAUUUACUGGGCUAUCUGGCGAUGUCGGAAAGAUAUUAUUUUUAACAAACUCAAAACUAACUCUAUUAUGUAGGUUAUUUUCAGAAGAGCAUUUUGGCUUCGCUUUUGGGCCCCGCUGCAGCGUGAUGAGCAAGCUAAAGCCAUCCUUUCGGCGAUAAGCAAAAAGUUGGAGAUUAUUGUCUUAGACAUUUUAAAUAAAGGAUGAAAACAUUUAUACAGUUUGCUCUAGUAUCCUGGUCAUUGCUCAAGACUAUGGCUUGCUCUUUCAUUUUGUUUCAAAAACUUUUAAUAAUUGGUUGUAUACAUCUCUGGAUGUAGAGGCCAGAUAUUUAUAUCCAUUAUCUAAAAAAAGAAAUUGAUGUGUAUCAAUACAUCUGGAACCCAUUUUUUACAGCGUAUCUCAACAAUUAAUAUUUUUAUGAAGAGCACACAGUUUUUUUCCGCACAUAUUGUUUCUAAUAUAUAGCAUCAAUUUCAUGCUUUUCCGUAAAUCUCGGCCGGUAUAUUUGCACGCUUUUCUGUAAAUAAAAUAGCUGAAUCCUGAAUGUACAUGUGACACUAGCUAUGCUGUGCUCCAGACCUAUCGCCAAGCCCAGUUCACAUCAUGUCCCCCGCCGGAAAUCGAUAUAAAAUCCAUUGAGGCACAGCCCUUAUGAGCUCGUGGCCCACACUUAUCCUUUUUUUAAGGAACGAAAAAAUAUCUUAAAAUAAACUCUAAUACAUAUAAAAAUAGAUUUUGAGAAUGCUUAAGGUUAUUAUAUUUUUAUCACCUAAGUGGAAAACUUGGGUGCAAUUUUGUGGUUAUUAAUGUUAACGAUAAUGUUAAUUAGGAAUAAAAAAGGCAUUCAACAAGGAGAUAUAUUGCUCAUGUUAAUUAGCAGUGCCAAAGCGGAUAUGCAAGUUUGUGAGGUGGUGCAACAUCUGAUAGAGGGUGAGCUCUCCAUUCUACACACGGAUGAUACAACUUUGAAGGAUUAUGACUUGGAAAAGGCAUGCAACAUGAAGCUGUUGCCUUGUGCUUUCAAACAACAGGUCUAAAGAUCAAUUUUUAUAUAAGUGAUUUUUUUUUGCUUUGGUGAAGCUUAGGACGCAGAAAAACACAAUACACUGAACUGUUUGCCUACAAAUUAGGUGAUCUACCUCUAAGGUCUUGUUUAGUUGCACCCAAAAUCUAAAAACUUUUCAACAUUCUCCAUCACAUUAAAUCUUACGGCACAUGCAUGGAGCAUUAAAUAUAGAUUAAAAAAUAACUAAUUGUACAGUUUAUUUGUAAUUUGUGAGACGAAUUUUUUGAGCCUAGUUAGUCCAUGGUUAGUGCUAGCAAGGAUGCAAAUAACAGAGGACGACGCUGGGUUAGUUGGUAGAUCUUUUUUUUUUGUCAGCUUAUCUUUUCAAAACUUUUACAUAUGAGUUUGGAUAAAUAUAAAAUUUAUAUUAAAACUUUAGCCUUAAAAAAUAUCUAUAACUAUAGUAUUUGACCUUUUCAUUUAAAACCAUUUUGUGUGAAAUUGCCUCAAAUUAUCUACUGUUGCGUAUCACUUCAAAAUUAUAUUUUUAAAAAUAAUCACGGAUGAAGAUAAAAUUGUAAAAUAAUCUUAUUUCAUAAUGAUAUCUACACCCUUUUAGUUUAUAAUAUUUUAUUUGAAUCUAUCUUAGUACCAAAAUAGAGGUAAAAAUUUAUAAGAAAAUUAUAGUUCAAAGAACAUCUAUGGCCCAACUAGUUGUUGAAACCAAACUGUAACUCUUCUGAGACUGCGGACAUGAGUUGAAAAGAGAAUUAAAAUAGAGCUAAAAUGAUUUAUAGUUUUCAAAAUAAAUUUUAAAAUAAUUUUGAGUAUGGGUGAUUUUGAAUUUGACUUUUUAGGAUGUUACAAAAGUAUACGUACAUCAAUUUUUUUGCGAAUUACACAAAUAUAAAUACAGACGCUUAACACGUAUGCACACUUAACCCUAUGAGUACACGUACGCAAACCUACUCCUAUGAGCAUCUCCGAAAGACUGUGCUGGCACAUAUCAGAUUGACGAAGUCAUCACGUUAUGAAACUAAAAGGUUACUGGUAUUAUUGAGAAGUAGGAUUAUUUAUAAAUUUUACCAGCAUCUGAGAUUAUAUAAAAAAUAUUUUUUUUGGUGACGGUAGAUAAUUUGAGGCAAUUUAUUCACACAAAAUGAUUUUAAAUAAAAAAGUCAUAUACUGUAGGUAUAUGUAUUUUUUUAAGACUAUAAAUUUCAUAUAAAUUUUAUAUUUAUCCAAGCUCAUAUGUAAAAGUUUUGAAAAGAUAAGCUGCGCAGAAAAAAGAAAAAUGUGCCAACUAACAGAGCUCCGUUAUUUGCAUCCUGGGCACCAAUAAAGUGAAGGGCUUUCUAACCGUUCGAUGGUAAAUGGAUGAUAUCCAGGUGAUGGGAAGUCACAUGUGACUUUUCUACAGCAAGUUAGGCCUCGUUUAGUUCGUAAAAAUUUUCGUUUUUGGCCACUGUAGCAUUUUCGUUUUUAUUUGACAAACAUUAUCCAAUCAUAGAGUAACUAGGCUCAAAAGAUUCAUCUCAUAAAUUACAGGUAAACUGUGCAAUUAGUUUUUAUUUUUAUCUAUAUUUAAUGCUCCAUGCAUGCGACCAAAAAUUCGAUGUGACGGGAAAUCUUGAAAAUUUUUGCGAACUAAACAAGGCCUUAGAGAAUUCACGCCGCUCACAUUGAUGUCCUUUGCCAUUUCUAGAGUAGUACUUAUAGAUCUAGAUUUUACUGUUAAAGUGAUGGAUAUAAAAGGAAAUAAUGACCUGAGAAAUAAAACAUUUUGUGUUGUCCUAGAGACCAAUGUAUCCUAGGAAUACAGGACUGGCCUGUUUGAAUCUAUUAACAUUAAAAAUUAGCGACUAAAAUUAACACUACUAGAUUAAAAUGGACCUACUAAUAAAUCUACUAAUUAUUUAGCUAGAGAGCUGCUAACUAUUAGUUCUAUUAGUAUGUUUGGAGUUUCUAAUAGAUGCUAAUGGUUCAUAUACACCUUCAACUUACUAUACAACCAUAUAUUAGCACGUGGAUCUAACCAACCCUGCUAGUAGUUAUUAGUUAUUAGCUAUUAGCCAGCCAAACAGACCCUAAAACUAAAAAUACUAUUUUUUUUAGUGAAUAGCUAUUUUUACUACUUACAACAAAUGUGGUUUAGUAAUGGCUGAUUCAACAGCUUAGGUAUUCUUAUUAUAAAGGUUAUUCUAGAAUUUUGUAUAGCAAAAGUAGGCUUCAACUGACUUUGUAAAAAUAAAAAGUUGGUAUCCUUUGAUUUUUGUGACCAUAUAUAGCUAACCAUGGGUGUUGGCUAUUUGCCUUUGUAAUUUAAAAUAGCAAAGCUAUUGUGAAUCUCUUUUUUAGAAGUUUUUAUUUUAUAAAAUGGCCAAAAAAUGGAAUUUAUUAGCUACUAAUUUGUCAAGUUGUUGAAGUUGCUCUAAGCCCUUGUUUAGUUUGUGAAAUUUUUUAGGUUUGGCUACUUUAGCACUUUCGUUUAUAUUUAGCAAUUGCUGUCCAACUAUUAAUUAACUGGGCUCAAAAGAUUCGUCUCUCAAAUUAUAAGUAAAUUGUAUAAUUAGUUAUUUUUUUAUCUAUAUUCAAUAUUGCAUGUAUGUGUCUAAAGAUUUGAUAUCACAAAUAAUCUUGAAAUUUUUAAAUAAGAUCUAAGCCUCGUGUGCAAGUUGAGUGGAACUUUGAGUUGAGGACUCGUACUUUUGGGCCAAUCUCUAGUAGAAGAAAAAACAUGCCUUUAAAAUUGUUUCUAUAGCAGUGUUAGUAUCGAAUUGUCGAAUACUAGGCAUGGUCACAUUCAUGUUAGCAAAAAAAAAGAUUCACACGUAUUCCGCAUCAUAUAUUCAUAUACUGUACAUUUUUUCGAUCAGUGCAAACCAAAUACUACACCGCUACACUGAGCUCCGUCCCACCCAUGGAGCAAAACCAAUGUGUGCGAGAAGCCAAGGGCCCAAGACCACCCACAGCAAGCAAAAAAAUCCAGCCCGCCAGACCGGCUCGCCUCUAUAAAUACCCCAACACCGAUGGCCAUACUUCCUCGCCCAUUCACUCACUCCACACUCACCAUCUCAAAUCCUGGGUAGCAGUUUCGUCGCCUCACCUCACCUCGCCCAUGGCGAUGGCCUCCGCAGUUUCGUCGUGCACGGACAGCACGUGGUGGGUGUACGCGCUCCCGACGCUGCUCGGCUCGGACACCCUGUGCGCCCACCCGGCCCUCCUGGCCGGCCUGCUCUUCCUGACCACCGUCACGGCGGCUCUGCUGGCGUGGGCCGCGUCGCCGGGAGGGCCUGCGUGGGCGCACGGCCGCGGCCGCCUCGGCGCCACUCCUAUCGUGGGUCCCCGGGGUCUCCCCGUGUUCGGCAGCAUCUUCGCGCUCUCCCGCGGUCUGCCGCACCGUACCCUCGCCGCGAUGGCCCGCGCGGCGGGGCCCCGGGCCAAGGAGCUCAUGGCGUUCUCCGUCGGGGACACGCCGGCGGUCGUGUCGUCGUGCCCGGCCACGGCGCGUGAGGUGCUCGCGCACCCGUCCUUCGCCGACCGCCCCGUGAAGCGGUCGGCGCGGGAGCUCAUGUUCGCGCGCGCCAUCGGGUUCGCGCCCAACGGCGAGUACUGGCGCCGCCUCCGCCGCGUCGCGUCCACGCACCUCUUCUCCCCGCGCCGCGUCGCCGCGCACGAGCCGGGACGCCAGGGCGACGCGGAGGCCAUGCUCCGCUCCGUCGCCGCCGAGCAGUCCGCCUCGGGCACCGUCGUCCUCCGCCCGCACCUCCAGGCCGCCGCUCUCAACAACAUCAUGGGCAGCGUCUUCGGCACGCGAUACGACGUCACAUCCGGCGCCACCGCCGGCGCCGCGGAGGCCGAGCAGCUCAAGAGCAUGGUGCGCGAGGGGUUCGAGCUCCUCGGCGCCUUCAACUGGUCCGACCACCUCCCCUGGCUCGCCCACCUGUACGACCCCAGCAACGUCACCCGCCGCUGCGCCGCGCUCGUCCCGCGCGUCCAGACCUUCGUCCGUGGCGUCAUCGACGAGCACCGGCGCCGCCGCCAAAACUCCGCCGCCCUCGACCUCAACGACAAUGCUGACUUCGUCUACGUGCUCCUCUCCCUCGACGGCGACGAGAAGCUCCGCGACGACGACAUGGUCGCCAUCCUCUGGGUAAACUUCAAAUCGAUCGCUUUGUUCAACGCGCAUACUUCUCCGGUCUACAGUUUUGUGUCGGUGGUUCCCGAAAGGGAAAAAAGAGGAGAGCUUUUUGUGUUCCUCGCUGAAAAUAGAAUAUAUAUAUAUAUAUAUAUAUAUAUAUAUAUAUAUAUAUAUAUAUAUAUAUAUAUAUAUAUAUAUAUAUGAUUUGUUUUUGCAGGAGAUGAUCUUCCGCGGUACGGACACGACGGCGCUUCUGACGGAGUGGUGCAUGGCGGAGCUGGUGCGCCACCCGGCGGUGCAGGCGAGGCUGCGGGCCGAGGUGGACGCAGCUGUCGGCGCCGGCGGUCGCCCCACCGACGCCGACGUGGCGCGCAUGCCGUACCUGCAGGCGGUCGUGAAGGAGACGCUGCGAGCGCACCCGCCUGGCCCGCUGCUGAGCUGGGCGCGCCUCGCCACCGCCGACGUGCCCCUCUCCAACGGCAUGGUGGUCCCGGCCGGCACCACGGCGAUGGUGAACAUGUGGGCCAUCACCCACGACGCCGGCGUGUGGGCCGACCCGGACGCGUUCGCGCCGGAGCGGUUCCUGCCCUCCGAGGGCGGCGCCGACGUGGACGUCCGCGGCGUCGACCUCCGCCUGGCACCGUUCGGCGCCGGGCGCCGCGUCUGCCCCGGCAAGAACCUGGGGCUCACCACCGUGGGCCUCUGGGUCGCCCGCCUCGUGCACGCCUUCGAGUGGGCGCUGCCUGAUGGCGCGCCGCCCGUCUGCCUCGACGAGGUCCUCAAGCUCUCCCUGGAGAUGAAGACGCCGCUCGCCGCCGCGGCCAUCCCGCGCACCGCAUGAUCCAUCCUGCCGCUGCCGCCGACGCGUGCAACAAGAACCGAUUAUGCUUUGUCACGUCACGUCACGCGUUCUUUGUCUGUGUGUGUGUGGUUCUAAGCUAGUGUGCUUCUUCUUGUCGAUCGUCGGUUCGUUCUCGUGCCUGCCUUUGCCUAGGGUUUCGUUUCUUGCAAAGUAGUGACAGUGUCUCCCUUAGAGUCAUCAACGGGGCUCCAAUUUUGGAAAGGUGCGUGUUAGGAGUUAACCCCUAGACAUGUCUGCGUCUCGAUCACCACCUACUAUGUCAUUAUCAGCGCAGCACCUAUAUAUAGAUCAGUGUCUGUCGAUCAGUCAUGGAAGUCGAUCGUGUGCUCAAGUCUGCUGUAUUAUAUAUAAUGUAUUGUAAUGUGAUUAUCAAGAACCGUGCUAUCUAUAUGUUGCUGUUUAAUUGUUUAUAUAUGUCCGGAUUGGCCUCCAAUUAACUAGUUAUUUCUGAAUUCAAUUUUCGGUUAUAUAUUUUGAAGUUGAUCGUCUCAAGUAUUCAAAAUCAAGUCACUUAAACCGUAUUCAGUUGUAUGGUGAAAUCUAUGACAAAUGAGACUUGCGUUCAUGAGAAAAACAUGAGUCACCACUGUAAAAUUCUGUAAACGUGGAUGCCGAACUUCCGCUCACCACGGGUCCAUAUGUCGUAUAGUAGCGACCAGGCAACAACCAGGCGCAAGAUUACAGGAAGCGAUUACAGCAGCUUUAAAGUACAGUCACAGAAGUAACAACUCUGACUUCGAACAUAGCUGAUGCAUACCAUAAAGAAGAUAUACCAUACAAGAAAUAUGCACGUACUUAUCUGAUCGACGGCCUCCCUAAUCUAAACUGUCCUUGUGCUUUAGAUUUAGAUUGCUCUUGGAAGCUUCGAACAUUCUGAUGGACAAUGGUUUCAUGAAGCUGUCAGCUAGCUGAUCUUGAGCGGAGACAAGCCGAACCUACAACAAUUUAUUUGCAACUCUUCCCCCGCACAAAGUGAAAUCAAUUUUAACAUGUUUUGCUAUAGCAUGGAAAAAAGGAUUGGCUGAUUAUAACACCCUAAACAGGGUACCUCCUUUUGAUCAAUGCGAAAGAUUAUAACACCCUAAACAGGGUACAGCAAAACAUGUUAACAUGUUUUGCUAUGGUACCGAGAUUAUAUAUAACAUGUUUUGCUAUAGCAUGGAAAAAAGGAUUGGCUGAUUAUAACACCCUAAACAGGGUACCUCCUUUUGAUCAAUGCGAAAGAUUAUAACACCCUAAAGAGGGUACAGCAAAACAUGUUAACAUGUUUUGCUAUGGUACCGAGAUUAUAUAUAACAUGUUUUGCUAUAGCAUGGAAAAAAGGAGGUAGUAAUCAGCCAAUCCGCACAAAAACUAGGACAAAAUUUUCUUCUUCCCCGAGCCAGUCAGUUCGAACUUUGUUCUUGCUUCAGAGCCUCUGUUCUUGCAUUGCUUCUUCAUCUCCAGCCGUCCAUCACUUCUUUGAUAGGCUCAAAAUCACUUGAUAUUAGUUGUAUAUUUGGAUGAAAGGAAGCUUAAAGUAGUUUAUCAAAGCGAGUAAUCAGCUUUCAUUGCUAGUAUGCAUUGCACAUUUCAUGAUUUAGAGAAAUAGCUAGAGAUUUUAGGUGUUUUUUAUCACUUGAUAUAUUUGCAUAUAUUAGCCGCAUUUUUGGAUGAAAGCUUAAAGUAGUUCAGAAUCUUCUUUCAUUGCUUGUAUGCAUUGCACAUUUCAUAUCGUUUAGAGAAAACAGAGAAUUUUAGUUUUUUUUUUAGUUUCAUUUUUUUAUAAAAAGAGAAAUUUACAGUAAUUUACAAAAAUGAGUAUAUAUAGAGAGUAGAUGGAAACUGCUUCCGGGUCCUCAGCCUCUCAUCGGGUCACGUGCUAGUUUUGGAUUACGAAGUGAAUUAGGCCCCAUUUUGUUGCCUUCGUUAAACUUUAACUUCCAUCAUGUCAAAUGUUUGGACAUAUGCAUAGAGUACUAAAUAUAGACUAUUUAAGAAACUAAAAACAUUGCUAGAGAGUAAUUUGUGAGACGAAUCUUUUGAGCAUAAUUAGUCCAUUAGAGAGCUCAACAACAGAAGGAACAAAUGUGUUGGUUUUAUUGAUCCAUAUGUCAUUUUCAAAGACAAGAUCACUCCCCAGCCUACUUGGAGGGCUCAAGCGGAGAGGAAUCUCAUGAGGUUCUUAGUGAACCAAAAAGAUAUAAUAACGAUAAUCUUUUUCUACAACUUCAAGUGAGUGUUAAUAAUGUCGAUCAUUAUGUGCACAUUUAUUUUUUUUUUGUUACUGAGUUAUACCUGCAUAUGCGAAUAAAUACAUGCAGCUUUUACUCGAUAUUGAUGGUAUUUGAUCUGCCCAAUAGUCGGUUGAAAAUCUUGGACUCUAUGAGAAAAGAGCAGAAACAAUACCAAAAUAUGAUAGAUAUUAUCCAGCGGUACGUAAUUUCGGUCUCUCUCUAUAUAUAUAUAUACACACCUCUUAACUCUGAAAAAGUACUAUAAAAAUUUUUACAAAGAAUAUUCUCGGUUCUGUGUUCCUACACAACAUGUUCCCUUUUAAGAGGUUCAUAGGAGUGCUAAAGAAAUAUAUUCAGAACCGUGCUCGACCAGAAGGAAGCAUUGCCAUGGGCUAUGGAAGCAAGUCGUUGAGUUCUGUUGUGACUUUAUUAAUCCCGACCUUGACCUGAUUGGUGUUCCUCAAUCACGACAUGAGGGGAGAUUAAGUGGAAAAGAAACACUAGAGAAGAAAACAUAUAUCAGUCAAGAGGACGACAAUUUCAAUAAAGCACACUUCACAGUUUGCAAAACUCGUUCUUAGUGGAUCCAUAUAUUGAGGUUUACAAUUUCUUAUACUUUCAAAUUUAAUUUGUAUUUAUAUGCAUGGUAUAUUAAUUUCCUUGUCGAACAUUUGGACCAUGAUUGAUGACAAAACAAAACAGUAACGAUCAAAUGUUAUGAAAACAAAUUUCCUGUCAAAAUUCAAUAGUUUGAAUGAUUUUAAUUCAAAAUUGUAUUUUUCACAUUAACAAAAUAGUAAUUGUGCAUUACAUUAUUGUAAGUGCAAUCAAGCCCUAUUGUGGGUAUUGGUAUUAAUGACCACCGAAUUAGAGGACUAAUGAGAUUUGUCGAGAUGACAAGCAAGGAAUCAAAAAUUGAGGAUAAUGAACAGGUUGUAGGUACCCCCAAUUGCAAAAGUGAGCUGAUCUCAAGUCAAGGAGGUUUAAUUUCUUUUAUUUUAAAAAUUGAGUUUAGUAAAAGCCGUACUAUUAAGGGGGACUUAAGAACAGUUGGUCAACUAUGUAACCAAAUGCUCAUCUUUCUGUAAUAACAUUCUCAUUCCCAGCCAAAAUAGCUAGCAAAAUAUCUCUUCACUCUUCCUGUUUUGGCUAGGGCGGCAGUGCCGCCCUGUGAGGUGACAAGAUUUGGAGUUAAAUUUUUAUAGGCCUAUUCACCCCCUUCUAGGCCUCCUUUACCUUCCAGAAGAUCCUACAAUUAUGUUCAAUAUUCAUAAGAUAAAACAAAAUACUUUAGGUUAUUGAGAUUUUCCCUGUGUAUAAUAAAGCAAAAGAAACUCAAGGUUUUUUUAAUAAAAAUUUUAGGCCUAGUAUUUAAUUACUGUGCAUAUAUUUAUGAAAAUAAUUAAAUAAAAAAACCAAAUACUAAAGGGAAACCAGCGGGGAGUGAAACUACAACCCACCUUUAGUCCUGGGUGGUAGAUCCACCUGGGACUAAAGCUGGGUUGUAUUUUCACGGCCCGCCAAAACACCUUUAGUCCUGGUGCACAACACGAACCGAAACUAAAGAUUAAACCUUUAGUCCUGUUCCUUCACCACACUUUCUUGGCCAUCAAACCACAAAGGAUCCGAGUGUUCUCUAUUUUCCAAUCAAUUUCCGACAUCUACACCAAAUCAACAAUAAUUCAGAACAUGCACAGGUCGCUAACAUUAGUACCAAAUCAUGUAUACCAAAUCACAAAGCAUGAGUACCAAAUCAUGUAUACCAAAUCACCAAAUCAGAAAGCAUAUAUACCAUGGAGAUCAAGACAAAAUAUUGCUUAGGGUAUUUGGUUUUGGUGAUCAAGACACCAUAGAGGGUGUGAUCACAUUUAGGAUAGAUAGUCAUACUACAAAGAGGGGAAUUCUUUGGUUAAGCGGUUAUUAAGUGCCACUAGGCGUCAUUGUUCAUGUAGAUGCAUUUGGAACCUAGUGAGCUAACUUAACCCUUGAAAAUAUUUGUGAAAAUAUGCUAACACACGCGCACAAAGGUGGAAUACUUGGUGGUUAGCACUUUUGUGAAAGGGUUGAAGAAGAGGUGAAGUCGCGGGAGUGUUUCUUACUGAGAAACACUCACUGAACGCUGGACUUGGUGUUGACGGUCGAUAACAUCAACUUUUAUUAGAACUUUAAACCCGAAGGAGAACAUGAAAAUACACUAGUCUAGAGUUUAAACUGACAAUUUCCACGAGUUUUGCAUAUUCUGUAUUUUCCAGGGUCUAUUUCCAGAAAAGCUGAAAAGAGGGAUUCAAGUGCAUAUUUACCACAAAACUUAUCCGCCACAAAAAAGAUCACGAACGGGACGUGGGAAGACUCUCGAAGACACCGGAAGAAACUGGGGGCCAGAGGCCGCCAGGUGGGGCCGGUCGGCCCCACCAUGGCACUGGCCGGCGCCCCCCUGCUAGGGUUUCGGCCCCCCUUCUGGAAGCUUCCUCCACCACCUCCGAGGAGUCAUCUUGGCCAUUGGUUAAGUCGGUUUGAUCCUGCGGCGCACGUCGAUCCCACUGGGCUAUAAAUAAAGGGGCAGACCCCCCUCCCUAAGGCAUCAAGUUAUUUGGAGAUCCAUUCGUCAAGAGCCUUCUCUAGUUCAUCAGGGCCUCUCUAGUUCAUAGUUUUAGCCUAGUUAGAUUAGAAGUAGAAGAGUUCUAGUUCUUCAGCAGGAUCCGGAGCCCCUGGCGUCUGUCUGGAGUGCGGAGUUCGGUAUAGCUCUAGUACCUUUCUCUUAUUGUAUUCACUAUUAUGAUUCAGGCAACAUUGUUCUUAAUCUCUUAUAUAUUCUUAAUUGCAAUAGUCAUUGUCUACUUUGAUUAUAUGUCUAGGAUAGUUGGUUUGAUCUUAUUGAAUUCAUGUAAUUGCUCGUAUAGUGUUUACCCAAUCAAUUGGUGGGCAGAUGGUAGACAAUAUGUAGACGUGGUGUCUAGAUAUCUUGUUUAUCUAUGAGGGCACCCGGACGUGCCGGGUCGUGUGGUAGUCUGCGCAGGUGACAGCUACGUUGGUUCCUCUGUAGUCCACCCCCCAUACGUAGGACUAGCUUGGGCGCGGUCGUGAAGGAGGUGACGGUUGCGUCUUAAAACCCUCAUUAGUUGAUGCCUCUUUGCAUGUGAUUAUGAUAUAGGGUUGACUUAACGAUGAUUUCUAGAUGUAAUUGCACUAAUUAGAGUUAUUCAUUGACGUAGUUAUAGAAUUACCUUAGUAUUUAUUCCUGAGUUUAUCCAUUGGCUAGCUAUUACUUUGACUAGAAGAGCUCAGAUAUUUAUCUAUUUAUGAUGACUGAUCAUUAUUUAUCUUAUAUCUUUUAUCAAGUGACUUAUCCCUGUUACGAGUAGGAUUAUAGUUAUGUUUAUCGUUCACACCAAUAGUAUAAGUUAUAGUUAUAAGUCCUACAUAUAGACCUUCCCUGUGGAUACGAUAUUUAAAACCCCUCGGGUAAAAUGUGACAUUGGUAUAAUAUCUGUGCGCUUGUGGAUAAUCUUACUUAAAUCUUAUUUAAAGGAGUGUAGUUAAUUUAUACCAAUACUUGGUAGCGUCGGACACUAGCCCAACGUCCGGUGUACUCUUGGUUUUUGGCACGGGUGUAGAGUGUGUGUCAGAGCGUCUGACGGAUGAGCAUCAGUCGCAAUGCUGACACAGUUCCCGCGUUCGGUGAGUACUGACGUCAACGAGCGCGUGAGCGAGUAGCUUCUGUAGAGCGCGUUGUACGCCAAGGAGCGUUUGGUGAGGAUGUUGAAAGGUCCUAAUAUGGCUAGAGGGGGGUGAAUAGCCUAUUUAAAAAUUCUACAAAAACUCUAGAGCAAGAGGUUAGUAAAUAACAAAGCGAAGCUUUUUGCUCUAGCUCUAAUGGGGGGUUUGCAAGCCACCUAUUCAACAAUUCUAGUUGAUAAGAUCACUAGGCACACAAGAGCUAUGUCUCUACUUAUACUAGAGAGCUACCUAAAGUUUCUAUACAAGUGUGUAAGCUACUCUAGUUUGCAAGAAAGUAAGAGAGAAGGUUUGAUCUUUAUACCGCCGCAUAGAGGGGAUGUACAAAUCAAUAAUAUGAAGUCCAAUCACCGGGAGAAAUCCAAUGAACAAACACAAUGGAGACAAACAAUUUUUCUCCUGAGGUUCACGUGCUUGCCGGCACGCUACGUCCCCGUUGUGUCGACCAACACUCAGUGGUUCAGUGGCUAAGAGGUGUAGCACGAACCUCGUCCUCACUAGGACACCACAAGAACCUACCCACAAGUGAGGUAGCUCAAUGACACGAGCAAUCCACUAAUGUUGCCUUUGGCUCUCCACCGAGGUAGGCACAAACCUCUCACAAUCACCGGGAGAUGGCCACGAACAAUCACCAACUCGUGCCAAAGCUCCUCCGCUGCUCCAAGCCGUCUAGGUGGCGGCAACCACCAAGAGUAAUAAGAAAACCGCAGCCAAAUCGAUCCCCAAGUGCCACUAGAUGCAAUCACUCAAGCAAAUGCACUUGGAAUCACUCCCAAUGUCACAAAGAUGUUUAAUCUAUGAAGGAGAUGAGUGGGAGGUGUUUGCUUAGGCUCACAAGGAUGUCUAGUAGUCAAGAAUGCCAAGAGCGUGAGCCCUAAGCCGGCCAACAACUAUUUAUAGACCCCUCAAACAAAUAGAGCCAUUGGCUCUUUCACUGGGCAAACUGCGGGGUCACCAGACGUUCUUAAAGGGACACCGGACGCUCAACACCUGCGUCCGGUGCUCCAACGUCAGCCACGUGUCGCCUUUUGAACUUCUCGUGUCAGAGCUUAACGGUCACCUGCAGUGCACCAGACGCUGAGCAAGUUAGCAUCGGACGCGUCCGGUGCACACCGGACUCAUGCGCAGAGAGAUCCGCAAACCUGCGGGUCACCGGACGCUUAGCACCGGUAGCGUCCGGUGCUCACCGGACCCAUGCGCAGAGAUGGUCGCAAAAACGCCCGCACACCGGACGCAGGGAGCGUCCGGUGCUUUCAGUCAAAUACUCCGACCGAAGUCAGAUAGCACCGGACGCAUGAACAGGAGCUCCCCAGCGUCCGAUGUUCACCGUCCGGUGCUUAACCCUAGCACCACUGCACACCGGACGCUCAGCCUCAGCGUCCGGUGAGUGUUUCUCUGCGAGGAACACACCCGUGAUUUCUCCAAAUUUUCCCACCGGCGCAAUAGAAAAUGUGCACUUCAUUUUCUCGAAAAGCGCCGAAUCCCGCCUCGCAAGCUCGACGGGAGAGAGAUAGGAACCCAUCCUCUCUCUACCCUUCAAACUCCUCCUCCUUUCUCAAAGUGUGCCAACACCACAACGUGUGUACCAACAAGUGCACGUGUGUUAGCAUUUUCACAAUCAAUUUCUUUGAAGGAGUUAAUUUAGCUCACUAGGUUCUAAAUGCAUGCACAUGAACAAUGACACCUAGUGGCACUUGAUAACCGCUUAGCCAAAGAAUUCCCCUCUUUAUAAUACGGCUAUCUAUCCUAAAUGUGAUCACACCCUCUAUGGUGUCUUGAUCACCAAAACCAAAACCCUAAGCAGUACCUUUGCCUUGAUCUCCAUAGGGUUUUGUUUUUCUCUUUCUUCUUUUCAAGUUGAGCACUUGAUCAUCUUGUGGUCAUCACCAUGAUCAUCUCUUGCUCCAACACUUGGCAUGUACCAACCUCAUUAAGUCUACACACACUUAGCAUAGAGGUUAGUACUAGGGUUUCAUCAAUUACCCAAAACCAAACUAGGGCUUUCAAUCUCCCCCUUUUUGGUAAUUGAUGACAACCCUUUUUACAAAGAUUUUCAAUAAAAUUUUCUUGGAUUCAUGUUGCUUGCUCAAGCAUUUUACCAUGUGCAAAGGUUAUGGACAAGUUUCAUAAACCCAAAUUGGUAGCAAUUGCUCCCCCUGCAUAUGUGCUAAGAGUUUGGAUUUGAAAGCUUGCACAUAUGCUUGAACAGGAAAAAUAGGAGACAAUUUCUACCAAAAGAUGCUAAGGUGUAAAGAAUGGACCUUUGAAGCGUGAUACCAAUCGGAGUUGCCAAUAUACACCAUCCUUAGCACUAUUGGUAACUAGACAUUCACAAGACUAGAACACCCCGUGAGAUCAACAUUAUAAACAAGGUUCUAGUACUACUUGUGAAACAAUUAAAAGUCUAGUUACACUACCUAUGCAUGCUAGUUCUUCAUUUCAUCAAUCAAACCUAUAACUAGCAUACACCACACAAGCAAGGUAUUGGAGAGAAAGUUUCUAAAGCUAAUGGUAAUGCAAGCAAACAUAUGUGAUGCACAGUCAAAUGCAACAAAUAAGUUUAUGAGCUUGCUCCCCUUACUUGUGUUCUUUAAAAUUUUAAUUGAUCCCCCUUCUUUUAUCAUGUUACUCCCCUAUCUUAAAUCUUUGGGAAAUUUUCUCCCCCUUUGUCAUCAAAGACCACAAAAGGUGAGCUCAAAUUUUAGAUAGGUUAUUGUGAAACUAUGUGAAGUGAGAUCAUUUUUCCAAAUUGGUCCAAUCUAGAUUACUUGCCUAAGAUAUUUAACUCGGUUUGAUCCAAGGACAAGCUUCUUCACACCUCCAAAUAAGGGUUAUCUUGUACCAUGUUGAGUUAAACACUUAUAGCUCAUAUUCUAGAUCAAAUACUAGGAUUGCAAGCCCACAAACAUGUCAUAUACUACCACUAGAUCAAGUCAAGCAUAGAAGCAAUAGUGGUACCAUAUAAGCAUCAAAUUCAUUUGAAUUUUAUGAAUGAUCCUAAGACAUGUAAGGAAUGACUAGAUGCACUAAGCAAGUCCUUAGCAUAGGAUGAAUGACAUGUCAAUCAAUGUUACCUUGCUUUGCUUGAAGGAGAGGCAUGUCAUAUUGUGGGGGUGCAUCAACACAUAUUUGAGAAGUCAAGUAUGUUCAAUUCAUUCCUUAGCUUGCAAAACCUCUUUUCAUCAAGUGGCUUGGUGAAUAUAUCGGCAAGUUGAUCAUCGGUGCCUAUACUCUCAAUGCAAAUGUCCCCUUUUUGUUGGUGAUCUCUUAUGAAGUGAUGGCAGACAUCUAUGUGGUUUGUUCUUGAGUGUUGAACCGGAUUGUUGGUGAACUUCACGGAACUUUCAUUGUCACAUAGCAAUGGCACUUGCUUGAAGUUGACUCCAAAGUCCUUCAAAGUUGCCUUCAUAUAGGAUUUGUGCACAACAACUACCGGCCGCAAUGUACUCCGCUUCGGCGGUUGAUAGUGCAACAUUAUUUUGCUUCUUGGAUGACCAUGAGACAAGAGAUCUUCCCAAUAGUUGACAUGUGCCCGAUGUGCUUCUUCUCUCAACUUUGCAUCCCGCAUAGUCUGAAUCGGAAUAUCCAACAAUUUCAAACUUUGCACCUUUGGGAUACCACAAACCAACAUUUUGUGUAUGCUUCAAGUACCUCAAUAUUCUCUUUGUUGCUUUCAAAUGACUUUCUCUUGGUGAGGCUUGAAACCUUGCACAUAUGCAUACAUUAAACAUGACAUCCGGUCUUGAUGCGGUCACAAAGAGUAGGCUUCCAAUCAUAGACCGAUAUGACUUUUGAUCCACCAUAUUUCCACUUGUAUCACUAUCUAGGCUUCCAUUUGUUCCCAUUGGAGUGCUAAUUGAUUUUGCAUCAUCCAUACCAAACUUCUUGAGAAUAUCUUUUAUGUACUUGCCUUGACUCACAAAUGUGCCAUUCUUCAAUUACUUGAUUUGAAGACCAAGGAAGUAACUAAGCUCUCCAAUCAUUGACAUUUCAAACUCAUUAGCCAUCAUGUUGCCAAACUCUUCACAAAAUUCUUGAUUAGUUGAUCCAAAUAUGAUAUCAUCAACAUAGAUUUGCAACACAAACAAGUCAUUGCCAAUCUUCUUGGUGAAGAGAGUGGUGUCAACCUUGCCCAUCUUGAAACCUUUAGAGAGUAAGAAGUCUCUCAAUCUCUCAUACCAUGCUCUUGGUGCUUGCUUCAAACCAUACAAUGCCUUUCUUAGCUUGUUAACAUGGUUGGGUUUCUUGUCAUCUUCAAAACCGGGAGGUUGCUCAACAUAUACUUCUUCAUUGAUAUAGCCAUUGAGAAAUGCACUCUUGACAUCCAUUUGGUAUAGCUUGAUGUUAUGAGCACAAGCAUAGGCCAACAAGAUCCUAAUUGCUUCCAAUCUUGCAACCGGAGCAUAUGUUUUACCAAAGUCAAGACCUUCAACUUGAGUAUAGCCUUGUGCUACCAAUCUUGCUUUGUUUCUUACAACUAUCCCAUCUUGAUCUUGUUUGUUGCGAAAGACCCAUCUAGUACCAAUGACAUUGUGAUCAUUAGGACUCUCAACUAAUUCCCAUACUUGAUUUCUUUUGAAGUUGUUAAGCUCUUCAUGCAUAACAUUGACCCAAUCAACAUCUCUCAAUGCUUCAUCAAUCUUCUUUGCCUCAAUGUGAGACAUAAAGGAGAAAUGCUCACAAAAUGAUGCUAGUCUUGAUCUAGUUUGCACUCCUCUUUGAAUAUCACCAAUGAUAUGAUCCAAUGGAUGAUCUGUUGCAAUAUUUGUUGGUUGGAGUAUUUGCACUUGAUUGCUUGCACUUGGUUGAUCAUGAGAUGAUGUACUAGCUUGUUGAUCUUGCACUUGAGUACCACUUGUACUAGCUUGAUUUUGAUCGUGAGAACCACUAGCUUGCACAUUAGAGGUAGGAAGCACUUGAUCUUUGUCAUCUUCAACAUCAAUCACCUCUCUAGGCCUUAAAUCACCAAUAUCCAUAUUAUUCAUUGCGUCGGACAAUUGAGUGCCUCUCACGUCAUCUAGAUUCUCAUCUUCCUCUUGGGAGCCAUUGGUUUCAUCAAACUCAACAUCAUGCACUUCCUCAAGAGUACCACUAGCCAAAUUCCAAACUCUAUAAGCUUUGCUAGUAGUGGAGUAACCAAGCAAGAAACCUUCAUCAUAUUUCUUUUCAAAUUUACUCAAUCUAGUGCCUUUCUUCAAUAUGUAGCAUUUACAACCAAAAACCCGAAAGUAUGCAAUAUUGGGCUUUCUUCCAUUCAAGAGCUCAUAUGGAGUCUUCUCCAUCAUUGGGUGACAAUAGAGUCGGCUGCUAUAGUAGCAAGCCAUGUUGAUUGCUUCGGCCCAAAAAGAAUGACUAACAUUGUAUUCACUCAACAUUGAUCUUGCCAUGUCAAUCAAGGUUCUAUUCUUCCUCUCAACAAGACCAUUUGAUUGUGGAGUGUACUUGGCCGAGAAUUGAUGCCUAAUGCCAAAUUCAUCACAAAGCUCAUCAACUCCUGUAUUCUUGAAUUCACUUCCAUUGUCACUUCUUACUUUCUUGAUGGUUGUUUCAAACUCAUUGUGUACUCUCUUGACAAAUGAUUUGAAGGUUGCAAAAGCAUCACUCUUGUCACUAAGAAAGAAUACCCAUGUAUAUCUUGUGAAAUCAUCCACUAUCACAAAUCCAUAUUUAUUUCCACCAAUGCUUGUGUAUGUGGUUGGUCCAAAUAGAUCCAUGUGCAACAACUCAAAAUAUCAAGUUAGAGCCAUCUACACUUAUGAUUUCUACAUCAUCAACUCCAAAUAUGCAUUUGAAACCAAGAUCACAAAGUUGAGCUACAGAUAGUAAGUUGAAGUUCAAGCUCUCUAGUAGUAGCACAUUGGAAAUGCUCAAGUCAUUGGAUAUAGCAAUUUUACCAAGCCCUUUGACCUUGCCUUUGCCAUUGUCACCAAAUGUGAUACUAUGAACACCAUUGUCAUCAUUUGAUUUGAUUGAAUUGAACAUUCUUGAAUCACAGGUCAUGUGUUGUGUGCACCCACUAUCAAGCACCCAAUGCCUUCCUCCGGCUUUAUAGUUUACCUACAAAACAAAUCAAUGUUUCUUAGGUACCCAUACUUGUUUGGGUCCUUGGAGGUUAGUGACUAAGCUCUUUGGUCCCAAAUGGCCUUCUUCUUUGGACCCACAAUUGGUGUACCAACAAACUUAGCAUGCACACCCUUCUCACCCUUGGUAAGCACAUAACAAGAAUCAAAAGGAAUGUAAGGUACAUUAGCAUUUUUCUUGUUCUUGUUAAUUUUGUUGCAAUUAAGCUCUAGGUGCCCAACUUGCUUGCAUUUGUUGCAAUACCGACCAUUGCUCUUCACAAAACUGGGCUUGUGAGUUGCAAAGGCUUUCUUGCCUUUCUUGGGGGUAUAGCCUAAUCCCUCUUUGUUGAGAGAAAACCUUUGGCUACCCAAGCACUUUAGCAAGCGGGCCUCACCACCAUAGGCUUUGCCUAGGGCAUGAGUGAGCUCAUCCACCUCUCUCUUGAGAAUCUCAUUCUCAACCUUUAGUGAGGUAUCACAAGUGAAACUAACACUAGAAGUAGAGGUAGAGUUGGUGGUGGUGGAUGAAGACCUACAAGAAGAGUUAGUGGCAACAAUAAUAGGUGGGUUGGGUGAUUCUUUAAUUAAGUCACAUGUUGUGCCCACAUCACAUGAUACAACAACCUUUUCUUUGUUCUCUUCUAAUAACAAGGAGUGAGCCUUUUCAAGCUUGGUGUGAGCCUUGCCAAGCUUCUCAUGGGCUUCCACUAGCCUCUCAUGAUUAGCAUUGAGCUCAUCAAAGGAUUGCUAAAGAGCUUUUAACUUCUUGGCCAAUUCUUUGCACUUCUUGUUUUUAGAUUGAAUGAGAGAAUCGGCUUGUUCUAGCAUGUCCAUGAGUUGUUAUUAGUGAAUUCAUUUUCAUCAUCACUAUCACUAUCAUGUUCAUGUUCACUUUCACUUUCACUCUCAUCAUAUUGUACCUUGUGGCCCUUGGCCAUGAAGCAUGAAGGAGUGUCAAAGAGUGAUGGCUUGUUGAUAGCAAUGCUUGCAAGCGCCUUCUUCUUGGAUGCCUUGUCAUCAUCACUAGAAUCAUCCUCCGAAGAAGCAUCACUAUCCCAUGUCACAACAUAGGAUCCACCCUUCUUCUUCUUCUUGAAGACCAUCUUCUUCUCUUUCUUUUCUUUCUUCUCCUUCUUGUUCUUCUUGUCAUGCUCAUCAUUGUCGCUAUUGUAAGGACAAUCCGCCACAAUAUGAUCGGGGCUUUUGCACUUGUAGCAUAGCCUCACAUGCUCCUUUUUCUUGAAGUGAUCUCUUCUCUUUCUUGUGUGAUAGCCCUUUUUCUUCAUCAUCUUGCCAAACUUGCGGACGAAGAGUGCUAGUGCUUCAUCAUCACUAUCAUCAUUGGAGCACUCUUCAUCACUUGAUUCUUCCUUCUUGGCCUUGCCCUUGUUCUUGCUCUUGGAUGAAGAGCUAGCUUUGAAUGCUACACUCUUCUUCUUCUUGUCAUCAUCAUCCUUCUUCAUGACCUCAUCAUCAUCAUUGUCAUUGUAUUGAUCUUCGGUCAUGACAUCUCCAAGUACCUCAUUGGGAGAUACACCGGUUAAUCCACCUCUAAAGAUGAUUGUUCUCAAUGUCUUGAACCUCUUGGGCAAGCACAUCAAGAACUUGUGAAUGAAGUCCUCAUCCUUCACUUUCUCACCAAGGCCCUUGAGAUCAUUGAUGAUGACUUGGAGCCUAUAGAACAUCUCCGGUAUGGACUCAUCAUCCUUCAUCUUGAAGUUUGAUAGCUUGUCCUUGAGCAUGUACAACUUGGCACUUUUUACCGUUGUAGUGUCUUCAUAUGUUUCUUCUAGUCUUGUCCACACUUCACUAGCCUUCUCAAGAUCUUUGACUUGUUCAAACACCUUUGAAUCAAUGCCAUUAUAGACUAUGUUGAGAGCCAUAGUAUUGCAUUGCUUGUUGGCUCUCUCAUUGUCGGUGGGGUUGGCGGGGUCAAGGAUCACAAAGUCAUUCUCCGUGACUUCCCACACUCUAUCAUUGAUUGAUCCAAGGUACAUUUUCAUCUUUCUCUUCCAAUAGUCAAAAGAACUUGUGCCUGUUGACGGUCCUUAAGUAUCAAAUUUAAUUAUCAAAUAAAUAAAGAAAAGGAUCCAAAUGAAAUCAACAUCUAGACUUAGGGUUUUAUCUGACAGAAUUCCACGAGUUUUGGUGUUUGUCUAUUUCUGCAGGGGGUUAUCAGGAAAUACGGAAGAAAGGCCCACACGUCGGGAUUACAUAGAGAUAUUAACAAGCCGCGCAAUUAUCUUACAUCUAGAAGACUCCAGAAGCCACGAGACCGAAGCGGAGGCGAAACGGGGCCAGAGGCAGGGUGCCCGCCCUCUUGCCCUGGGCGCUCGCCCCCUCUGAGAGUCCAAUCAGGACUCUGCUUCGUGGGAGAUCUCCACCGACCUAAAGGAUCAAGGAUAACCGUUCAAUCUAAGUCGGUUUGAUCCAACGGCCCAUAUUCACUUGAAGGGACUAUAAAACCAGACCCCCUGGCCCCUGGAGGAGAGAGCCUUUCAACCCUAAUUCAUUAUUCCUCAAGGGAGAAGAAGCCCCUGAUCAAGAUUAGAGCCACCACAUCAAUUAGAUAUCUAGAUUAGCAUAGCUACAUAGGAUUAGAACUAGAAGGAGUCAAUCUUUGAUUGGUUUCCGGAUCUGUUAAGAGGAUUCUUGGUAAUUCUCUAAUUGUGCUUCUAAUUGCUUUCUAAUUAUCUUUGUUCUUCAAUAUUAUGAAUAUGACUUUGUUCUACUUCAAUAUAUUGCUUAUGACUUUGCUCUACUUGCUUAUAUUCUAGAUUAUAUUGUUCUUAGUUUACCAUAGUUAUGUACUUGCUUAGUUAGAUUGGAUCUAUAUACAUGUUUAGGAUCGUAUAGCGUUUAUCCAUCGGAUCCAUGGGUAAAUGAUAGAUAUUGUGUAGGCGUGGUGCUUAUACCGUAUUUAUCUGCGAUUGUACCCAAUAUGCCAGAUCGUGGGGUAGUUCGUGAUAGUGACAGCUGUUGACGGUCCUUAAGUAUCAAAUUUAAUUAUCAAAUAAACAAAGAAAAGGAUCCAAAUGAAAUCAACAUCUAGACUUAGGGUUUUAUCUGACAGAAUUCCACGAGUUUUGGUGUUUGUCUAUUUCUGCAGGAGGUUAUCACGAAAUAAAGAAGAAAGGCCCACAUGUCAGGAUUACAUAGAGAUAUCAACGCACCGCACAAUUUUCUACCAUCUAGAAGACUCCAGAUGCCACGAGACCGAAGCGGAGGCGAAACGGGGCCAGGACCUGGGCGCCCGCCCAGUUUCCUUAGGCGCCCGCCCACCUGCCGAGCCCAAUCAGGACUCUUUCUCUCGGGAGAUCUCCACCGACCUAUUGGAUUCAGAAUAACGUAGUACCACCUCGCCUACCGACCCAAAAACGCAUAGAAGGGGAGGACUAUACAAGGAGACCCCCCUGGCCCCUGGAGAAUACAAGAAAUUAUCAUAGAGAUUGAGGGGUGCCCUCGAAGGAAAACCUCUUCUCUAAAUAAUAUUUCUUUUUAGGCUUAGCAACCAAUGUAAAGUAGAAAUAGAUCUUCUAGUUUCUACUAGAUUGAGAGAGAUAGAGUGGAGAGGUGUGGAUCGGAGAAAGGCCGGCCUGUCGAUGUCUACUCCGAGUUGUACCUACGGGAUCAAGUCUCCUAACCCGAGGCUUGCUUCUAAGAUUCUUCAGUAAUUCGACUUCUAAUACUAGUAAGUUCUUGUUUUAUUGUUCUUUGGUUUAUGAGUUUACUUUAAUCCUCUUCCGGUUGAGUAUUAGAGUAAUCACUUGCUAGCGUAAACGUGGUGUUUAGGCUAGGGUACUCAUAGAUAUCCCCUGACUAGCUGGACCGUGGUAGUAGCGAGGAACGUGACAUUUCCGAGUUACCUUUGUAUCCCAUAUCUUGUUAGCAGGACGGGUAGGGUUUAUAGGUGCGGGUCCAACAUCCUUUGUGUUGUCUAGAUUCCAUGAGCCUCCCCAAUAGAACAGUAGAUCAUCCUUACCAAGGUUAGAACGAGACUACGGUUGCAGUCUUCUCUAUACAUCACUCACAUCGAGAAACAUUCUUUGUAGCCUAAAGGGGUAGUAGCAAUAGAUUUGGUUAGUCAGAUGCACCCUUUCUCCCAGUGGUAAAAAUAUAAAUACGAUAACUCUGGAUAACCUCCCGGGUGAAAUGCUCACCGAUAUCCGUGCGCUUGCGGAUCAUUUUCUAAUUGCGUUACCAAAUAUCAACAAGCAUUUCUGGCACCGUUGCCGGGGAGAAAGACGGUUUGCUGAGAUAACUUUGAGUCUUGCUAUUAUCUUGUAUUAUACUUUUAUACUUUUAUUCUUUUAUCUUUUUAUUUUUAUCUUUAUGGAUAACUCAAAUUCCACACCUAUUAUUAAAUUCUUUGCACCUUCGGAGACCAACCAUAGACCAUGGGAGUCAACACGUUCUGACCCUAAUUAUGAUCUGUGUCCGGAGUUGAUUGCAAUAGGUCAAAACCAACCCUUUUCUAUAGCUGAGGUCCUAUCUUUUAAUCAAAAAGAUAAUGCACUUUUAGCUACACCUAGGGAAUCUGUUAAUCUUUCUAUAAAUUCUAGUUUAGACCUAGCCCUACAAGACCAUGUUUUUCCUAGAUAUUUUCAAAUUGGUCUUAAUCAUAUAACCUUUGGUAGAGUCCUUCUUUCUUUAUCUAUUAGUAAAGGAAGGUAUGUCUUCAUUUGUGGACAUCCUUCUUGUACUAGUCUUCAUAGAAUAAUCUUAGAGAUAGAGAAGGAAUCAUCUCCCAGACGAGGAAAGGAAGUUUCAAUAGCCAAUCUCCAAACAUUUCAAUCCCAUGAUUCGGCUAUCCAUCCCAUCCUUGAGCUUAAUAGUUUCUACUAUGCUCUUUCUCUUGAACCUCCCGAUAAUCCUAUGAAUCUCUCUAGACAUCCCAUGCAUAAGGAGGAUCGAGAAGAGCAACAUUGAUGGCUAGAGGACAUUAAAAAUCCAUGUGCUAUCACCAUUGAAUGGAUAGAUAAAACAAACUUGAGAGACAAUCCUAGAGGAAUUUUAAGCAUUCAUGAAGAAUCAUCCUUGGAGUUUGAGAAUGAGAGAAACAACAGUGAGCAUGGAAGUUAUUUCAUAAAUACCCCACCAAAUCCUUGCUCAUAUAAAACAUCUCCCCAAUCAGUUGGUCUCUCCAACAUUACCACAUUUGAGAUCUCCAACCCCCUCUUCCUUUCUAUUUAUAAAAACUUUAAAAGGGUGGUUGUCGAUGCAUAUGUCUAUAAUAAAUAUUGCAGAUCUCGUUGAGUUGAUCUUGAUAUAGGUAGGUGUUGGAGGGGAAACCACUUCACGGACAUAAAUUGAUGGUUUCCCAAGGAUAAGCUUAGCGUCCUUAAACAAGCACUUAUCAGAUCGUAAUAUGAACUUCUAAUUAUUUGCAACAUUGCCUUGUGUAGUAAGCAUAUUGAGAUAAUUGUAGAAAUAUUCCUUCGGGUAUUCUUGUCACUAACUUUUCCAGGAUUGGAGCAAGAAGAUCCGAGGAAUGACAAGCACAAGGUAUGUCCAACCAAACAUCAUGCAACAUUGAAUUAAAUUCAUCCAAUCUUGAAUUUUGCAAAAUUCAAGCUUGGAGGAGUACUUCACAUAAAAACAUCCUUUGCCAUGUUGCUAUGUUGGUUGUCCUUACCUUUGAGACAUGCUCAAUUUGUUAAACACUAAUCACACUACUUCAUCUCCACUUGAGUAGAUCUCUAUAAAUGCCAUCACACUACCUUUGUUUAUCCUAUAAGUAGUUUGGAAGUACUGCACAUACUUCUAUUGGCUUUUAAAUUAAGCAUGGUGCUUAGGUUAAAUAGCCUCCCUUAAUCUGAUUAGACAUGGAGUCUAGUUUGGUUACUGAACUAAAAACUACUUGAGUAGGCAUUGGUAUAUUUUGUCGGACUAACCCCUGCAGGAAAACUUUCAAUAUCAACCUGGGAAGUCCUGAGAUAAACUCACAUUGGAGACAAGGAGAGGGACACAUGAAGUUUAAUAAUUUACACGAGGAAGACGUAGCUCAUAGGAGAUGAUCCAUGGAGGGUGCCACAAACACGAUGCACAACCGCUAAGAAAGGAAAGCUUCUACAAGGUGAUACUGUACCGCCACUCUUCAAGUAAGGUAACAUUCUAAAGUACUUGACUAUCACUUUUAUAAGCUUCUCCUUGGUUCUAGCAUUCACAUAAAUAAAGAGACAAACAUGUAUGAUUUAUAACUCCAAAUUAACCAACCCAAUUAAUUCAACAUGAUUAGUCCUUUAAUCUUUGUUCUUAGUACUACCUUCGUGAUCCCACACUCCUAAUCAUAUAAGCUAAAAUGUUGCACAUUCAAUCUUUGGAAGAUAUAAACAAAACAUAAAUAUAGAUAGAUUAUCUUUCCAUUAGGUUGAGCUAUAUGAUCUGACAAAUGUUUCAAAUCCUACACUCAUGAUCCUAUCAACUUUGUCUUGCUCACUAUGCUUAAGGUUAGAGAAGAACAAAUACACUUUUGGUUCUGUUGGUGUUUUCCACCAACAGGGCCCAUGCACUUGAUAUCUGCCUUGUCUCUAUGAACAGGUACACUUCAAACAAAACAUGGAGGAGUUUUACAACUCCCAGAUUCCACCAAGUGAAGAACCGGGAUCUACGAGCACAAAACACAAUGCAGAUCGGACACUUAGUUUUCUAAAAGAAAUAUUGAAGAACCUCUGUGUCCGAGUUGGUACCUUGUACGCUCCAGCAAACUUCGUGGUGAUAGAGACUGGUACUGAGGAGAGGGCACCCAUCAUCUUAGGGAGGCCAUUCCUAAACACCAGAGCUGUCAUCUACGCUAAUGCUGCCAAGAUCAGUCUCUACAUCAAGGGGAAGAAGGAGACUUUCCUUCAAGAACAAGACUACACAAACUUCAGAGCAAUCCUGACAUGAACCAAGGAAGAGGACCAACAGGAGGAACAAGAACAAGCAAAUGUGGACCGAGUCAGCUGAGAUGGUCACUGCAGCUCAAGGAGGUCAAGAUCGUCGACUCAAGUCACCUUUCUUGAUCAAGAAGGACGACCCUGGUGUUCCAAGCAUUGAGUGCACAAUCAAUGGAUACUCUUUUUAGAAGACAUUCUACGACACCGGAUCUGACGAUAACAUAAUGGCCGCAGUCACUUAUCAGCUCCUGCAUGGAACCAUGCUCCUACAACCAACAUACAUUCGGCUCCAGGUAAUUUUCAGGUCAUUAACAUGGGAGAAGACGAGUAUGAUGCACCCACCAUCCUUGGAAGACCGUUCCUCAACACUAUCAAAGCAAUCAUCUACAUUGGAACCGGAGAUGUCCACACGCACUUCCCCUCUGAGAAGGUACGCCACUACUUUAAUGAUUCUAACUAUAUAGUUGAAGAUUUUAAGCAGGUCAGGACAAGAAGAAGACAACGCAACCGCAACCAGAGGAGGCAAAUCAUCAAGGACGGAUGGGUAGACUACGAAGGAGAUGUGAUAAGGUCUGAAGACAUAUAGCUUGAACAGAACUGUCCUGAGGAGACCGUUAGCGCCGAAUCAGGUGUGGAGAGAGAAGAUAGUNNNNNNNNNNNNNNNNNNNNNNNNNNNNNNNNNNNNNNNNNNNNNNNNNNNNNNNNNNNNNNNNNNNNNNNNNNNNNNNNNNNNNNNNNNNNNNNNNNNNNCCGAACGCCUUGCCAAGAGGUAAACUUGGUAGUUAUCCUUUUCCUUUCAAUUAUUCAAUUAUAGUUUCCUUAGUUAAUCAGGUUCAUGCUAUCUUGAAAAGAAAAUAAAAAUGUUAAAAAAAUAGUAAGCCCCAUGUGAGUAUGCUCAUGGCAUAAAACCCAUAAGUACAUUCACUGUGGUGGCAUAAAAAUAAAAUAAAUAAGUUUUCAUCUUAUAAUAAAAAUAUAAAAAUAAUAAGUGCAUGAUCCUGCUAAAUAAGUAACAUUUAUUGAGGAGGCUCAACAUGAUAAAGGCUAGAUAUUUAUGCUAACACUUAACCAGUUCCACAAAGCUUUGUUGUCUAUUUGAGCUCCACAUAAUUCAAGGAUCAAAGAAGACUAGCAGACGGAGGACAUCCUAAUUGCUGUCAGGGUGCUGCCGACUUUCAAAUACACCUCCAUCACCUGCUAGCUACAUCAGAAGAAAUUACGUCAAAAUCCAGCUUGGGGGAGAGCACCCCUAUUUAUCCAGCUAAGUAUUUCUACUCGCGUUUAUACUUUACUCAAAUGAUAAAAGAUGCAUAAUCAUGAAAACCCAAAUAAAAAUUUUGUGCUUUUAUAUAUAUAUAUAUAUAUAUCUUUGCUUAGUUUGCUAAAUAAAUAAAUAAAUAAAGUUUGCUAUGAACACUCAUGAUAAACUCUCACAUGGAAAUGAUGAAUAGUUGCUCUGCCAUGACUAGUUCUUAAAAUUGAAAUCUCUCUCAAGUUUAGGCAUGACUGUUAUGAAGUAAGAUUUGCUCUAAACCUGAACUUGUGGGAAGAGUACUUGAUCUAAAGUCUAAGUUGUUAACGGAUAUGAUAUGGGAAGGUUGAGCUGUUGUUUAUCUGUUCCUAGAGAUGCUAGAAUUCUGGAGAAUUUUAUCUUUGAAAAAUCUUUAAAAUAACAUAUGAUGAGCUCCUAUAUGAUGAGAGUUUAAAUUCCUACCACAGCCAUAUAUACAUGCUUGCUAGACUUUGAGCCACAUAUUUACUUUUUACUGCUUAUGAGCAUUGAGUGUGGUCAAGCUGUGUAGACCCUUAGGAGCUUGUCAAGUGGUUAAAAUCAAGAUUCACUUGCACGUUCACUCAUACAUGCUACUUCUACUCCGGAAGUACCAUCCACAUAUAUCCACUCAUUUCCAUCUCCACAUUCACCCGAAAUUAUUCUACUCCUAAUCCGGGAGAGAAUAGCCAAAAACAUUUUCCAAUCCCUGUUAUUCCCUGUGAAAUAAAUGUUCCAGUUAUUUUGGUUACUACCACUUGCUACAUUAUUUCAGGAGAUGAGUGCUCUAAAAAAAGAAAGAAAAAAAAGAGAGAAGAAAAAAAUACGAGGAAAUAAAAAGGGGCAAGUGCCCGGAACCUCAAAGAAAAAGAAAAAAGUGAGACGAGAGGUAAAAAUGGACAAGUGUCCGACAGUAGAAUUAGGGGUACAAGAUACCCACCUGAGAGGAAGGAAAAAGAAAAUAUAGAGCAUCUCAUUAUCCUCAAAAAGCUUCAGAGUGCAAGAAAGGUAUGUAUCCCCUCAAAAGAGCAAAAGUAGAAUUAGACUUUCACCACUAUUAUCACCAUCAUCACCAUACGCUAUUCAUUCGCCACACAUGCACAUCUUGAUUUGACUUAUUGACUUGUUUCUCUGGAUCCAUGGUUUGACUAUGCAAUAAAUGUCUUGUAAGUAUGUAUUAGUUGUCUCCCACCUAUGAGCUCCAGAUAUCAAACCUUAUUAGAGUAGGGUGAGAGAGAAGGCAAUAUCACUAUGCCUCAUACCACAAAUACUACAUACUUUGAGAGAAGGCAUGUACCAUUACUGCCAUGGUAAGGAUCUAGAAAUACCACAAAAGAGAGAUCUGAGAGAGUCAUAUAAGGAAUCUCUGAGUUUUAUUUGAAAAAAUCUACAAAAAAACCCAAAGCUAUAGCUGACCAAGAAUAAGAGACAUGGCGCUUGACUUGACCAUUCUAUCUUUUAACUGCUCAAGACACAAGUGACGGUUACAAGCCCCAUGG